RNAcentral lists this long non-coding RNA (105910 nucleotides) under Capsicum annuum. RNAcentral describes it as "long non-coding RNA (CANN_LNC017793)". Lineage: Eukaryota; Viridiplantae; Streptophyta; Magnoliopsida; Solanales; Solanaceae. The record is from RNAcentral.
AUUGGUAGUGGAGUUUAUGAAAGCGGAAGGAAAGGAAGCAAAGGCAGCUGUACUGGAGAAAAUAUCUGAAGGGAAUUUGCUGCUGGAAGAAGCUUUUAUCAAGAUCAACAAAGGUAAAUCUUUCUUUGGUGGAGAUAGAAUUGGUUACCUUGACAUUGUUCUUGGUAGUUUACUAGGAUGGGUGAAGGCAAUCGAGAUGAUGGAUGAAAUGAAGAUACUGGAUGAAACCAAGAUGCCUAGUCUAGCAGAAUGGGACAAGAGAUUUUGCUCAGACAAUGUUGUGAAGGAUAUCAUUCCACAGCCUGAGAAACUUGCGGAAAUUCAUCGCAAGUUUCACCAGAUGAAGAAAGCUACCUCAAAUUAAUAAUGUUGCUUAUUUCCGUCUGUACUUUUUUUGGAAAAUGUGUCUCUUCCUAGAUCUUGUUUAAAUGGACGAAAAUAAAAGAAGUUUGUGUUGUUACAGACAAACUCUCCUUGAUAGAGAUUAGUACAUCUUGAUCAAAGAUAAACACUGCAUAUAUAUGCAUUCAUGAAUUAUUGAUGCAACGGAAUGAUUCAAUUACAAAGGGAAAUAUCAUUUGUUGUCUGUCCAUAAUCGAAGCGCUUUAGUGAGGAACUCUGCUUCAUAUUUGACAAUUUAUGUAUUUCUACCAGCUCGGAACAGAUUAAAAUGCAGAGAAUGAAAAUGCGUAAACAGCAUAUUAAGUUGCAGUGGUUACAUUGACAUUCGGACCCUUCUAAAGUUGGAUGCUUUUUGCAUUUGGUUGCCCUUACCGACUGUUAUUCUGCAAUGUUUAAUGUCGGAAUAAAAAAUUGUAAAUUAGUUCAUCUUCUGAAACUUGCAAAUAGAUUAAUAAUACUUAAAACUAUUACCAUGCAAGGUAGAUCAAUUGCAGAUCAACCCAAUCUAUAAAUAAAUAUUAGUCUAUCAAAUCCUAGAAGGAGGUUGAUUAAUUCUUGGUAAUUUUGUUGUUAGAAAGUACAAACAUCAAAGUGUUAAGCAAAGAUAACACUAAAAUACAUAUUUGUUUAUCAUAGGAUUAUGCAAAGAUAACAUUAAAAUGCAUACUUACAAGUAUAUGUGCCUGCGUGAUGCGCGGACAAUAUUAAAAAAUUAUAAUCUUCUUUAUUUGAUCAUAUUGAAUUCCUAUUAUUUUUAGUUCAGAGGUCACAACUUAUCUUUAAUAUAACAAUAUAACCUUUGCACUCAAAUUCAACAUAACUUGUCAUCUCCUUUUUUAAGAUUAUCUAUUUAUUUUAUUAUAUGUAGUUACUUUUAAUUGAGUAAUUUCUAAUGUUUUGUAUUUUAAUAGUAGGAAAACAAAAUAUAAUACAUUGGCAAUAUUCUUAAAACUACAUAAAAAUAUGGAUAGAAGAUAGUUUUCAAAUUUAUACACAGACUGAUAACUAAUAAGUAAAAUUUUAUGUGGUAAGAUUAAGCCUAUUAAAAAGACAUGAUAUCUAUUUUAUGGUUGACAACGUAUUCCAUUACACGAAGUUUGAUUGGUUUAUUUUUAAAAAUCCCCUCAUAAAAAGUGUUUUUUUACUUAUCCAAUGUUCAACUAUCUUAAAUUUUUUUUUAUUCUCAAAAGGGAAAAGGGUCAAAUUUACCCUCUACUUUGAAAAAUUAGCUAAAUAUACCCUUCGUCAUACUUUGUAGUCAAAUUUACCCUUGGUGUCAUACUUUUGGGCCAAAUUUACCCCUCUACUUUAGAAAUUGACUAAAUAUAUCCUUCAUCAUACUUUGAGGUCAAAUUUACCCUUGAUGUUGUCAUACUUUGAAAUCAAAUUUACCCUCGUUGUUAAGAAACUUUUCAUAUGUACACUUUUUAAAUAGAAAAGCUCAAAUGAACGUUAAAUAUCCCAUUUUUUAAAAAUAAAAUACACCUUAAUCUAAACCUUCUGAUCUGACUCAAGCCACAAAAAAAGACACAAAUAAUAAAUAUACCCCCUUCAGUUUUGUUGGCCAAUUUUUCAGCGAUAUUAAGCCACUAGAUAUUUAUCAAGCAUAGCUCAUGAAAAAUUGAUUUGCAUCAGUGCAAACAUAAAGAAAUAUAUUUCUUUCUCAGUUCGUGGAUCUGCAUCAAUGGAAAACUCAUGAAAAAUGGCACUUAACAAACUAAUGCAAUAGAUUAUACCCAUUGAAUAUUUCUCUGGAUGAUUGAGUUAAGAAGUCUCCUUAUGUGCCAAUCGGGCAUCUCUUCAUUCAUAUAUAUUUAUAUGCAAUUUAGAUUUAUACAAAAUUUUUAUCAUGUCAUUUACUCAAAAAAUUUAUUCACUGGUUCUAGAAGUUUGAUACACAUAGAAUUGCAUAUCAAAAUUUGAAAUUUGAACGUAAUCAAAUAAGAGCAAAGUUUGUAAUAGACGUUUUCUCUAGUUUCAUGCUUCUCCGUUAUCCCAUUUCAUUUUACGUUUUGUUCAUUUGUAAACUACCUACCAGUGUUGCACGUUGAAAAAGAAGUAUUUUUGUUAGUUGAAAAAAUUCGACCAACAAAACUAAGGGAGGGGUAUAUUUGUUGGUAUAUUUUUUAUGGGUUAGAUUAGGAUGUGAUUUAUUUUUAAAAAAAUUAGAGAAUUUAACGUUGAUUUGGGCUUUUCUGUUAAAGGAAGGUUGAAAGUAAAAACUUUCUUAACCACGAGGGUAAAUAUGGCCCCAAAGUAUGAAAUCGAGGGUAAAUUUGACCUCAAAAUAUGACGAAAGGUAUAUUUAACCAAUUUUUCAAAGUAGAGAGGUAAAUUUGGCCCCAAAGUAUAACAACGAAGAUAAAUUUGACCCCAAAAUAUGACGAAGGGUAUAUUUAGCUAAUUUUUUAAAGUAGAGAGACAAAUUUGACCCUUUUCCCUUCUCAAAAAGAUACUAUCAGCAAUAUAUAGUGAUGUUAUGUAUGUAUGAAAUGUAUGUAUGAAGGAAACAAAGACUGUCAAUAAACAAAUACAUAACUGUCUCUUUACGAAGAAAGUCUUUUCUAAACAUAUUCAUUCUCCUAACCAUAUAAAGUAUGUUUUUAUAACUUGCUUUUAGUUACAGUUAAUAAAGUACUCCCUCCGUCUCAAAUUACCUGUCCCAAAUUUCCUAAUUUGAUGUCCCAUUUUACUUGUCUUUUUUCAUUAAUCAAGACAAGACAAAUUUUUUCUUUCAUGUUUUUUUCCUUUGCAUUAAUUAUUUUUUCUUCAAAUUAAGAUGUAAAUAUCAUUUAAUAUGGGUACUAUGAUAAAUUAGGCUUGCUAUUAAUUAUUUUUCUUAAUCAAUGUGUUAUCUCAAUUUGAGACGGAUAAUUUGAGACGGAGGGAGUAGCUUGGAAAAAUAAUCAAAUUGACAACCCAAGUUCUUCACCAAUUCCGUAGAUCCUAUUUGACUGCCCAAGUACUUAACUCAGUUCCCCUAAAAUAUCCCGUAACCAUAACUGAUCAUAGACUCAUUGUUUGGUAUAAAACACCAUUUUAUGGAGUCACCAUUUUAGGUGAAAAUAUCAUUCACCUAAAUUAAUAAAGUAAUAAAGAUUUUAUUUGAGAUUAAAAAUUCUAGUGUUGAUGCUCCUUUCUCCAAUAUAAUAUGCUUGUCUUCACAACUAUCCCCUUACAAAAAAGAAAUUCAUUAUUACGAUUUGAUGACAAAAUAGUAAAUAUUAUAUGGAGAAAAGUGUGUAUAUCCUGGUAUAAUAUAUUUUAUGUUGCAUGAGCCAAAUAAUGAUAAUUAUAAGAUUAAAAUGUCGAAAUUACAAGAUUGAUGGCAAAAGAUCAUUAUAAUAUAAGGAAAAACCAGUUGUUGUUCACAUCUAACAGUAUCUAUCGCUAGUUAAGAUGGUCAAGCUACAUUACAAAAUAAUAGUUUCUUGAAAAAAGGCUCAAAUAUGUCACUGAACUAUCAGAAGUUGCUCAUUUAUGCUAUCAGUUAAAAGUUCAGCUUAUUCAUGCCAUCGCCGUUAAAAAUUCAGCUCAUUCAUGCCAUUGUUUUUGAAUGGUGGGUUUUCAAAAGUUGAUUUGCCACGUGGCCUCUUAUUAGAGGUUCACAUCAUUAAAUUGGACCCACUAAAAACUUGAUCCAUUAAAAAAAAUCCACCCACUCCCGAGCUAUUACCUUUAUCCACUUUCAAAUUUUUCUCUCGCACACAAGGAUAUCAUUUUCGUAUAUCAUCUUCUUGCGGUACCAAGUAAUAAGUUGCUUCAUUUCUCUAUCCUAAUGUUGAAAAAAUAAUUACAGGUUUGCAUUUACAAUUAUUUAGGCAGAAGUAAAACUGAAUUGCUGCUUAUUUACAAUUAUUUUUAAGCUAUACAAAAAAAAAUCUCUUCAGUUCUUCAGAAUUGGAUUGCCUUGAGAAGAAUUCAACGACAAAGCCACAUGUCUCUCUAAAAAACAUAUGAUGAAAUGAUAGUUAGAAGUUGGCUAAAGACUAAUGUAUAAUGAAACAUUAUGGUACUAACCUCCUAUCGCGAUGAGCUUCUCAACAUGCGAUACAAUGUGUUUUCCAUAAGUGUAUUUCUUGAGGGAAGUAAGGUAUAUUUUAAUACGCGAAAGAAUUAGUUCACAACUUUGAUCAUCACAUAUCUCAAGAACCUUUUACACUACAUAGUUAUAAGAAUCCUUGAUAACGAAUUAGUCCUCCGUCCUUAUAAUCAUAGAUUUCGGGCAUCGAAGCUCAGACAAGAUGAUAUAAGAAAAUGGUAUUAGGAUUUUUCGGAUAUCUGAUUGAUCCCUGCGUGCGAGAGAAAAAACUAAAAGCGGAUUAAGGUAAUAGGUCGGGCGUGGGUGGUUUCUUUUUAAUGGAUCAAGUUUUUAGUGUGUCCAAUAUAAUAACGUGGACCUCUAAUAAGAGGCCACGUGGCAAAGCUGUUUUUGAAAAUCCAUCAUUAAAAAAUAAUGGCAUGGAUGAGCUGGUUUGGUAACAGAGAUGACAUGAAUGAGCUGAACAUUUAACUGAUUACAAAAAUAAUCCCUUUCUGAUAUCAUAUUUGAGCCCUUCCCCUAUUUUUUGUUUUUUGGAAUCAGUAUAAGGUAAUCUAGUGCUAGUGGCAAAGGGCUAUAGUUGUUGGCUUGAAGACGCAGGUUUGAACCUAACUGUACAUAUGUCAUCUUUUUAACUUGAAUUAUAGGUUCUAUAGGAAAUAACUACCCUAUGUUUAAGGUUAGGUCUGCGUACGCCUACCCUCCACAGACCCUAUUUUGUUGGAUUGUACUGGGUAUUUAUUUAUUUUUUUUAAUCAGCUCGCAUAUGCAUAAUUUGGCUGGUGAAAUUAAGGAGAUUGUUCUUGUAAUUUAAAAAAUUACGCUCUUAAUAGUCUCACUUGAGAAUAUUUUAUUCAAAAGAACAAAAGAAAGUAGGACUAUGAUGAUUCAUUAACGUUGUACUAAUCUCAAACACUAUUUUGCACAUAAAACUUUGAGAAAAUAGGCAAAGGUACAAAGUGUACAAUCACGGGGUUCAGAGACUCAUCCACUUCUUAUUAACAUGUGGCCUUCAAAAAAGAAUGAGUGAAAGAAAAAGAAGAACAACUCUAUAUCUUGAGCAUCCUCCUCCUAAUCGGGUCAUCUCUUCAAUCGAAUUUGCAAGUUUUGUCACUCCUCAUGGAACAUGUGGAAGCUUUAGCCAUUGUCAAUGCAGGAGUCAUGUUGGGUGUAUUUAUGCAUUCUAGCUUUACUAUUCUAGCCUUUUUAGCCUUGUUUUGAGGAUGAUUCUUAUGCUAUGUGUGUUAAUAAUGAUAUAAAUGAGCAAUUAUGUGUUCAAGUACGUGUUUACAAUGUUUAAUGAUGUUUCCACAUGAGUUUUGAUUCAAUUCGACCAUUUAGAGUUCAACCGAGAAAGCUAGUGUGACUAGCUUGAGCUAGGUGUUGUCUAGUCUCUUGUGUUGAGUUCUAAUGUAUUUUAAUGAGUUACUAAGGUUAUUAGUAUGUUUUGAUAUGUGAAACAACUUAUUUAUAAUGUUCAAGGGUCAAUUGGAUCAAUAAAAGAGUGAAAACAAUGAGUUAAAGCUCAAUAUGAAUUUAGCCUAUGCUUAGCUCGUGUUUCUAGUUCAUCGGUGAGGAUGUUGUGUUGUUUUGAGCUCUUAAUUUAUGUGUUUAAUGAUUUAUGAUGCUUGGUUCAUGUAUUAUGAUGAUAUAUUAAGGAUAUAAAAGCUUCAAAUCAAGUGGAAACAACUCAAUAAGGCUCGGAAUGCUCAACAAAAGUAUAUGACGUAAGUUGGAUGCAAGUUGGACCCCUGAAAAGUAUUGGGCGAGUGUGGACUGUAAUGGUGUCCAAUGGAGGAGUUCAAAACAUUACUAGAUUUAUAAGAGGCCCAAGGUUUUGAAAGUAUGACUCGUGUAUCUUAAUUUGGAGUUUCCAGAGGCCCCGCGACACAUUGAAAUCGCGAACAACUACUGGAAUUUGACAGAUUGUUUGACAAUUGUGAAUUUGCAUGUCUCUGCGUCAUGCCGAUGCCCAAAAUUGGGAUAAUUCUACCCAUCUAAAGUAAAAUAGCGUGGAAACCAAAUACAAGUCGGUUUAUGACUUGUAUACUAUAAAUAUAACGUCUCAAACUCCGUUUUGAUCAUCUUGGGACCUCUAGGAAACCCGAGAUCAACUUGAAACAUCAUUGGAGGAUACCACAACUUAUUUUUAGGUUUUGUCACUUUAAUUUAGUUUUUUUUUUAUGAUUUGUAUCAUCAUUCCAAGGGAUUGGAUGAUGAAUAUUUCUAUUAAAGGCUAAAAUCCUCUUUACGGGUUUGAGGACAAGAACAUGAAUACUUUUAAAUAUUCUUUAUUGUAGUUUAAUUUUGGAUUAUCAUAUGGGUUGUUCUUAAUUUUUUGAGCCUACUAUUUUAAUGAUUAGCUACCAUUAGAAUAAAUCUAUAUUUUUAUGUGAAUCCAGGAGGAGAAUCAUAGAAUAGAACGAAGAAAUUAGGGAGCAAGGUUCUUAUUUUCUUAUAAAAUAAGGGAUGACAUCUAGGAUAGGGAUAUACCUAGAAGCUUACUUGGUUCUCUUGCAAGAAGAUAACUUCAUGAAUCUAGAAGAAUUUUUGUAUCUCUGCAGGAGUUAUAGGUACAAUGUUUACUAGAUAGAAUAUUUGAGGUCGUGAGACUAAAAUCGUCACAUAAACCUUGCGAAUCAACAAUCCAAUAACUAAGUAAACUGCGAUAGGAAUAGAGAUUUGUAUGAUUGUUCGAAAUACCUCAACCCUGGGUUUUCUUCCAUUGAUUGUCCCAAGUAUUUUAUUUUUACGUAUUAUUUAUUUUAUUUUUAAUUUGCAAAGUUACAAACUCUCUCCUUGCUUACUUUUUCUCAAUUAGUUAAACUAGAAUUAUAUAGGCCGUGAACACAAGUUCCUGAGAGAUCGAUACUUGGGCUUUCUUGAAGCCACUAUAUUACUUAAUAAGACCACUUACACUUGCGUAUACGCUUGGGCACUGUCAAGUUUUUGGCGCCGUUCCUGGGGACUUGUAGUUAGGCAACUAUCUUAAUUUUAGUUUUUCUAUAUUGAGUUAUUAAUAGUUUUUGUUUUUUUUGUUUCUUUCUAAUUUUUUCUUUAUUCCUAUUUUUCUCACACUCUUCUUGAGAUGUCAAUCUUGGAUAGAUGAUUUUUGAGGGAUGAUGAUUCUUGUCAUUUUUUUGGAGGACCCCACCAUGAGGUUUUUUGUCCAGAUUUUGAUCCAAGCAUUUGGAGGGGACCUGUUUGUUUCCAACCUUUGGAGCAACCCACAAGUUGGUGUGUGGUUUGUUACAGUCUAUAUCACUCUGCAGAUAUGUAUUCUUUUAAUACUGAUUUAGUCAUAUUUGCGAAGACAACUAUGGAGGUUAAGGAUAUACCACCACCACCACAAGAAUCGCAGCCAUUCGACUGUCAUCUUUCUUUUAAGAUUGAAAUUGAGAAGGUGAAUAAAAGUGGGAGUGUUGAGGAUAGUAUAAAUUUUGAAGUAGGAUUUGUUGGUCCACACUUCAAGAACUUUUCUAUAUUAUAUUUAGAUGAUAUCUUGUCUGUAGAAUCAUUUAAAAUAGUGGAAGAGUGUAAAGAUGAGGAACAAGAAUCGUAUAUUCUUGAUUUUACAUCGGAUAAACAAUAUAAAAACACACCUCACCUCAAGGCCGAGUGGUUCAUCAUGAAUUGUCCAUUACUCGGUUCAUUAAUCUCUGUACCACCUCCAUAUAAUCGAGGCAAAAAGAUGGAUGCAAUAUUGGAAGUGAAAUCCAUAUCCUCAAGGUGGAGGAAAAAGUUGAUUGGGUCAUGCCGUGACACUAAAUUAGGCGCUUCUUGGGAGGCAACCCAAGGUAAGUAGGUUUUAUUUUCAGUUUUUAAUUUUUAUUUCACGUAGUUUUUUGUUUUUGGUUGAGUCACAGGUUAACGGGAAGUCUGAGUACCGUAAACUUGAGCUUGAAGCAUGGCAAAGAUGGAGUGUGGGGUUCCAUGGAUCUCCUCUUUAUGUGAAGAUGCUACUAGCUAGGCCUAGAGGCCUCAAGGAGUAUUUCUAUUUCUUACUUUUAAGUUCACUUUGGGGAUAAAGUAGAUUUUUAAGUGUAGGGUGGGGAAAUUACCAAAUUUUGACUCAAUUUAAAAAAAAUUGGUUAGGAAUAAGUGAGAUAUUCUUGUUGGUUCUAUUUUUGAUUACAUGAUGCAAGUGGGUUUGUUGAAAAAAGCAUGUUGAUUGAGUGAAUUACUAUUUUUGAGACUCUUAUGCUCAUGUUUUGUGACUCUAGUAUUUGUUGGCUUAAUUUUGAAUUCAUACUAUUGUUUGGUUGGGAGUCUAUGAUGAUCCUAUUGAGUUGAGCAUGUGCCAUGUGUGUGUGAGAUUUUUAUGUAUUCCCUGUCGCAUGUGAUGUCUAGAACUUGCCCGGUGUGUAUGUAAAGCGAAAUAAAGAAUGUCAGUUUAGGAAAUGAUAUAGGCAUUUCUUUGAUAACAAUAUUUUAUACCUUCUUUUUACCUACCCUUAUGCAUUAUCCUAGUUAACUCCCAUUGAGCCUUUAACUUUUUCUUUGGUAACCUUAUAAGUAGCCUAAUCUCUAUCAAAGCCUAAUCUCUUCUUUGAUAGACCAUAAUUUGAUCCAAAAAGCUUGUAAGUGCUUUAUUGAAAAAAAAAUGAAUUUGAGAAAGGAGUUUGAGAAAUUGAAGAAGAAAAGGGUGAAAUUGAUGCCCCAAGGUAAUAGUUAUUGGUGUAUAAUUGAUUUGUGGUGGAUGGUUGUGAUAUAAUUUAUGCUAAAAAUAUUGCCAUGAUUGUUAAAAAAUGAGAAAAUUGACUCUUGUGGUAGUAAACUAUGUGUCCACCAAGUGUUUGUAAAAAUGCUUAAACGAGAUAGGUAGACAACAGUGGUUUAAUUUGAUUGUUGGAGAUUGGUUUUAAAUGUAUAAUGUAGUGUAUUAAAGUGCUUAGAGAGGUCAGCCACUAUUCUUCGCCAAAAUAGUUCCUACCCGUCCCUUAGCCUACAUUACAACCCGAAAAAGUCCUAAUUGAUCCUAAGCUUUACAUUCGACUAUUAGUGGAACACUACACUAAGGGCAAGCCUAUGGUUCAUUAUGUGUAACUUGUGAAUUCUUUCUAAUAGUGAGCGUAAUUUGAUUCUUGUACCCAUUACAUUAUAAAUUACAUUAUUUUGAGUGAUUGUGGGUAACUCUCUUGUUGUGAGGGGCACAUGUUUGAUAAAUGUAGGUGAUUUGUAUGAUGUCCUUGAUUGAGUAAUAAGCAUGAAUUUACCAACUAGAUGAGUCAAUUCUUGAGGCUAGGUAUUUUUUGGAGUAGUGUUCUUGAGCUUUCAAUUGUGUAAAACAUGCUUAGUGUAGAAACUUGCAUUCAUGCAGUCAUUGUACUGCUAGCUUAAGUGUCUUUCAUGUAGUGGAAGUGUGGAGUCUCUUCAGCUCAUGGUAUUUAUAGUUAAGAGUUGUUCGAGGACGAACAAGGCUUUAAGUGUGGGGUGGUGAUGUUGGGUGUAUUUAUGCAUUCUAACGUUACUAUUCUAGCCUUUUUAGCCUUGUUUUGAGGAUGAUUCUUAUGAUAUGUACGAUAAUAAUGAUAUAAAUGAGCAAUUAUGUGUCCAAUUACAUGUUUACAAUGUUUAAUGGUGUUUCCACAUGAGUUUUGAUUCAAUUCGACCAUUUAGACUUCAACCGAGAAAGCUAGUGUCACUAGCUUGAGCUAGGUGUUGUCUAGUCUAUUGUGUUGAGUUCUAAUGUAUUUUAAUGAGUUAAUAAGGUUUUUAGUAUGUUUUUAUAUGUUAAAAAAAUUAUUUAUAAUGUUCAAGGGUCAAUUGGAUCAAGAAAAGAGUGAAAACAAUGAGUUAAAGCUCAAUAUGAAUUUAGCCUAUGCUUAGCUCGUCUUUCUAGUUCAUCGGUGAGGAUGUUGUGUUGUUUUGAGCUCUUAAUUAAUGUGUUUAAUGAUUUAGGAUGCUUGGUUCAUGUAUUAUGAUGAUAUAUUAAGGAUAUAAAAGCUUCAAAUCAAGUGGAAACAACUCAAUAAGGCUCGGAAUGCUCAACAAAAGUAUAUGACGCAAGUUGGAUACAAGUUGGACCCCUGAAAAGUAUUGGGCGAGUGUGGACUGUAAUGGUGUCCAAUGGAGGAGUUAAAAACAUUACUAGAUUCAUAAGAGGCCCAAGGUUUUGAAAGUAUGACUCGUGUAUCCUAAUUUGGAGUUUCCAGAGGCCCCGCGACACGUUGAAAUCGCGAACAGCUACUGGAAUUUGACAGAUUGUUUGACAAUUGUGAAUUUGCAUGUCUCUGCGUCAUGCCGAUGCCCAAAAUUGGGAUAAUUCUACCCAUCUAAAGUAAAAUAGCGUGGAAACCAAAUACAAGUCGGUUUAUGACUUGUAUACUAUAAAUAUAACGUCUCAAACUCCGUUUUGAUCAUCCUGGGACCGCUAGGAAACCCGAGAUCAACUUGGAACAUCAUUGGAGGAUACCACAACUUAUUUUUAGGUUUUGUCACUUUAAUUUAGUUUUUUUUUAUGAUUUGUAUCAUCAUUCCAAGGGAUUGGAUGAUGAAUAUUUCCAUUAAAGGCUAAAACCCUUUUUCCGUGGUUGAGGACAAGAACAUGAAUACUUUUAAAUAUUCUUUAUUGUAGUUUAAUUUUGGAUUAUUAUAUGGGUUGUUCUUAAUUUCUUGAGCCUACUAUUUUAAUGAUUAGCUACCAUUAGAAUAAAUCUAUAUUUUUAUGUGAAUCCGGGAGGAGAAUCAUAGAAUAGAACGAAGAAAUUAGGGAGCAAGGUUCUUAUUUUCUUAUAAAAUAAGGGAUGACAUCUAGGAUAGGGAUAUACCUAGAAGCCUUGCUUGUUUCACUUGCAAGAAGACAACUUCAUGAAUCUAGAAGAAUUUUUGUAUCUCUGCAGGAGUUAUAGGUACAAUGUCGUCACAUAAACCUUGCGAAUCAACAAUCCAAUACCCAAGUAAACUGUGAUAGGAAUUGAGAUUUGUAUGAUUGUUCGAAAUGCCUCAACCCUGGGUUUUCUUCCAUUGAUUAUCCCAAGUAUUUUAUUUUUACGCAUUAUUUAUUUUAUUUUUAAUUUGCAAAAGUACAAACUCUCUCCUUGUUUACUUUUUCUCAAUUAGUUAAACUAGAAUUAGAUAGGCGACAAACGCAAGUCCCUGAGAGAUCGAUACUUGGGCUUCCUUGAAGCCACUAUGUUACUUGAUAAGACCACGUACACUUGCGUGUGUGCUUGGGCACUGUCAAGGAGCAACGAUGCUAUUUUAAUUCUAAAGAAGGUUAGAUCCAGUUUAUUUUAUAAAACAUGAAACUGGUUGAUCCAGUUAGAACUCUCAUACCAAAUUUCAAUUCAACCAUCUUUGAAAUAUUGCAUCGGAUCAAAAAUCUGCAUUCUUGGAGAUAUAAUAAAUGUAUUUGGUGACCCAUGUAUAGGAGUCACAAAAAGUUAAUUUGUAGAAUCUUCCCGUACAUGAUACCUCAUAGAACUAUUAGACCGAGAAGGCACAUUCCUAAGUGUAGAAGUUAUAGAUGGUUAGAUAAACUAUUACUAAGUUACAAAUCAGAAAGAUAUUGCUUAGCAACUUAUAUGUCUCCUAGAGUAAGAACACUUUGGCUUCCCUCAACAAUUUAAUGAGAUUAUAAUAAAAAAUGGCUCCAACACUUUUGUCCUUGCUCACCGAAAACUUAUGCAUGAUUUUUGCCCUCUUUAUUCACAUAUCCAUAUACAAUUAUAUUUAUAGCAAUAUUUUAGUUAACAAACAAUACAAGGACUGUUAACAAAUAAUUCACUACUAUUCUUAUACACUACCAAAACACCUCUUAUUGGUUAAUAUCUUUGUAUCAUCAAGCAGAAGCAAUACUUGGGGCGUCUGUUGAACCUGUAAUUUACUUGGAGCUUAAUGGAGUGAUUGUGGCUUAUAUUUUUAUUCCCUACCCAUAAUUUGCAUCAUCACCCCUCUCUUGACUGGACUAACAUAGCCUAGCUGGUAAGUCUUGCCAAAAAUUCCUUUGACAUCUUUAGAUAGAUUGAAAAACUUAAAUUGUGUCUCUAGAUAAGCAAAAGCAAUAUAUCCUGGUAAUUGAUAAUUGUGAACCUUUGUUUUCUCUCACCAAUGGGGAAUACAUUUACAUUCAAUUGCAAUAGUCUAGAAACUGUGGCCCUCAUGCUGUUAAGAUCAUCUGUCCUUUUGACCACCACUAAUCUCUCAGCAGUGUUAAGACUCUAUUCUGCAUCUCUAUCUGUCGGAACAUCAACUGUCUUGUCUCACUAUUCCACUGUACAGUUAGAGCAUCAACAUUUACGUCUAAGUUUAACACUUUCUUUGCUCCUACAACUAAUGUAUGGGUGUCAAACAUGACUGAAAAUAUUUGAACCCAUGAAAAGUCACACUUCUUUCCCCUGUAGUUGUGUACCAAUUAGAUAUGCAUUAAUGUGGUGGUUUUCAUAUGAGAGAAUAGGAAUAUCAGUUUCCUUUACUCCAUGGAAGUAGAACAUCAUGUCGUCAUAGCCCAUAAAUCUGAGAUCGUAGCAUCAAGCACCAUAACCAUCAUACCUAUCUUGUAGCCUUUGAACUUCCUAUUAUUUUCCAAUACCUGAUUCAUAUGCAAUAGAAAAUUUCUUAAAUUGGCAUCUUUCCUUGUAUCUUUAGGCUUUUGUUAGAGAACACAUGUAUGAUAUCUCAAAAAUAGGGUUUCUAUAGUAUUGCCUUCACAUAUACCUGUGUAGUGACCUUUCCUAAUUAUUGUGUCCCCAUAUUUUGACUUCAAUAUGCAACCUAUUGUGUCAUCAGAGGUUUUAACUAUUUUCUGCAAAAUUAUAUAUGGUUUAAAAAUUAAGUUAGAAUUUCUACCUAAGCCAAUAAUCAUGAGAUAUAUGAUCAAAUUUCAAAAGAAUAGUAAAUCAAACAAACCAAAAGACAUAUGCGAGCCCCCAAUUUCGAGAAUAUGAAUGAAACAGAAAUUCAAGGAUGAAAUAUAAAAAUAAAUUCCAUAUCUCUUACUCAGGUAGAUAAGUUUUCCACUGGAUUCUUCUUUAAUCCAGAGGAAAGUGAAAGAAAAGUAAAUCACAUUGAUAUACAGAUAGAGAGGAUUGAAGGUUGAAUUUAAUACACAUUGAUACAGGCAUACAUAUUGGGUACAUAAAAUUCAAGGAAUUUGCAUAAAUUGCAAUGAAAAUUGGAUUGUGAAAAAGUACAAACAUAAUAAUGGACAAUUUUACCCAAUCAACUAAAGGCAUCUUUAAGCUGAUAGAUCUAUAAUAUCCCAUGAUAAAUCUACAUGACUUUUUCUAUUUCUUUCAUCACCAAAAUUCAGAAUUGAUCUUAUCAUAGAUAGAGAAUUCAUAUUGAAACCCAAUAUAACCAUCAAUUUUUAGCUUUAAAUAUAAGACUAAAAAAUACACAUACUCAAAUCAACAACAAAUGAACACUACAGAUAAAAUGUUUAAAGCAAGUACGGUAACAAUAGAUGAGAAAGAAAUGAACCUUUUACUCAAAAUUUGUAAUUUUUUAUGGUCAAGGGACUGAAUGCAUCGACUGGUACAUUGAAAAUGUACUAAACCACUCAAAUAGAAUCUUAACUCUUCAACCAAAACACGUUUCCAACAUUUAAGGAUAUGUUGUUGCAACUAGAUAAUCGGUGCAUACAACAUUGCUAUAGAGAAGGAAAUAAAGUAGUUGAUUGCCUAGAAAAUUGGGGUCUGCAAUAUGUGUUAGGGCAUGAGAAGUUUUGAUGAUAGACAUGUGAAUGAAAUAUGUUGUGCAAGUUGUUCCAUAUAAGUGAAACUACUUCUAUCAGAUGAAGUGCAUGCUGAAAUUAUUACAGGACUGUCAAAGUAUUAGGACAAGAAUGGAAAAGCAAGGGAUGUUCAGAUUUGUUUCAAAGUCUAUAAGAAGAUAAUUGUAGCAUUCAGAAGUUGAGUUGAUUAGGGAGUCUAAAAGGUUAAAGGAUAAAGCAAAAGAAUCCUACUCAAUCUAGAAGAGAGAUAGGCGGCUACAACAAGAAGUGAAGUUACUUGAUAGAGUCCCAUAGAAGAUAGAAGAAGAGAUAAAAAAGAAAUGCAUCAGAAGGUGUACAUAUAUAUGACAAGCUGCAUUCAAGUAACUUACUCAAUGCACUAAAAAGAUAAUCAACAAUCAGCAUAUCAGUUCACAUACUUGAAGAUGAACCUGGUCUCUUACUUAGAAAGUCAUAGACUAUGUGUAGUGGUAGGUUCUUUGAGUUGUAAUGAUUCAUUGUUCUAGUCUCAGUGAUCUAUAAACUGAGUUAGGAGUUGUGUCUUCAAGUUGGAGAACUCGAAGAUUUGGGAACACCUAUCUUAGAAAGAUUUGUGUUUUAUAGUGAUAGGAGUUAGAAGUUUUAAUUCCUAGUUUACAAGAAGUCUUGUAAUUUUGUUGAUUGUUGAGGCUCAAGUAUUAUAGUGAAGUUGGGGUUAAAUCCUAUAGGGGUACAGGUCGUGGUUUCUUACACCUUUCUUGAGUCGGGUGUUUUCCUCAUAAAAACACUGUGUUUGAUAUUUACUUCUGUGAACCACGUUUACUUGUUUCACAGAUAGGAAACUAGUAGGGCUCAUACUCUAACAAAUGGUAUUAAAGAGAGGUUGUCUUAAAUAAGGCUAGCACCUAAGAAAAAAUCAAUAUGAUGAAUUUUGCACCUCCUACUGGUCACAGUGAUGGUCAAUCAACUACUAGACCUCCACUUUUUUAUGGCUCUUACUUUAUCUAGUGGAAAGCAAGGAUAGAGAUGUUCAUUCAAAGUGAAGACUAUGAAUUAUGAGACAGGAUUACUGAUGGUCCCACUAUUCCAAUGAAGAUGGUUGAUGGUGAACAAGUCAAGAAAGUAAGGAGUAAAUUUACUCCUGAUGACUUGUUGGCUUUAAAGAAAAAUUCAAAGGCCAAGAACAUCUUGGUUUGUGGACUAGGACCUGUUGAAUACAAUAGGGUAUCCACCGGUACUACUGCUAAGCAACUUUGGGAUGCACUGGUAAAUGGUCAUGAAUGCAGUUCUCAAGUAAGAAAAUUCAGGAUUGCUCUCCCCUGUUUACUGAGUAUGAGGCAUUCAAAAUGAAGGAAAAUGAAACCCUGCAUUAGAUAAUGACAAGGCUCACAACCUUAACAAAUAAGUUUACUUCCUUAGGAAAAGUCAUCUCUAAGGAAAAACAAGUUGAAAAGGUACUGAGGGUGUUACCUAAAUCAAAAUGGAAUGUUAAGGUGACUGCAAUCAGGGAGGCAAAUAAGGAUCUUGAAGGCAUGACCCUGGAUGAAUUAGUAGGUAACUUAAGGACUUAUGAAAUAGAAGUUGAUGGAGUCAUAGAACAAGCAGCCCCUGAGAAAAUCUUAGCAUAAAAAGCUUCUGAUAGUGAUGAGGAGUUUAAAAUUGAUAAGGAGCAAGUUGCCUUCAUAACCAACAACUUCAGCAAAUUCUUUAAGAAGAAGAAGGGAACAGGUACUAAGAAAUGUUCAAAUGACAAUCCAAAUGGGUGCUACAAAUAUGACAAAACUGAUUAUUAGAUCAUACACUGUCCAAAUUAGGAAAUAGAAUGGAAGAAAGAAACGGCUGAAAAGGAACCGAAGGCAAAAAUAAAGGAGGAGCAUAUAAUGAUAGCAGCUCGGGGAUCUAAUUCAGAUGAAGAUAAAGUUGAUGAAAAUACAUUCAUGGCUUUUAGAGAUUCAGAAUUAGAUGAAAAAGAUGAGGGCUCUAAGGUAAGUAUACUUGAACUCAAAGAAAAAAUGCAAUUAUUCUCAAAACCAAAACUUAUUUCCUUGAUGAGUGCAUUGAUUGAUGAUUUCCAAGAGUUAACCUCUGAUAGGGAUGAAUCGUUCAACAUCUAGCAAGUCUCAAAUUUGAUCUCAUUGAUCUAAAGACUUGCUUAGAUACAGUUGACAAGGAAAAUUUCACUCUCAAGAAAUAAGUUUCAGAACUUGAGAUUUCAAACAACAAUCUUAAGUCUAAAGUUCUCAAAUUAACUCUCACUAAAAAUGGGAAAAAGGCCAUGAGUAAAGAACAAGAAAAUGUUGAACUUGAGAUAGCUAAAUACAAACAAGAAUACCAUAAUUUAACUGAAAAAAUGAAUAAGUUGAUUUAGGAAGUUUCUGAAUUAAAACUGGAUCUUGAAAGGGAAACUGGGUGGACAAAUUCCUCAAGAAUUAUUCACAAAUUAAGUGAGAGAAAUUUCAAUGAAAAGGCAGGUUUAGGAUUCCACAAAAGCUUUGAUGAUCCUAAAGAUUUAUGUUACAUCUGUGGAAACCUUGGACAUCCCACCACUAAAUGUCCAGUGGUUUGAAAAAGCAGGUCAAACAGUCAAAACCUAGCUAGCAGAUCUUUUCAGACCAAAAGGAACAACACCAGUUCUGGUCAGAGAAAUAGGUCGCACUACUUGUUGCCUGCAUGGACAAAAAGAAAUUUAAUUCAUCCUUUCACUCAUAAAAUAGGACCCAAUCUUGUCUGGGUUCCUACGUCUAACCAUUGAUUUCUUUUGCAGGAGAAAGUGAAAGGAAGCAAAAGGUACUAGUAUUUAGACAGUGCUUGCUCAAGACAUAUGACUGGUGAUAAGAAAAAGCUCCUUUACUCUCCAAAAUAAAUAGAGGAGUUUCUUUUGGUAAUGGAAAAUAGGGAAUCAUAACUGGAGUUGGAAAGAUUGGCUCAUCUGAGUCAAAAGCAUUACAAGAUGUCUAUCUUGUAUAAGGGUUAAAGCGUAAUCUGCUAAGCAUCUCACAACUGUGUAACAAAGGUAAUAAAGUUAUUUUUACUACUGCAGAAGUCAAAGUCAAAAGGAUAGACACCAAAAAGAUUGUGCUCACUGCAAGGAGAUACAAAAAUGUAUACAAGCUGACAUCAUGGCACUACCAGAACUUGAGUUGACUUAUCUGAGUGCUGUAGAAUAAUUCCCUUCUUUGGCAAAGAAGACUUGGUCAUGCAAGUCUGAAACAACUAAACAUACUUUCAUUGAAAGACAUGGUAUUGUGAUUAUCCAAGACCAUGUUAAAGAAAGAAAAGCUAUGUAGUGCAUGUGUAAGGGGAAAGAAGGUAAGAUCUUCUUUUAAGUCAAAGAACCAUGUUAGCACUACCAAGUGCCUUAACCUGGAUCAUAUAGACUUAUGUGGACCCAUGAGACUUUAAAAUAGAGGUGGAAAAAGAUAUCUUUUUGUAGUUGUUGAUGACUAUUCCAGAUUCAUAUAGACUUUGUUUCUAGCCUCUAAAGAAGAUGCCUUUGAUGUCUUUGAAAUCUUCAUUAAGAAAAUUAAAAAUAAACUAGGCAUUUCAUUAGUUUCCAUAAGGUCUGACAAUGGUUCAGAAUUUGUCAAUGUAAAAUUCUUGAAAUACUAUUCAGCAAAUUGUAUAGAUCACAACUUCUUAGCUCCUAGAACACCACAACAAAAUGGAGUGGUGGAAAGGAAAAGUAGAACCUUGGAAGAAAUGGCUAGAACAAUGAUGGUUGCAGCAAAUGUUGCUAAGAACCUUUGGGCUGAGGCAAUAAGUACUGCAGCAUAUAUCAUAAAUAGAUACAUGAUCAUACCUAUGUUAGAGAAGACUCCCUAUGAAUUACUAAAAGGAAGAAAGCCUAACAUCUCUUACUUUAGAACCUUUGGAUGUAAAUAUUUCAUACAUAAUAAUGGAAAGGAUAAUCUAGGAAAAUUUGAUGCCAAAAGUGAUGAGAGAAACUUCUUAGGUUAUUCACUUCAUAGUAAAUCCCAUAGGAUUUUAAACAAUAGAACUAACUAUGUUGAAGAAAGCAUGCGUGUAAUUUUUAAUGAAUCCUAUGUUAAGACUAACCUGCAGGAAGAAAAUGAUAGUGAGGAACAGGUUACACAACCUGAUUCACUGACUGGAGCUACCAAACUUAGAGGCACCUCAACAGAGGGAACUGAAGCUAAAGACAUAGUGAUAAGGGGAACUGAGCCACCAACUACCCCAGAUAAGAAUGUCAUUAAUGAUCCUAGUAGCUCACUAGGCUUGAUUCCAAAGGGAUACAAGUAUCAAGGUUCACAUCCUAUAGAAAAUGUUCUUACUAAGCUCACCUCUGGGAUCACUACAAGAUCUGGACUGAGAAGUAUGUGUGUCUUCAAGGCAUUUCUGUCAGAAAUAAAUCCAAAGAAGAUAACUGAAGCAUUGCUUGAUUCUGAUUGGAUCAUAGCCAUGCAGGAAGAGCUGAAUCAAUUUGAAAGAAGCAAAGUAUGGCAUUUAGUUCCUCUUCCAAAAGAUAGAUCAGAAUUGGAACUAAGUAGGUAUACAGGAAUAAAGUUGAUAAGCAUGGAACAGUCACCAGAAACAAAGCAAAGUUGGUGGUCCAAGGAUACAACAAGGAGGAUGGAAUUGACUUUGAUGAGACUUUUGCUCCUAUAGCAAGAUUUGAAGCUAUAAGAUUACUUGUUGCUUUUACUGCCUACAAGGAGUUUAUACUUUACCAAAUGGAUGUGAAGAGUACAUUUCUAAAUGACAUUCUCAAAGAAAAGGUGUAUGUCAAGAAACCUCUAGGAUUUGAAAGCAGGGAGUUUCUUGAUCAUGUGUAUAAACUGGAUAAAGCCUUGUAUGGGUUGAAACAAGCACCUAGAUCUUGGUAUGAGAGGUUGUUAAAGUUUCUACUGGAGAAUGGCCAUUCCAAAGGUAAAAUUGACAAUAACCUUUUCUUAAAAACUAAUAGAAAGGAUUUGUUAGUUGUGCAGGUAUAUGUGGAUGACAUUAUUUUUGGAUCAACCAACAUGAAUAUGACUCAUGAGUUUGCCAAACUCAUAAGUUGUGAAUUUGAGAUGAGCAUGAUGGAAGAGCUGAAUUACUUUUGGGAUUGCAAAUUAAACAGUCAGCAUCAGGGACAAUGAUACACCAACAGAAGUAUGUCAAAGAGCUUCUCAAAAGAUUCUCCAUGGAAAAAGCUAAAGAAAUCAGCACUCCUAUUGCCACUGCCACAAAGCUUGAUCUAGAUGAAUCAGGUCCUGAUGCGAAGCAAACAAUGCAUAGAGAUAUGAUAGGGUCACUAUUGUACCUCACUGGAAGCAGGCCUGAUAUUGUGUUUAGUGUAGGGCUAUGUGAUAGGUUUCAAGCUAAGCCCAAGGAAUCACAUCUAAAAUCAGUAAAAAGAAUCUUUAGAUACCUAAAGGGAACCAGUGAUCUUGGAUUAUGGUAUCCCAAAGGUAGAAACCUUGAUUUGGAAGAAUAUUCUGAUGAUGAUUAUACAGGAUACAUGGUGGACAGGAAAAGCACUACAGGUAUGGAACACUUCUUGGGAUCAUGUUUGAUUACCUGGUCCAUAAAGAAGCAAAAUUUAGUUGUCUUAUCCACUACUGAGGCUGAAUAUAUGGCUACUGGGUUAUGUUGUGCGCAGUUAUUGUGGAUCAAACAACAACUUUUGGAAUUUGGGAUAGAUGUAGGUUGUGUUCCAAUUUUUUGUGAAAACACAAGUGCUAUAAACAUUGCCAAAAUCUUGUCCAACAUAAGAGAACUAAUCAUAUUGAUAUUAACCAAAACUUUCUUAGAGACAAUAUUGAAAAAGGCCAUAAAUCAAUUAUGUUUUGUUUGACUGAAGAAUAAAUUGCUGACAUAUUUACUAAGGCUUUAAGUAGAGAACACUUUGAAUAAAAUAUAUUAGCCUUGGGGGUGAUUAAAAUUGUAUAAAUCUCCCCCAAUGAUUGACUAGAAUAAUUAUACCUUAGUGAUUGUUGAUUAAUUCAAUCUUACAUAUUUAAUUAUGUAUCUUAAUUCCAAGAUUUUAGAGUAAAUUAACUCAUCUAUGUGUUAGGUUUUGCAGAUAGACUGGACCAUCAAGGCAAGGUUGUUUAUUGACUAAUCAGAACUCAGGUAUGAUUAUUAUUUUCCCAUAGUAGCAUUAAGAGAAAUAGGUUAUCUAUAUGGUUCCUUUCUGUUAUGAUUAAAAACACCAAAAACCCAAAAGUUUUUCUUCUUCAAAAGGCUGAAAGAUCUUUCCCAUCAGCACAUAACCCCUACCUCAUUACGGUUCUUCCAAAUACAGUCCCCUCACAUUUUAUCUUCCUUCUUUUCCUUCUUAAAUUGCCUCUUGUCUUUCUUCUAUAUCCACUUCUUCUUCAACCUUUGCCAAUCAAAAUAAAUUAUGGUGUAUUCCUCAUCAUCUUAUUCCUUAGAAUCUUCUACCAGUCCUUCAACCGCUAUUAUUCUUCACCCAAACAUCACCUUACCUUCAGUAAUAUCCCGUAUAUUUCUACGCUAGAAAAUGAACCAUUGUUCCUACACAAGAAACCUCUUAUCCUGUGAUUCAUGUUUGAGUACAUGAACUAUGAUGUGUAUCCUAGUGAUAAUAGAGCUUAUGAUGUGUUAAGCAUGUUCAGAAGAGUCAUUUAGAGUAAGCCAAGCUAAGAACUUGUGAAUCCACCAAGUUUUUGUGUGUGAUUUCACAUAGGUCAUCUUUGAACAAUAAUAACUUGGUUUAUAGGUGGUAUUUUGGAAGAUUCAUACCUCCAAAUUGUAUAUAAUUCAAUAAGCUUUCCAUCGAUACCAAACUCGCCUAAAACGGACACCCGGUGAAAAAGUUAUGGCGAUUUAAAGUUUCAACAAUAUCAUUUCAGUCAGUGGCACGUUGCAACGUAAGCCAAAAUGACGUUUGUCAAUUUCCAAUGUCUCUCCGCAAUUCUAGCACAUUACGGUGAGUUUCCAGGUCACAAACAGGUGGCAACGCAAUGUCUCCGCAUCACGUCGGUACCCCAAAUCGGGUAAUUUUCACAAAAAUUUAAAUGACGCAUCUAGAGGAGUAUUAGCGAUAAACAUGGAAUUUAGCCCAAUCCAACCAUACUAUACUCUCUUUUCUCAAAAUUCUCUCAAUAACCUCAUAGGGUUUUCAUAGGAGCUUUAAGAUUCAAAGGAUUUCACCAUUAAUUUUCAUGGAUCUUCUAUCCGAGGUAUGCAUAGUGUUCAUCCACGGAUUCCUUUCAUCCGUGGAGUUCAAGAAUUAAUCUUUAAAUAAUAAAUCAUGAAUCUUUUGUGGUGAUAUGAUUGUAUUCAUGUUGGUAGUUGUGGUUAUGCUAUAGAGUAGUGAUUUGAUGAAUUUUCAUGAAGGUUUUGAUAAUGUAGUUGGAACUCAUGAAUUUGGGUGGUUUAAUGUGAUGUAAAUUGAUGAACACACCUAUUCUUUAAAGAGUGCAUGCAAGGUGUUUUAUAAAAUACUUAGAAUGCUAGGAAUUUCAUGUUUACAUGGUCCCAUAUUAUCUACAUGACAAGGCCAUGUUAACUAUACAAUUCAAUAUGAGUUCCAUGCCAUUAUUUUAUUGCUACUAUUGUGGUAUGAAGAAUUUAUGAUAAUUGAGUGAUAUAAUAUGUACAUGAUUAUAUAUUCCAUGCACUCCUUACUAUGCACAAGAUGUUGAAAACUACAUGUAGUAUAUUAUCCCCUACUUAUGAUAUUAUGGAUUGUGGACUCCAAUCUUGUGAUCAAGUUAUGUCAUGUGUGUCAAUUUUCUUAUAUCGAGUUCUGAGGGUAUUCGUACCCAAAAAUUAUAGUUGUGUGCCUAGAGCCAUUUCAUGUUGUCACAAUAAUCUCACUCAAGCCAUAAUCUAUAGAACUCAGUCAGUCAUGUGACUCAGGAAACCUCAGAAAUCUCAUGAUCUCAGUAAAUUCUCAAAUAGUAGUACUAUUCUGUCAAUCAAUGAAAGUCAGUCACUCAGUCCAUGCACAGUCAGUUAAAUUAUGAUCAGUCCCUUUAGAUAUGAGUAGGUGUUAGCACCGAGUGAACCCAAGGAUGGGAACUCACCUGUUAUAUGAGGGUGUGAUUCUUAGCAGUCAUCCUUGCAUUCUUGAACUAUAUAGCCAGCAUAGGUUAAGACAUCAUCGCUGGCUAUAAAAGGGUGGAUGAGGUGGCUUAACCUGUUAUAUGAGGGUUUCCACCGUUGUCACUAGAGUUACCUGUUAUAUGAGGGUUGCUCAUACAUUAUCCUUACCAGUGGCACGGUAUUGACACCCUUUCAGUAAGGGCAGAUAUUAGACCCCAUCUUAGCCAUAAUAGCACAUAUGGGGCAUGUCAGUUAAAUAACUACCUCCCACAGUUUCAAACUCAGUCUUAGUAAAAGUACUCAGAUAGUUCUUCAGAUAUCAGUAUACUAGGACUGUCAGAUACAGUCAAAUUCAGUUAUAGUAUGGAACUCAAAUAGUUCCACUAGAUUCAAGACUGCUAAACAGAGUCGCCCAUAUUAUCAGAACUACAGCUUCAGUCAUGUCAGUUAUCAGCAAACCAUGUAUUAGAGUACAGAUCUAGAUAUCACGUACUCACAAUCUCAGUUACUAUGUAUAUAUGUUUGUAUUUCUACAUUUAUAUCAGUUAGUCAGUUAGCUUUGUUCAUGCAUGUAAACCCUUUGCAUUUAGCCUACCUUAUUCGUAUACUCAGUACUACAGUUGUACUGAUGCAUUUGUGCUAUGGUUCUUUCUUUUCAUGUGACACUAUAGGUUCAGCGACACGAGUUUCAGACCAAUAGUAGCAGUUGCGAUCCAGUAUACAUAGUUGUAGUGAGUCCUCUUCAUUCGAGGACUAUAUGAUCUGAUUUAUUUAUUAUUUUAGUUAGUUUUUUUUGUUUAUGGAGUUAGUUGGAGACAUGCUCCUUCAACUCCUUAUUAAUACGGUACUUAGAGGCUUUCAGAUUUAGUUCAGAUUUAUCUCAGACUUCAGUUGUUUUGGGUAUUUUUCACCCACACGGAUGUUAUAUUUUGAUAGAUCCUUUAUUUAGUUGAACCUUAUGGACUACAUGUUCAUUUUUUCUGCAUUAUUACAUGUAUAUUAUGUAGUGUACAGGUACAGAUAUCAGUCAUGGGUUUGCUUGUGGUCCUUACCAGUGGCGUGGUAUUAACACCCUUCCAGUCAGGGCAGAGAUUGGACCCCAUCUUAGCCAUAAUGGCACAUAUGGGGUAUGUCGGUUAAAUAACUACCUCUCAUAGUUUCAGACUCAAUCUCAGUAAAAUAAUUCAGAUAGUUCUUCAAAUAUUAGUAUACCAGGACUGUCAGAUACAGUUAAAUUCAGUUAUAGUACGAAACUCAGAUAGUUUCACCUGAUUCAAGACUAUCAGACACAGUCGCCUAUGUUAUCAGAACUACAAUUUCAGUCAUGUCAGUUAUCAGUAAACCAUGUAUUAGCAUACAAAUCUAGAUAUCACGUACUCACGAUCUCAGUUACUAUGUAUGUAUGUUUGUACUAUUACGUUCAUACCAGUUAGUCAGUUAGCAUUGUUCAUGCAUGUAAACCCUUUGUAUUUAGCCUACCUCACUCAUAUACUCAGUACUCCAGUUAUACUGACGUAUUUAUUCUAUGGUGCUUUCUUUUUAUGUUACACCAUAGGUUCACCGACACGAGUUCCAGACCAACAGUAGUAGUCACAAUCCAGUAUACAGACAGUGAGUCCUGUUCAUUCAAGGACUAUAUGAUUUGAUUCAUUUAUUAUUUCAGUUAGUCUUUUUUUGUUUAUGGAGUUAGUUGGAGACAUGUACCUUCAACUCAUUAUUCAGACAGUACUUAGAGGCUUUCAGAUUUAGUUCAGAUUUAUUUUAGACUUCAGUUGUUUUGGGUAAUUAUUACCUACAAGGAUGUUAUGUUUUGAUAGAUCCUUUAUUCAGUUGAACCUUAUGGCCUACAUGUUCAUGUUUUCUGUAUUAUUACAUGUAUAUUAUGCAGUAUACAGGUACAGAUAUCAGUCAUGGGUUAGGUUGUGGUCUUUUGGGGUCAUAAGCACUGUGUAGCAUUCCGGUUUAGAAAAUUAGGGUAUUACAAACUUGGUAUCAGAGCCUAACGUUCAAUAGAGUCCUAGGAAGUCUAAAAUCCGCAUCUAGUAGAGUCUUGUACAUGUGUGUUUUGUGCACCACACUUAUGUGCAGAAGGCUAUGAGAUGUUUUAGGAAUAAUUUCCCUUCUUUCAUGUCUCAGAUCAUGCUAUAGCAAGGUUCUCUAAGGAACCCAUCCAGAUUCACAUCAUGCUUCCCUCAUGUCAACUUUACCUUACUUCCAAGGUAACAGAAAUAGUGAAGCUCAAGUCCUAAAGAUAGGGCUUUCUCAGAUAGUAUCCCUCAGUUCCCUUAUACUCCUAAGUUAUACGGAUCUUAUUCAUGAUCAUGAGAACUUGUUCUCGAACCUAGAUUUAGAUAUGCCAUCUGAUCCCUUCUCUGAAUCCUAUGACAACAUAGACCUAGAAUUUUUAAGCAUAAACUCAGGAGUUAACAGUGGUAGAGUUGGGAUAGUAUCAUCCAGUUUGAUCAGAUUAUGUAUUCAUGGGGAUAAUUAUGCCAAAAUAAAUUAGUAGGCUUGAACUGUGUGAGUUAAAAAUUUAAGUUUAUUGACUUGAAAUUAAGCAUGACGGUGUGAAUGUGAUAUUAGUAGUAUGUGAGGUAACAGAGGCAGAUAAUGGGUUUAGUAAGGCAAGCAUGUGUUUGACAGAGUGUAAGUAUGUGAUUAAGAUUAAAGUUUAGUUCAGAGAUUAGUUUAGUGUUCAUAGGCUUAUAAUGAUGGCUUUAAGCUAAGGUCAAGAUGAUAGAUCAAGUAACCCAGUCAGGAUCUUAGAUUCUAGUAGUAGCAUCAGUAUGUACAGAAAAGCAGUUAGGAAAGACGAUUCCUGAGCCAUCCUUAUCUCAGUGUAAAGCUUUGUACUUCAUUCAGCAUAAUUCCUAUGCAUGCUUCAUGUCUCAGAUUCCAUGAAUAUAUCUUAUGUUCACAUGCCUCCCAUAAAAUUGUGUGUGCUUUUAGUUCCCAGCAUAGGGAGUUCAGUUCUAGCUCACUCAGUGUUAUGAAUCAUAUUCCACGAAUUCAGAAAUUUCAAACUCAGGUCAUGCAGCUCAUGACUCAUGUACAUAUGUCAUGCCUUAUAGUAUAUUUAGUUUCCAUGACUCAUGUUAUGCCCCUACAUAUAGGAUAAAUUCAGACUAUGUCAUGUUUAUCCUCAGUUUAGGCCUUUUUGGUAAAUCCAUGUUAUUGACAUUCUAUUCCUCAAGUUUAAGUUAUAUGUCAAGUUCAGUCAGUGCCAAUUUAUGUUUCAGGUUCUCCUGAUGUAAUCCUUCAGUAAGAUUUCCUUAUGGAACAUUGUAGUGAUGAGCAGUUGCUUAGAUAGGAGAUGAAAGUGUUUUAUGUUAAGAGAAGAUUGUGGCAUACUUACUAUAUACGAGGGGAUAGUUACAUAGAUAGGCUUGAAUACUAUGUUAGUGUGCAAGUAAGUGGUUAUCAUGAGGUUGUAUUUAGAAGAUGGGGAAGUAGAGAGUGUGAAUGUAUAUUUAGAUCCUUGACUUAUAUCAAUCCCCAUCGCGCACUAUGGAAACUCAGUUUUUAUCUUAGUUACAAUUUCACUAUUCAGCACCCAGUAAUCAGUGUUUAGUUCCAGAAUUUAGUAUUUUAGUAUCAUUCUGAACCUUAGUUAUCAGCAUUCAGUUAUCAGAACCCAGCAUUUAGCUCCAGUAAGAAUCUCAGUUACAGUUUUAGUUUUAGUGCCAACUUCAGUUUAGUAAUCAGAUCAGAAAGUUAGUUUAGUUCCAGACUUGCUUGACCCAUGCUAUAACUAUCAGUUACUCAGUCAGUAGUAUUUCAGUACCUCAGUCUAUAGGAUGUUUCUAAAUCAUGUUAUACGCCUAGCCUUGCAUUCUUAAGGUGAUACAGUUUUUCUCAUUCAUGCUUAGUUACCUCAUGUUAUCCAGUCAAUUAUUACCUCCUAUGCAUAAUAUUCUACAGCCUUAGUCCAGUUAUUUAGACUAAGUACAGACAAGUCUCACAUGCCCAAUAUUCAGCUAUCAGUUAUUCAGUUAAUCAGAUAAGUUAGUAUAUUCAUACAGUCAUACUCAGCACCUUAUAAAUCUUUCAGUUGUCUUAGUUGCAGUGCGUAAAAUUUAGUUGCUUUAUCUUAGAUUCUAUAUAAGGCCUCAAGUUUCAGAUCUCAGAUAAUCAGUCAUGAUUUAGUUCCUAGCUGCCUUGCGUAUCACCUCAGUUUCCCUCAGUAGCUCAGCAAUAUAAUAUUCCUAUAGGGACCUAGUGUCCCAAGGGGGAGAUAUGCUAUGAUCCCUCAAACUUUUAUAAAAUAAGUGUCCCAUUCUCUUUUCAUGUAACGAAUCCAUUUUAGAGUAGGGAUACUCAUAAGUUGGCCCUCUACCUCCAAAUCUCAGUCGUAACCUUGUACUCAAUAGCUCAAUUUAGUCCAUGAUAAGAUACUCUAUCUAUGUCAUGCAUUACAGACUCAGUUUAGUUCAUGUAUCACGUUCCAGACUCAGUUAUGUUCUUAUGUUUUCGCUUAUGCAUAUUGAGUAAUUAAUCUCAGACUCAUCAGUAUAUUUGGUUUAAGGUAAUAGUUUUCUUUGAGCUUACUUAUUCUCAUGUUCAGAUUUUAGUACCAAGCUUGGUAUCCCAUUCCAUGCUCAGUUUUUAAUUCAACUUGGUGUCUUUACCAUUGCAUGUUAAGUCGCAUGUUCAUGAUUCAGUUUAGUCGUGUAUUAAUGCAUCAGAUAUGUGUGAUCAGCUUAUCAGUACUUCCAGUCAUACAUUCAUGUAUCAUGUCAGCCAUAUAAUCAUGCAUCAGAUAUGCAUGGAUUUAGCUUAUCAAUUUUUGUAUCACAUAUGCAUUCUCAUUGUGAGAAACUUAGUUCAUUAGAACACUUAGUCCUUCAUUCAUGAAUCAGUUACCCAUGCAUCAGAUAUGCAUAUUCAGUAUGAUAUUCUUAUUUUUCAUUCAUGCCAGUCAUAAACCAAGGUUUCAGUAGUAUAUGUCUUGUACGUACUCCAAUUUAUUUUUACUCCCCUUUCAGUCAGUCUUAUUCGAGGACAAAUAUUCCCAAGGGGGAGAUAUUGUAAUACCCCAUAUAUUUCUAAGAUAGAAAAUGAACCAUUGUUCCUACUCAUGAAACCUCUUAUCCUAUGAUUCAUGUUUAAGUACAUGAAUUAUGAUGAGCAUCCUAGUGAUAAUAGAGCUUAUGAUGUGAUAAUCAUGUUCAUAAGAGUCACUUAGAGUAAGUCAAGCUAAGAACUUUUGAAUCCACCAAGUUUUCAUGUGUUAUUUAACAUAGGUCAUCUUUAAAUGAGCAUCACUUGGUUUAUAGGUGGUAUUUUGGCAGAUUCAUACCCUCCAAAUUGUAGAGAAUUGAAUAAUAUUUUCGUCGAUAACAAACUCACCUAAAAUGGACACCCGGUGAAGAAGUUAUGGCAAUUUAAAGUUUCAGCAGCGUCAUUUCAAUCAGUGGCGCAUUGCGCCAUAAGCCAAAAUGAUGUUUGUCAAUUUAUAGUUUCUCUCCGCAAUUCCAGAGUAUCGCGGUGAGUUCCUAGGUCACAAACGGGUGGUAAUGCGAUGUCUCUGCGUCGCGUCGGGGGCCCUAAUCAGGUAAUUUUCAUAGAAAUUUAAAUGAUGCAUCUAGAGGGGUAUUUGUGUCAUAUUUCCACCCCUAUAUAUUCCAUAAACACGGAAUUUAGCCCAAUCCAACCACAUUAUACUCUCUUUUCUCAAAAUUCUCUCAAGAACCCCAUAGGGUUUUCAUAGGAGCUUCAACAUUCAAAUGAUUUCACCAUUAAUUUUCAUGGAUCUUCUAUCCAAGGUAUGCGUAGUGUUCAUCCACAGAUGCCUUUCGUCCAUGGAGUUGAAGAAUCAAUCUUUAAAUACUAAAUCAUCAAUUUUUUUGUGGUGAUAUAAUUGUAUUAUGUUGGUGGUUGUGGUUAUGCUAUAGAGUAGUGAUUUGAUGAAUUUUCAUGAAGGUUUUGUUCAUGUAGUUGGAACCCAUGAAUUUGGGUUGUUUAAUGUGAUGUAAAUUUAUGAACACGUCUAUGCUUUAAAGAGUGCAUGCAAGGUGUUUUAUAAUAUAUUUAGAAUGCUAGGAAUUUCAUGUUUACAUGGUCCCAUAUUAUCUACAUGACAAGUCCAUGUUAACUAUACAAUUCAAUAUGAGUUCCAUGCCAUUAUUUUGUUGCUAUUGUUGUGGUAUGAAGCAUUUAUGAUAAUUGAGUGAUAACAUGUACAUGAUAUAUAUAUAUUCCAUACACUCCCCACUAUGCACAAGAUGUUGAAAACUACAUGUAGUGUAUUAUCCCCUACUUAUGAUAUUAUGAAUUGUGGACUCCAAUAUUGUGAUCAAGUCAUGUCAUGUGUGUCAGUUUUCUUCUAUCGAGUCCUGGGGGUAUUCGUACCCAAAAAAUAUAGCUAUAUGCCUAGAGGUAUAUCGUGUUGUCACAAUAAUCUUAGUCAAGCCAUGAUCUAUAGAACUCAGUCAGUCAUGUGACUCAAGAAACCUCAGAAAUCUCAUGAUCUCAGUAAAUUCUCAAAUAGUAGUACUAUUCUGUCAGUCAAUGAAAGUCAGUUACACAGUCCAUGCACAGUCAGUAAAUUGUGAUCAGUCCCUUCAGAUGGGAGUAGGUGUUAGCACCGAGUGAACCCAAGGAUGGGAACUUAGCUGUUAUAUGAGGGUGUGAUUCUUAGCAGUCAUCCUUGCAUUCUUGAACUAUGUAGCCAGCAUAGGUUGAGACAUCAUCGCCUGCUAUAUAAAGGUGGAUGAGGUGGCUUAACCUGUUAUAUGAGGGUUUCCGCCGUUCUCACUAGAGUUACCUGUUAUAUAAGGGUUUCUCACACGUUGUCCUUACCAGUGGCGCGGUAUUGACACCCUUCCAGUAAGGGUAGAUAUUAGACCCCAUCUUAGCCAUAAUGGCACAUAUGGGGCAUGUCAGUUAAACAACUACCUCCCACAGUUUUAGAUUCAGUCUUAGGAAAUUUUGGAGAAAAACGAGCUAUUGAAUGCUCUUAAUGGACUUAAAUCCAUGGUUUACCCGGAUGAAUUGGAGUGGAAAUGACCAAAAUACCCUUAAAAAUCAAAUAAUGUCAAAUUUGUCCUUUAGUGGACUGUUUUGAUAGGCUGAAGUAGAUCGAUCAUAACUUUUUUCUCCGAUGGCCAAAUUGGAUGACACUAAUUUAAUUGGAAAGAGGACUUUCAGAGCUUUCUGUUGAUAUAUAGUAGCUCACCCAGAUCAUUAUUUACAAGGAGUUAUGAUCGUUUGAAGUUGACCCUAAAAUUCGUCUGGCCUUAGUAUUUUUUUCCUGCACAUUUACUGUUCACCACUAUUCACGAUUAGACCAGAAUGAUCAUAACUCAUCGCUCGAGUGUCCGUUUUGGAUGAUCCACAUAUCGUUGUAAAGCUUAUUUGAUGCUCUACGCGAUGACGGGUUCCAUAUAAAGAAAUUCCACACAGAAAAAUUAUUAAUCACGAUAAAAAAUAGAAUUCAACACAUUUUCAUCCGAGAUCUUAACGAAAAAAAAUUUCGGAGCAUCACCGUAGCAUGUGUUAUUCAGGAGAUGUAAGAAAAUCAACUAACUUGUCGACAUAAGAUUUUUUUCUUAGAGAAAAGUUUGUUAAGAUAAGAAUUAAAUAAAAUGAAUACACAUAAAAAUCUUCCUAUACCAAGUUAAAGAUGGCUAAAGAUGAAAAGUGUCCUAUCCUAUAAAUGAAGUGAGUGACAACAUCUAAUUGAGACGUACGUGAAAAUUCAGUAGUUCCACACAUUUUUCUAAACUCUCCACCAUUUUAAUUGAAAAAAAAAAAUUGCAAAGUAAACUUAUAAAAGAAAACAUUUAAGCAUCAAUUUCGAGGCUUCCGAAUAUAUAAAAGAAAACAUUUAAGCAUCAGUUUUGAGGCUUCCAAAUAGGAACAUGAAGUAGGAAGAGAAGAAACCCAUGAUAAAUUUAGGAUGAAUCGUCACAAAAUUCUACUUAGUUCCUGAUAAGACUCGGGACAUGUUGAUCUGCAAAUAUUUAGAAAUUUAACAAUCAAUCUGUCAACAUCAUCUAACCAAAAAAAUAAUGAAUUGAUAAAUAAAGAAAACUCAAAUGCAAAAUUUGACAGAGCAAGACCACAUGAUUCCCAAAACCUAGUGAAUUAGAUAUGCAAACAUAAUCAAAAUAACAUAUAUUAUAAAAUUAGCAAUUAGAUUGUCAAAAGAAAAAAAAUUGAAAAGAAUAAGAAACCUUUAAUUGUGAAGAGUUUAAUGGAAUGUAUGAGGAAACCUUCAAUUGUGAUUAAGGAAACCUUCAAUUGUGAUUAAGGAUUACAGGUUAUUAGAAAGGUCAUUCCUUUUCUGCUUCAGACAAAAUUACUAUGCAGUUAUUCCAAAAACAACGUGUACUAAGGGAAUCUGUAAGAAGUUGCAUUAGUUUCAAAAUCAAUAUAACUGUUAAAAGUUGGAUUCUAAAAAAAAACGGGCAACAUUAAACUAACAGUAAAAAUUUAAAUUUAUACAAAAAUGUUAAAAGUAAAUUAAAAAAAAAAUUGUAAUCAACCAAAUUAUUUUUUGUCCUAAACUAUCAAGUGGCUUAUUUUUAGGUUGCCACUGAGGUUAAUGUGGAGGCUUUGUCAUCUUCUUUUAAUAAUAUAUAGAUUUGUUUACUAGUUUAGAGAAAGUGCUUUGCACGUUUUAAAUAAAUUAUAUUUCAAUACAAUAAUAUUUAAACAGUAAAUAUUUUAAUACUUUCUUUGAGCUAUUAAAAAAUGAAAUUAAAAGUAAAUAGAAAAUAACUACAAGUAAUUUAGGAUGAGAAAAUUUGGCUAAUAAGCCUCUUCAAGUUUUCAAUUAACAAAAUGGACUACUUUUGUUUUCUCAUUUUAAAAUAAAAUUAAAAAAUAACUUUAAAGAAGAAUUGGACUAUAAUAACAUAUUAAAAACCGUGGGAGCUAUUUACAAAUAUACUUAAAACAUAAAACCCUAACUUAUUUUUUCAAUUUCAAAUUACUUUUUUUCCCUCUCUCCAACUUUUUUUCUCCUCCAUUCGUACUAGAAAUUCAUUAUUUCUUCAAGUUUCUCCUUUUUGAACCUAGUAUUUUAUUUCUAAAUGUUCUGUCUCCUCCCAAAUUUAUGAAUUUUCUACUCUCCUUUAAUUUUAGUCCCUUUUUUAAAAAAAAAGUUUGUGUAUAUAUAUAUAAUCGAUCGGAUCAAUAACUGAUAUAUCCAUAUAUCGGUCAGAUGGAUAAUCGAUCUAUCUAUAUAUCGUUCAGAUCAAUAAUCAAAUUGUCUGAUCGAUAAUCGAUCUGUCCAUAUAUUGGUCGGAUCAAUAAUCGAUCUGUCAGAUAGAUAAUAGAUUUGUCCAUAUAUUGGUCGGAUUGAUAAUGGAUCUGUCGAAUCGAUAAUUUAUCUGUCCAUAGAAUGAUUGGAUCGGUAAUAAAUCUAUCCAUUGCAAAUCAAGUUUUGAACUAAUUUAUAAAAUGCGUAAAAGAUUUUGGUGGGAGAGGUUUUGUCUAAAUUCUGUAAGUUGGUAAUUUGUGGACUAAUUUGUAACUUUAAAACUUAUAAAUAAAUAUUAAAUCACAAAUAAAUUUAAAUUUUCAAAAAGUGGGUCAUCCCCUCUUCCCGAAAAAAAACUUGAAGCCUAUUUAAUUAAAAAAUAGGCUAGAAAAGGCCAUUUAACAAAGAAUCCCAAUCAGAAUCUUAUUUAACAUGAUUUUACUUUAGUGGCAUAGCACAUUAAUGUAAAAACUGUUGAGAUAGUAAGAAGUUUGAAUGGAAAAUGAAAAGGUGAUUUUUUUUUUUUUUUUGAAAAGAUGCUAAGAGAAAGAAUGCAAUUUGAAUAGGCACAUUUUCGGAUUGAAUGAUUAAGACCUUUCCGAAGAGUUACACCUUUAUGAAGGGGUGCACCUUUUUGAACCAUUGUUUCUCUUCAUGAAGAAACACCUUAAUAGCUAUAAAUACCUGAAUUUUUUCUUAGAUAGAGACAAUUAUUUUUUAGUAGAAAAAUAAUCUUAUGCUUCUUCUAAAAAUUCUCGAGUGAUCAUCAAAUCAUUUAGUGUGCUCGAAGUUUCUGAAAAUUUGAGGUACCAUUAUUUUCAGAAAGAGAAUUAUUUUAUCUUGGGUGGAAAGAUUCCAUAACCUCGGAUACUUGAGGGGAAUAAAUUUCUUAAGGACACACUAUGUAUUCAGUGGACUUGAUUCUAUAAUUUUCUACUUCAUCUUCUUUCUUAAAGUUGAUAAACACUUUAUUUUGAUAGUUCAUUUGAUUAUUUAUUUGAACUUGUAUUUGAAGUUGUUGUAACUUCAUUGUUGUUCUUAAAAGUUGUUCUUGAACUUAGUAUUGAAGUUUGAUUUGAAACAUACAUAUUUUUGUACCCAUCGAAACAACAAUCUUAAGGAAUUUAUACUACUCCUUAUUAUUUGGUUUUACUAUUUUUCAGUAAAUAGGUUGAACUUAAUAGUUCUUCAACUGUUUGAACUUGUGUUUGAAAUUCUUGAAACUUCAUUCUGAUAGUUCAUAAGUUGGUUAAACUUGUGUUGAAGUUCUUAACAUUUGGUUUUGCUAUUUUCCAGAAAAUAGUUUGAACUUUAUUUUAAUGAUGUUCAUAAGUUGGAUUGAACUUAUUAUUAAAAUUUCAAAGUUGUAAAUACAAAGUUUAAACUUUAUUUGAUUGUUCAUAUGUUAAUUUGAACAUGUGUUUGAAGUUAUUGUUGAAAAAUACAAAUUUUACCAAAAUUGAGAAAAACAACAAUUUUAAAAAAAGUAUAAAAAUAUUUACUUUUGAGCUUGCUUGGUGAAGGGAAAAAAAUUUAUAUCGCUAUUUAUAAAUCAAGUAUUUGGUUAAUCUGUAUUGGGUCUGAUUUUGUGGAGACUAAACUCUUUUGAUUCAUACUCCCUUGGUUAGAAGAAUAUAAAAGCUUCAUCGAGAAAUCAAUGUUGGAAUUCAGUUCGAAGAAUAUAAAAACUUCACCGAUUCGUUAAAAUCUUUGUAUUGGUUUUUGGGGUUUAAAAUAUAUUGGGUUUCACUCUGUUUUAAUUUGAUUAUGAUUUAAAGUCAUAAAAACUUCAUCAUGUCUCAACGUUCAUUCGGUUGAUGAUUUGAAGAUAUAAAAACUUCAUCAUUGACUAGAAACAAGUUGGCUAAAGAUUAAAGUCUUUAUUGUUAGUAUUCUGAAAUACUAAAGAGUAUGUCAAAGAUUGACAGAAAAAUGACGAAUGAAAUUGAACAACAAAUUGAUUUGAUUGUGAAUGGUGUUGUCCCAAUGGCUACCAAUUGUUGCAUCAUUAAGUCGUUCAGAUAUUGCUCUAGUAAUAAAAAUGACAGAGAAAUUAGAAAAAUAUUUUGGUGUGAACUUCAAAGACUGAUAGCAAAUGAUGUCAUUUUGGCUGGACAAACUUGAAAUGUAAAUGUUCACAAGUAUAGAUCCUCAUAUUUCCCCAAAAAAAAAUAAUUAUUGAAAAUAAAUUAUCUAAUUUGAAAGAGCAUAUGAAUCAUUCCAAGAUAGAUGAGGAUAAUGAGUUGAAUGAAAAAUCAUUAAUAAUGGUUGCAAAUUCUGUUAAGGAUGAUACUCCAAAUAAUAAGAAGAUGAAGAAGUCUUCUGGACAAGAUAAAGAGCAAAAUAAGAAAAUAUUCUAAGACAAUUGCUACAUUUGUAGUGAAGUUGGCUACAAAGCUCUAAAUAGUCAAGUUCUAAAUAAGAACAAGAAAAGAGAUUAGAUAAAAUGUUGGAAACAACUAGAAAGAUUGAAAAUUAUUGUGAUAUGAUCACUGAAGCAAUAUAGUCGGAUAUCUAAAUGAAUGAUGCUUUAAUUUAGGAGCCACUAGACAUGUUUGAGCGGACAAAGAAGCUUUUGCUACUUCUGAUCAUGUAGGUCACAAAGAAGGAAAUAAUCCAACAACCAAGGUUGAAGGAAAGUGAGAAGAUAUUUUCAAAAGUGACUUUAGGUAAGGUGUUUACUCUCAACAAUGUUCUCCAUGUUUCUACUAUUAGGAAAAUCUUAGUGUCGACAACACUUUUCGUUAAAAAUGAAUGAAAGUGUGUGUUUGUUUGGGAGAAAGUUGUAAUAAGCAAGAAUGAAACGUAUGUAGAAAAGGGCUACCUCAAUGAGGGUCCUUUCAAACUUUAUAUAAUGGUUGUUGAAAUUAAAAAAAGCUGAGGCUUCUUCUUACUUGCUAGAGUCAAAUGAUUUGUGGCAUAGUCGUUUAGGACAUGUCAGGUAAAAAACUAAUUAGUUUGGAAGUGUUGCCUAACUUUGACUACAACAAAUCAAAGUGUCAAUUAUGUGUGGAAUCUAAGGAUGCUAAGCAUUCGUAUAAGUCUGUUGAAAGGAAUUCAGGUCCCUUAGACUUAAUCCAUACCGACAUUUGCGAUAUAAAGUCAAUACCUUUUUGUGGUAAGUAAAAAGUAUUUUAUAACUUUUAUUGACGAUUGCACUAGAUACUGUUAUAUUUAUUUACUGAAUAGUAAGGAUGAAAUAAUAGACGCGUUUAGGCAAUAAAAAAUAAAAAAUAAAAAUUAGUUAGAGAAAAGGAUCAAAACGAUAAAAGUGAAGGGGGAGAAUAUGAAUCUAUUUUUGCAGAAAUAUGUGUGGGGAAUGGAAAUGUCUCUCAAUCUAAUGGAAUUACAGAAACAAAGAACUAACCUUACAAAAAAUGAUGAAUGUCUUACUUAUACCGCAAAAACAUAAGGGAAAAAACCAUCCUUACAGCUAACUAAAUACUCAAUAGAGUGCCCCAUAGUAACACACUAUCAAUUACAUAUGAAAAAUGAAAAGAAAGAAAACCCAACUUGAAAUAUUUUAAAGUGUGAGGGUCUCUAGAGAAAAUCCAAAUUCUGAAGCCUAAAAGAAUGAAAAUAGGACCUAAGACAGUAGACUGCAUGUUCAUUAAAUAUGUUAAAGGCAGUAAAGCAUGUCCGUUUUUAGUUCAUAAAUCCAAACAUUUAGAUAUAAAUGAAAAAAAGGUGAUUGAAUCAAAUAAUGUUGAGUUCUUUGAACACAUUUAUCCGUAUAAAACUAGACAUGAAUAGUCUAACGGAGGGUCUAAAAGAUCACGAGAUGAACCAAGCGAGAAUGUACAUAAUAAUGAGAAUUCAAGAUGUAGUACACAUCAAAGAACAUUAACUUCUUUUGGAUUAGAUUUUGUAACGUUUCUCCUAGAAAAUAAGCCUCAAACGUUUAAAGAAGCGAUGUCUUCUUCAGACUCAUCCUUUUGGAAAGAGGAAGUCAAUAGUGAGAUUGAUUCAAUCCUGAGCAAUCAUACUUGGGAAUUGGUUAAUCUUCCUUCAGGAAAUAAACCUUUAGGUUUUAAAUAGAUCUUCAAAAGGAAAAUGAAAGUGGAUGGUCCUAUUAACAAAUACAAGGUAAGACUUAUAGUGAAAGACUUCAAAUAGAAGGAAGGCCUUGAUUAUUUUGAUACAUACUCGCUUGUAACUAGGAUAACAUCAAUUCAGAUGUUAGUUGCCUUGGCAGCGGUAUAUAAUCUUGAAAUUCAUCAAAUAGAUGUGAAAACAACAUUCCUAAGUGGAGAGUUAGAGGAAAAAAUUUACAUAGAACAACCUGAGAGUUUUGUGGUUCCUGGUAAAGAAAAUAAGGUGUGCAAACUUGUUAAGUCACUUUAUGGACUAAAACAAGCACCCAAACAGUGGUAUACAAAGUUUGACCAACCCAUUUUGGCAAAUGAGUUUCAGAUAAAUGAAUGUAAUACAUCUGUUUACAUUAAUGAUACUCUAAAUCACAAGUCAUUGUUUGUUUGUAUGUGGAUGACAUGUUGAUAUCAGUAGAGAUAUUUCUGGAAUAAAUGCUACUAAAUAAAUGUUUGAGAGCAAGUUUGAUAUAAAAUACCUUGCAGUUGCGGAUGUGAUCUUAGGGAUAAGAAUCCAUAAAACUCCACAAGUGUCGGCAUUGUCACAGUGUUAUUACAUUGGAAAGGUACUUGACAAGUUCAAGUAUUUGGAUUUUGGUAUUGCCAAGACUCCAUUAGAUGUGAGCUUUGCACUUCAAAAGAAUGAAAGUGAAAGUGACUCACAGUUGGACUACACAAGAGUAUUGGGAUGUUUAAUGUAUAUCAUGAACUGUACACGGCCUGAUAUAGCAUGUGCUAUUAGUAAAUUGAGUAUCUACACGAGUAAUCCCAAUAAAACUCAUUGGAUGGCAAUGAAAAGAGUUUUGGGGUAUCUAAAAUACACCCAAGACUAUGCUUUGAAUUAUAAUAAAUAUCUAAUAGUAAUUGAAGGAUAUAGUAAUGCAAAUGGAAUCACCGUAUCGAAUGAAGUAAAAUCCACGAGUAGAUAUGUAUUUACUUUAGGUGGAGGAACAGUCUCUUGAAAAUCCUCCAAACAGACAUGUAUUGUCCGCUCUACAAUGGAAUCUAAAUUUAUCAUAUUAGAUGUGAAGAAGUUGAAUGGCUCCGAAAUUUCUUAGAAGAUAUUCCUUAUUGGGCCAAACUAUUAGCACCAGUAUGUAUACACUAUGAUAGUCAAAUGACGAUAGGUAAGGUAGGGAGCAUAAUGUAUAACAAUAAAUCUCGUCAUAUAAGAUGGAGACAUAAUCCCGUUAGAGAACUACUCUCUAGUGGAAUUAUCAUGGUUGACUAUGUGAAGUCAAAGGAUAAUGUGUCAAAUCUACUUACCAAAGGCCUAUCUAGAGAGGGGGUUGAGAGAACAUCAAAGGGAAUGGGUUUACGGCCUAGGACAAGUCAACAUGGCGAUAACUCUACCUAGUAUAUCGGAGAUCCCAAGAGAUAGUUUCAACAAAAUCAAACAAAAUUAUGACUAAUGGUUCAACAUUGUCAAUAUACUCAACCAAUUCUCAUUAUGUAGACAAUGUUUAGGAAACAAGGAUAAGACUUGUGGUGUGAAGGUUUUUUAAUGGUUAUCUAAAUUUUGGCAGAUUUGACCAAAUAGUUUAAUCUGUAGAUUGAACGUUUAGAAAUCACCUAUGUGAGGGUGAAGUGAAAACCUCUUUAAGGAGAAUGUUAGUAAAGUCCUAUUCUCUAUGCUCUCAUGAAAUCAAGACGUGUCCAUGGCUGAAACAAAUAAAAUCGUAAGAAUCAUAAACGGUAAAAGGUUGGUUGUGUGACAUAUGUUGUCUAGGAGUACAUUAAAGUUCGACGAUUUAAAGAUGUCAAAUCUACCGACUAACCGAGUGCAUCCGAUGUAUGUUCACUAUGAAAAGUUUAAGGGGAACCUAUUUAUCCAGAUACAAUCAGUCUUUGCUUGUUGAUCACAUACUUUUUCAUAAAUUUUUUAUAAGAUAGUCAUUCCCCAUUCAUGUGGGAGAUUGUUUGGGAUAUUAAGAGAUGCCAUAAAUUUUUGAUAAGAUAGUUAUUCUCCAUUUAUGUAGGGAGUUAUUGGAAUAUUAAGAGGUGUGAAUGGAAAAUAGAAAGAUGAUGUUUUUUUCAAAAAGACACUAAGAGAAAGGAUGCAAUUUGAAUAGGCACUUUUUUGAAUUGAAUGGUUAUGACCUUUCCAAUGGGUUGUGACUUUUCAAAGAGUUGCACCUUCAUGAUGGGUGCACCUUUUUGAACCAUUGCUUCUCUUUAUGAAGCAACACCUUAAUGACUAUAAAUACUUGAAUUUUUUCUUAGGUACAGACAAUUAUUUUUGAGUAGAAAAACAACUUCUUCUUCUAAAAACUCUCGUGUGAUUAUCAAAUCUUGAGUAUGUUUGAAGUUUUUGAAAAUUUGAGGUACCGAUAUUUUAAGAAAGAGAAUCAUUUUAUCCUGGGAGGAAAAGAUUUCAUAACCUCGGGUAAUUGAGGGGAAUAAAUUCCUUAAGGACACACGUGCAUUUAGUGGACUUGAUUCCACAAUUUUCUACUUCAUCUUCUUUCUUAAAGUUGAUAAAUACUUCACUUUGAUAGUUCAUUUGAUUAUUCAUUUGAAGUUUUUGUAACUUCAUUUUAGUUCUUGAAAGUUGUUUUUGAACUUAGUUACAAAGUUUGAUUGGAAACAUACAGAUUUUUGAGCCCAUCAAAACAACAAAAACAAAGAGAUGCUCAAAGAUGUAUUAAUAACAUACAUAUAAUGGAAGUAUUUACCUCAUAAAAUUAUUGAUUAUGUAUGAAAUUGAAACCAAAUUACUACUACCUAUUAUCAAUCACAUCGUGACCAACCCAACGUUUCAUGUCAUAAGUCAUUAUAAUGAAUAUCUAUCUGUAUAUAAUAGGAGAGUCAAAAAAAUGCCACAUGUCAGCACCACAAAAUCUUUAUUUAUAAUAAUUAAAUAAAAUUAUCAAUUAACAAUUAAAAAAUUAAAAAAUAAUUAAUCAUUUGAAAAUAAAUGAUCAGUUCUAAAGAUAAAACAGUCAAUUUAAAACUUACUCCCACAGAUUCACAAUUGAUAAAAGUGUUAGAUAUUUAUUUAAAAAGAAGUCUCUCUUCCUCUCAUCUGGCAAAGCAAAACUCUCCAUUGAAUUCUCAAAAGGUGAAUUUUCUUUCCACAAUUUUUUUUCCGAUCGUCAGAAAUUCGGGUUUUCGACAAAAGAAUAAUUUUGUAGUCCAAUUUCAUAAUCUUUUUUCUAGCAAAACAGAAUUAGGUUUUGUGGGGAAUAGAAAUCAGGAAGAAAUGGACAAUCGAUUCAUGCAUCAUGGUCAAUUCACUGCUGCACUGAUUUGUCAGAAUUCUUGGGAAUAGAAAUUGGAAAAAAAUAGGAAAUCGAUUCAUAUGAAUGACCAAUUCUCUGAUGUACUGAUUUAUCUGAACUCUUACGCAAUUCUAAGCAAGUAUAAUUUGUCAUCGUUUUCCUUGUAUAAUUACUUUAAACUUAUUUUUAUCCUUAUUUUUUAUAUUUUUCAAUUCUAUUCUGAAUCAAUAUUUGAAACUAUGGAUAUAUACUGUAAGACGAGUCUGAGAGGAAUCUGGGUGUAAAUUUUCUAAGUUAUUUUCUUAUUUUGACACAAUAUAAUUUUUUUGUUAUGAAUUUGAUGGAGUUUAAACUAGAACUAUGCUUAUACUUUGGAUAAUUUUUCUAUUGUUUGCACCCAAUUUUAACUAUAUAUAGAUGUAUAUAUGUAUCAUCGGAUAACUUUUAUCCUUCUGAGUUUUUUAUGUAUGUAUUUUACAAGUUGAGGUUAAACAUAUCAGUGCAGUACUAAAUUCGAAGUCAAAUAUCAACAAACUCUUAACUAUAAAGUACUGACCUAUUUACCAACUACUGCUCUCUCCUUAUCUUAAAAUUUUUAUUUCCAUUUACUAAUUUGUUCAACUUAUGUGACCUCUAGGCAUUAGACAGACCUCUAUAUUUACUUGGAAAUAAUUUUCAUUUUGGUUAUUUGGAAAAACUAGACAAUUUUUCUUUGCGUGCAUAUGAUGUUUUUCGACGAAGUUAGUUGAUGAGGAUAAGUCCAUACUGUAAGUUCGCAUUAUGCAGCAGCCUUUCGUGACACACAAUGCAUUCAGAAAGGUAUGUCCAACAAGUAACCCUACUCAACUGCUACUACUCUCUCUAUUAUCUACAACUAUACAACUUAAUGAGACAAGUAAAUCCUUAUAUUAUGAAUUAGGUUAACGUCUUCUAAGAGUUCUCUUGAUUAUCCUAUAAUUUUGAUAGUGUGCUUAAAUUGAUAUUUUACUGUUUUUUUAUUUUCUUUUCAAAAAUGAAUAUUGCAAAUCGACAUUAUAAUUUAUUUUUUGCUCCUAUUAGGCUUUCAGUGUAAUUCUUUUACCUUUUUGUUGUCUAAAAGAACUUAAAUUUAACAAAAAUAUCGAGUAAUCUUGUAACAUCCUGCAUUUUCAAACUAGAAAAUGAACUUUUAUUCCUAUGUGUGUAAGCACUAAUAGAAAUUUUUUCCAAGUGAGAAUAAGUAUCAUGAUAUUUAUCCUAGUGUUUGAAGUGUUUUCAAGGUGAAAAAUCUUCAUAGGAAUCACUUAGAAUGAAGUUGAGCUAAGAACCUUUGAUUCGGCCAAAUCUUUAUAAUCGAUUUUGAAGGAUCUACUUUGAACGUAUAUAACUUUCUAUACAAGUAGAAUUUUGCAGCUCAAGAAUCACCAAAUUGUAGAUAAUUGAGUUAGCUUUCUAACGAUACCAAUUUUCCCUUAAUCCGUUACCUGGGAAAAAAGUUAUAGCUAUUUUCAUGAGGAAGGCAGUGAGGUCGCGCGAUUAGCGUGCGGCACACACUCCAAUCCACCCCUAGUUUACAGCUUUUGAUUCCGCAUUUUAAGGGCUUUUUAGUCUUUUCUUCAUUUAUAUCUCCUAGCCCAUGCCGGAUAACCGUUACGGGAUGAUAUUUUCCUCCUAUUUUAUCAAUUAAAUAUCUCAAAUCCUCUAAAAAACAUAAUCCUAGGUCCUCCCUAAAGAUCAAGAAUUUAAGCCUUUCAAGUCAAGAUUCUCAAGAAAGGUUUCAAGAUUAGGUUUCCAAUCUUCAAACUAAUUAAUAUAAGGUACGUGGGGUUUUCUUAAACUACAUGGGCUUGAUGAAAUUGUUUUAAUAAGGUUUUGGAAUGUUGAGAAAUCAUAUGUUUAUGAAGGGUUUUGAAUUACAUUAAGAAGUAUGCAUUAUCAACGUUUGUCUUAAGGCCUUCCCUUAAACUUGAAUUUUUACUCGUUUAUAUGUAUAUAUGUGUUUUGAAUUUUGGAAUAUGAAUGGAGAGCAUGAAUAACGUAUUUCUCUCUCUCAUGGUGUUAUUUCUUGAUUUAUAAGUUAUGGGUUACUCAAUUGCAUGUCUUAAAGCAUGAACCAAGGGUUUUACUAUCUUAUAUGAACUUUAUGUUGGUUGAGAAUUGUAAAGAGGGAUAAUUUUCAUUUUAAAUGUUAAAUAUGAUAAUCAAAGGAAUUGUAUGAUUGUUUUUGAGAAAUUGACCCCGAUUUGUUGAAAUAUUGAAAAAGAGAAUCUUUGUAUGGUUUGACAUAUGUUUUGAAACAUGAAUCCUAUUGUACUGUUUGAAUGACUUAGUGGUCUAAACAUUAUUUAAAUAAAAGAGUUGUAAUAUGAUAAUGUAUGGCUUAGAUAUAUGACUUGCAACUCUUGGUAUGACAUACUAAAUAGAUGAAUGCCAUAGCAGAUUCAGAGCAGACUAAAAUACAGAUUUUACUUAAAUUUUUAAUUCAGAAAGAUGCAUGUUUAGAAAAGGUUAAAAAUGGGCCUAAAGAGGGUUAGAUGGUUACCCGAAGAAAGUACGAGUUGAAAGACUCAACGCUAGAAAUCAUGAUUUGCCAUCAUAGGAUUAUGGUACCCUGCUUUGUGAUCUUGUGUACCUUGAUUCAGGUUGUCCUAAAUUGGGACUAUGGUUAGGAGCCCUGUUUUGUGAUCUUGUGCACUACCAUGACAUGUUGAUUUGUUUAGGGAUUUUGACACCCUUUUGUGUGAUCUUGUAUAUCCCCCUUAUAGAUACUUCAAUCCUUGGGCAAACUUGGAUUGGAGGCUUGGCCAUUGAGUCAAGGGUAGAUUCUAUAUUGCCCGUGGAAUUAUAGAUUGUUGGGUGUACCAUCUAUCUCAGAAAUAAAAUAAAGAGUGGAUCAUGGUUUCAAAUAAUGUUUCUAAGUCAUUAAAGAAUGCCCAUGUGUUUUCAUAUAUAUGUAAAAUAUUUCAUAAAUUGCUCUCACUUAUGUUAUAUAAAAGUAUGUUAUUCUGGAUUGCUCUACGUACCAGUAUAUUUGUAUUGACCCUCUAUAUUUCAGAAUUUGAGGAUCAGUCCCGAGGUCCUGCUAAACUGUAGACCAUUGCCAGAUGAGUGGAGUUGGUGAGCCUCCCUUAUUUUAGUAGGCCUUAUUUCAUGAUUUCAUUGUUUUUAGUUCAUGGUCCAACCGGGGGCCUGGAUAUUGUUUUAUUUCAGUUAGUAGAGAUUUCACAGAUAGGUGUUAGAUGGAUUUGGGUCUUAUUGAAAUUAUAACCAUAUGGUUUUAUUGAAAUUGGAUGACCAUGAUUCUAUUUUGUUUUCUGCAUUUCCUUAUAGUUUAUGAAUUGUGUAUAUGAUUACCAGUAGAGAAGGGCUCUCAGGCCUUUAUGAUUUGGGAUUCACAUAGUGGACUGGGCCUCGGUUCAGUUUGUUACAAACUUGGUAUCAAAGCACAGUUCAUGGUCCCAGGAUAUCUGCAAAAUCAUGUCUAGUAGAGUCUUUCUUAUGGGUUUGUUAUGCACUACACUUAUAAUCAGGAGGCUACCAGCCAUUUAGGAGUUGUUUCUUAUUCAUUCAUACUCCAGUUCAUGCUAUAGUGUCAUCCAUAAGAAAGUUAUCUAAAUUCCUUCCUUGUUCUAAUUUCAUUGGCCAGGCCUCAUCGUUGAUUUGAUAUAAGUCUAAGAGUCUAGCUCCCCUAGUGAUGUGGUUCUCUCUAACUGAAUUAUCUAUAAAGCUAUGAGAUAACACGAGGACUUGAGAGGAGUCCAUUAGUGCUUCAAGGUGUAUUGAUUUAAUUGUAUACCUUUAUCCUAAUAAAAUCAUGUUUUUUAGCCUAAGGUACAAAGUGUAUUCAAUCCUCUUUCAAAAUUAUUAUUGCAGAUGUCAUGCUUAAGGGUAAUGAUAUAUAGCAGAAUGUUGGAACUGUAUUACCACCUGAGUAGUAGUAUAUGUUCAACUGUCAUAACCUAUUAUUAGUGAGAUGGCCAAGAAGUUAGUUACUUAAAGCCACAAGAUUAGAAGCCAGGGUGAGGGUGAAUUUUCCGUGAAGAAGCUAAUUUAGUUAUAUAACUGUAGAUUGAGGAGUGGCUUGUCAUUUAAUAGUGAUAGACUAAUGUGGUAGCAAUAUUUGUAGAUUGUAUGCUAGUGUGUGGAGAAAGUGUUUGGCAUGAUUAGUAUCUAUUCAAAAUAGGAAAGAAUCUCAGAAUAGAUAGUUUUGGUGGUGGUAGAAAUCACGUAUAGGUUGUGUAUGGAAAGAGGUAGACUAGUCAGUAAGUUAUGGGUAGAGGCUCAUCAGUGUGAAUGAAAUUUAAAGGUAGACGAAAUGUAUGCAUGGGUAAGUAAGUAUUAUGUUAGAAAUUUGAAUGUAUUGAUAAGAUCAUAAUGGAUUAUGUUAUAAGAUUAACAUCGAUUGUCCCUAUUAGUUUACUUUACCUCCCUUAAUUAUCUUUUCUCUAGUAGUUGUAAGCUAGUAAUGCACGUGAGAAGGUGUGUGGUAAAUUCUAAGAUAUGGUAGUAAUAUCGUGAAGAGAAAGAACUUAUGGGUAGUAAUUAAGUUAAAUGGCGUAGUUGGGUUGAUUCCCUAAUUUAAGGGAAUAGUAUGGUAUGUAACCUAUUUCAUUGGUGGUACAUGAUUGAUUGUAGGCUAUAGGCUUGAACUUGAGAUAUGGGCAGUGGUAAAAAGGAUAGUAACUUAAGAUUAGUGAUACAUGUUUUGUAUGAGUAAGUAGUAGGCUUAAUAUGAGGUGUGAAAUAGCUUAGGUUGGAAACUUAUGGAAAAGGGAGUGGAUAAUUUUGAUAUUUAUGUACAUGAGGACUAGAGUUAACAUGAUGAAUUAUGGUUGAGUCAUUAAGUGUAUAAGAGCGUGAGUAUAUAAAAAUAAGUUGAACCCAAAGAUAGUAUGUGGUUAGAUAAAGUGUGAUGUGUAUGAGUGUCAUGUGUACCUAGGUCAUAUUUUUUAAUUUUGUAGUAUGGAGAAGUCUGGAGAGUUAUUAUACUGUAUUCGUUAGAGUUGAAUUGAAGUAAUAUAGGUAGUCAACAUACGCCUUUGGUAUAGUUUUACAAAUUUUAUUAUAUUGUAAGUUAUGUGAUUAGCGGUCUACUAUUAGAAUGUUAAGUAGUGGAAAGUGCAUUUUAUGUGGUAGGAAGAGAAGAUGUGUAUGUAUAUGAGAGCGUGAGAUGUAGGGUGAUGGCUAUAGAGGCUAGCGAAAAUUAAGAGUAGCAUUUUCGUAAAGCAAUGCCUUUAGAGUAUAGUUAAAAGGUAAAAGUUUAGCAUUUAUGUGCAUGGUGAUACCCUAUUAUGUUGAGUGUUGUGCUUAUAAAUUUAAUGAGAAGAUAUGUCCUCAAGUCCAGAAUUGUGACUUUGAUCUAAGAGGGAGAUGAUGAGUUAAAGUAGUUCCCAAAUUUUCUUGUGGUGUAAAGUUUCGAGUGAGAAUCAUGAUAAAUCAAUUCCUAUUCAAGCAAGCUCCUCUUCUCCUCCUACUUUAAUUAGAGUGGACAUCUACUAAUGUCUUAGGUAUUCAAGUCCUACCUAUGUCUAAGGUUUGAGCCCUUUAUGUAACCCAUGUCAUGUCCCGACUUCGAAACUAGGGUCAAUAAUGUCCCUCAGUGAUCUAAUAUUUCAAGUAUUCAAGUUCUAUGUUAUGAUGUUCAUGAUCCAUAAAUCUGUGUCCUAAAUCAUGCUUGGUUCUAAGGAACUAUACUUCAUAUGUUAUUGAUUCAUUGUAUUUCGGGGUUAGCCAAAAGGAUAAAGUUGUGCGAACUCAUGACUAUUUCAGCUCUGAAAAUGAGAAGCAAUAGCUUCGAGUGGAAGUCCUUGUAUCAAUCGUUGACUUCAUGAAUUCCAAUCUUAUGAUGUACGACUAGUGAUGUAAGUGCUCAUGUUUCUCUCUAUGGUUUGUCCUAAGGACUCAUGCCAUGUUGUGUUUAUGCCAGAGUGACUCUCUACUUAUGAUCCAAACCCUUGAUAUAUGAAACACUUUGUGAUUGUCUCGUAUCUUCACCUCAUGUCCCACCUUAAGUAGAUCAACAAAUAUGGGUUAUAAUUGAGUAGUGUUUCUUCCAUUCAUGAUGCUUAUCCUUGGGGCCCUUAAUGACCCUCCGAAUGAUAGUAUGAUAGUUGUUAUGAAAGAGUAGUAGUGACUUAGGAAGGGGGAGUAGAUGUUCUUGAAUGUGAAAAUUUUGAUUUGAACUCUUUAACUAAGGUUAAUGGUAAUGGGGGAAAGAAGGGGAACGACUUUCAUUAUGAGAAAUAGUUGGGAAGGAGGUAUGUAGCGAAAAUAUUUAUGAGAGUGAUUACAAUUGUUGGUUUUGGUGAGAGAUCCAUUAAGUGGGUGUAGUAAUGAUAAGUUUGAAUGUUGUGAUUGAUGAAAACACAAACCAAUGUGCCAUGUGGUUAGUAUUCCUUGAAUUAAGACUUGAUAUUAUUGGAUUAUAGUGAUGAGGUAAGGUAUUUUCUUAAUGUGAUGUAGAGUACAAGGUCCCGUAGUUUAAGUUAGCAUUUUUUCUUAACUUUGAAUUAUGCUUCAAAAUGGAAGUACUAUAUGGGGAAACUCAAACUCUUGUGGUUAGAAGUGUUAUGGGAGAAUUGUAAGUUGGAAAUGAUGAAGUAUGUUAUUUGUUAUUUGGGGCAUAGUUGAGUAGUGUCUCUCAGUUUUAGGUCCAUUCAUUGUAUCAUGAGAGGUGGAGAAUGCUUCUAUACCUAUCUUUUGUGAAAUCUUAUUUCAUGAUUUGUACCAAUGAAAAUCAUACUUUUGAUCACUAAAUAAACUCAUGCCCUAUGUUGUGAUGAUUAUGAUCCCUUGAACUCAUGUGCAAAGUCAUUUUAUGUCAAUUCCUAUUAUCUCACGCUUCGUGUUCGCAUGUUUCACUAGGGUUAUCAUGAAGCUUGUUUGAUCUCAAGCUUUUGCAUAUUUCGUUGAGGAAAAAUGCUCAAAAUCAAAGUUAUAUUCUAAAUUCUAGACUUUUAAAGCUUCAAAAAGCCCCUACCCAUCAUUUGGGGAUGAAUGAUCCCAAGGGGGAGAUAAUGUAACACCCCGUAUUUUCGAACUAGAAACCGAACUGUUGUUCCUAUGUGUGUAAACACUAAUAGAAAUUAUUUCCAAGUGAGAAUAAGUGUCAUGAUCUUUAUCCUCGUGUUUGAAGUGCUUUCGAGGUAAAAAAUACUCAUUGGAAUCACUUAGAGCGAAGUUGAGCUAAGAACCUUAGAUUCGGCCAAAUCCUUGUAUUCGAUUUUUUAAGGGUCUACUUUGAAUGUAUAUAACUUUCGAUAAAAGUACAAUAUUACAGCUCAAGACCCACCAAAUUGUAGAUAAUUGAGUUAACUUUCCAACGAUACCAAUUUUACCUUAAUCCGUUACCCGAAGGAAAAGUUAUAGCCAUUUUCGUGAGAGAGACAGUGAGGUUGUACGAUUAGCAUGCGGCGCACACUCCAGUUCACCCCUAGUUUACAGUUGUUGAUUCUGUAUUUUUAAGGGCUUUUUAGUAUUUUUCUUCACUUAUAACUCCCAGCCCACGCCUGAUAACCCUCAAGGGACGAUAUUUUCCUCUUAUUUCAUCCAUUAAACAUCUCAAAUCCUCUAAAAAACAUAACCCUAACUCCUCCCCAAAGAUUAAGAAUUUAAGCUAUUCAAUUCAAGAUUCUCAAGAAAGGUUUCAGGAUAAGGUUUCCAAUCUUCAAACUAAUCAAUAUAAGGUACGUGGGGUUUUUCUAAACUACAUGGGCAUGAUGUAAUCAUUUUAAUAAGGUUUUGGAAUGUUGAGAAAUCAUAUGUUUAUGAAGGGUUUCGAAUUACAUUAAGAAGUAUGCAUUGUGAACGUUUUGAUCUUGAGGCCUUCCUUUAAAAUUAAAUUUUUACUCGUGUAUAUGUAUAUAUGUGUUUUCAAUUUUGGAAUAUGAAUUAAGAGCAUAAAUAAUGUAUUUCCCUCUCUCAUGGUGUUAUUUCUUAAAUUACAAGUUAUGGGUUACUCAAUUGCAUGUCUUAAAGCAUAAACCAAGGGUUUUACUAUCUUAUAUGAACUUUAUGUUGGUUGAGAAUUGUAAAGAGGGAUAAUUUCUCAUUUUAAAUGUUAAAUAUGAUAAUCAAAGGAAUUGUAUGAUUGUUUUUGAGAAAUUGACCCUGAUUUGUUGAAAUAUUGAAAAAGAGAAUCUUUGUAUGGUUUAACAUAUGUUUUGAAACAUGAAUCCUAUUGUACUAUUUGAAUGACUUAGUGGUCUAAACAUUAUUUAAAUAAAAGAGCUGUAAUAUGAUAAUGUAUGGCUUAGAUAUAUGACUUGCAACUCUUGGUAUGACAUACUAAAUAGAUGAAUGCCGUAGCAGAUUCAGAACAGACUAAAAUAUAGAUUUUACUCAAAUUUUGAAUGCAGAAAGAUUCAUGUUUAGAAAAGGUUGAAAAUGGGGAUUUUGGCACCCUGUUGUGUGAUCUUAUGUGUCCCCCUUAUAGAUACUCCAAUUCUUGCGGCAAACUUGGAUUGGGAGCUUGGCCGCCGUGUCAAGGACAGAUUUCAUAUAGCCCGUGGAAUUAUAGAUUAUAGGGUGUACCAUUUAGCUCAGAAGUAAAAUAAAGAGUGGAUCAUGGUUUCAAAUAAAUGUUGUCAAGUCUUUAAAAAAUGUCCAUUUGUUUUCAUAUAUUGUAUGUAAAAUAUUUCAUAAAUUGCUCUCACUUAUUCUAUAUAAAAGUAUGUUAUUUUGAAUUGCUCUGUGUACCAGUACAUUUGUAUUGACUCCCUAUAUUUCAGAAUCUGAGGAUCAGUCCCGGGGUCCCGCUAAGCUGUAGACCAUUGUCAGACGAUUGGAGUUGGUGAGCCUCCCUUAUUUCGGAAGGCCUUAUCUCAUGAUUUCAUUGUUUUUAGUUCAUAGUCUGAUAAGGGAAUUUGUCCCGAUCUUCAAACAGAUGUUGUUUUCUUUCAGUUAGUAAAGAUUUCACAGACAGGUGUUAGAUGGAUUUGGAUCUUGUUGAAAUUAUAACUUUAUGGUUUUGUUGAAAUUGGAUAACCAUGAUACCAUUUUAUUUUCCGCAUUUCCUUAUUGUUUAUGAAUUGUGUAUGUGAUUGUCAGUAGAGAAGGGCUCUUGGGCCUUCAUGGUUCAGGAUAUUCAUUGUGUCCUAGGCCUCGGUUCGGGUAAUGACAAAUCUUCAAUAGACUUCUUGAUUGACAAAUUGGAGUUGUACAAGAAUCCUACAUUUCCUAUCUCUUACAAAAUAUGUAAAAUGAAAAUCAGGUAAAAUUGUUCAAGAAUUCUACUGAAGAUUACUGAAACUUUCUCUAUUGAAGGUAAAUUCAUAUUCAAAAAAAAGAGUGUAUUCUGAAAAGUGGAAAAUUACUAUCAACUAUGUUUUCAGCAGCAACUCUAAUUCGUAAUCUGUUUUUGUUAUAUUUAUUCAUUUACGUUGGUUCCACUGCAGGCUAAUGCUAAAAUUCUUUGUCUUGAUUUUUCAAAGAAUCAUGUGGUUUCUUCGAAUUUAUUGGAUGUUCGAUAAUAGAAUGAUUGACCAUUGAUCUGUGAGAGUGAGCCGAUACUUUUGAAUUUUGAAACUAAAAAUAAUUAACUGCCUAAAUAAUAAAAUUUUCAUUCACAUUGAAUAAAAUGUUCAAAAAGAUUUUCUCAUGAAUUUUCUGUACUUACAGAAUUAAGAAGUUGUUGAGUUAUUGAUUAGGUAAGAAGAGUUUUAGCAACUUCAGAAAAAUAUUGAUGGAAUUUGCAGGAAUGGUUUAUCAGUGUGCAUUUUUUUCUUUUCAUAAAGUAGUUAUUUUAAGAGUCAUCCAUCAAGAAGUUAAUAUUUUUAGGUUAUAUGAUAUUUCUUAUAUUUAUGUGACCAUGUAUGAAAUUUAAUAGUUAUGUGAGUAUGUUCAAGGUCUUCAAGUUAGCAACAUUUCAUAGUUAAUUUUUUUGAGUUGAUUGCAAUUUUCAAUUGAAUGAGCAAACACCAUUAUAUUGUAUAUAUUAUUGUAUUUGACUUUAGAGUUUAUCAUAUGCUUAUGUCUUCGUAUUUUCAGGUUUCAAAGAAAAGCAUACUCAUUCUUUACUGAUGGAUUAUUCAUCAUUCAUCAUCAAUAGAAUGAAUUAUAGGUGCCAAUAUUUUUAUAGUAUCUAGCGUAUAAAAAAAAAUCAUUCAAUUGGAACACAUUUUCUAAACUAAGAUUUAAUGGUCUUUUGAUGGUGAUAAUUCUUUACAAUUUAUUAGUCAAUGCAGCGUAAUAAGACUUUACUAAUAGGUACUUUUCACUAAGAGUACCUAUGUGCUUCCGACCCAUGACGCAUGUACUCUUCCACCAAGAAUGUCCAGCUUAAAUUUAAUUAGAAUCUCAAAGUUUCUUCACAUAUUUCAGAGGGGGUAUUCUAAUAUCAAUCCAGUAAAUUGUCAAAAAGAAUCCAUCAAUAAAGAUGAUUGACCUGUUCCAGUGGAAAGUUACAAACAGCAAAAUAUUCGAAAAAAUUUCAAAACUGAGGUCAGGGACCAGUGAAAAGUUAUAACACAAAAUAAACUUGAUGUUAUUUUGAAUUUCUUGAUAUCUUUUAUGAAGAGCUUUGCUAAUUUCAUUCUUACUGUGUCAUAUAAGCUUCACUAGAGUUUCUAUAUUUUCAUUCUAAUUUCAAUUUAAACCUACGACUUUAGCAUUUGGUUUGUUGACUAUCGUAUUUUGGCAAUUGGUCUUAAAUUCUUUCAACACAGCUAUGGUGGCCAACUUGAAGACUGGUUUUCUCAGAUUUAUAUAACUGGGAGAAUUAAGUGCAAAAAAGGGUAAUUAUCAAUUGUGUAUUGUUAAAAUUUGUGUAAUGCGCAAAGAGAUGCUUUUGCUUUGUCACAUACAUGUAUUGCACCUAUGUAUUGCUUUCAUGUUGGAUCUGCCAAUCACUAUGAAGAAUUAUUCGUAGACCUUGAUUACGACUAGAGAUCUUUUUCAUUUAUUAUUCCCGUUAUGUAAUAUUGAUUUAAAUUAACUAUUGAAGUUGUUUCAUAACUUGUUCUUUUUAAUGAGCUUGAUGAUUCUGUUUUUUCAUGAGCUAUUCUUUUUUAUGUACUUAUUCUAUCAUUUAUUAUUUUUAAAUCUUCUUCUAUGUCUAUAUUUUUGUAACUAUAAUCAUUAUUAUCAAUUGUUUUUACAAAUUGUUCAAAAGGACUUUCUAUUUCGAUUUUAUUAAUUUUAUUUUUCCUGUUGUUUUAUGUUUUGUUGUUAAUACAUAUAGAUUUUUACAUCUUGCUGUAAAUAUUUUACUUCCUGGGGUUAGUUCUAUUCCUGACACUUGCAAUAUAAUACUAAUGAUUUAUCUAUAUUUUUAUCUAUUAUUACUACUGAAUAAUUCGCACUUAUUAUAAAUUUAAAUUUUUGGUAUAUUAAAUUUCCUUUUAUAGCAGUUAUUAUACUUUUUUUCUAUAGGUUUUAUAUUUCUAUCAUCUGCUAAAUAUAAUUCUAUUGGUGUAUCUAUUCCUUCUCUAAAACAUGCUUUUAUCAAUAUCUUUGUUCCUCCAAGGUGUACAUAUUUUAUUGGGUCUUUACUUUUUAUAUCGUUUAUUUCUUUAUUAAUUAUUCCUUUUGUUACUAGUGGUAUACUAGCUCUUCCUUUUGCAUAUCUACAGUCUAUUACCUGUUUAUUUUGGCUUACUACGUAGUAUUCUUCCUUUUUUCUACUAAAUAUAUUUUUUACUGUUGGUAUUUUAAAUAUUUUUUGUACACUUAGACCUAACUCUUUUCCUUUUAUUUCAUCACAUAUAUGACUAUCAAAUAUUAUUUUUUGAUCUGUUCCUUCUUCAUUUAAAUAUUCUUUCUUUGUUAUUAUUUUAUAUCUUCUUCAGUUAUUUGGUUCAUAUUUAUAUCUUCUUCAGUCAUUUGAUUCAUCUAAUUCACUAUCUAUUUCAUUAUCUGUUUCAUUCUUCGAAAUUGUAUAUAUACUAUCUUCACUUUCUAAUUCAUAAUCUAUAUAAUCUAUCUGCAUAUAUUCUGUAUUUUCUAUUUUCAUUUAUGAUAUUUGUUUCUUUUUUUGGAUUUUUUGGUAAUUUACAAUCUCUAGCUAAAUUUCUAGUUUUUCACAAUUUAACAAGUACAUUCUUUUAUAGAUUUUUUUUUCCUAUAUGAUCUUUUAUGUUUAUAAUUUUUUACAAAAUAUCUUUUUCUUGGUUUCUUAUAUUUAUAUUUUGAUUUUUUGUAUUUCUUAUAUUUCUUAUGUUUUUUUCUUUUCUUAUAAUAUCUUUCUUCACAUCCAAAUUGAGGUGCUAUUUUAUCUUUGCAACAUUCUAAAUUUCUUAUUAAUGUUUUUUCCAUUUUUAUUUCUUCUCUAUAUUUUUCACAUAGAUUCCUAUACCAUUGUUGGAAAAAAUUUACUCUUGCUCCUAGGGUAUCUACUGUUUUUGCUUCAUCCCAACUCUUUAUUAUUUUUUAUCUAAAUGGUUCAGGUAAUUUACUAAAAUAUAAUCUUCUUAUUUCUUUAUUUUCUUCUAUAUUAUAUGUUCCUUUAUAAUUAUAUUCUUUAAAUGCGCACGUAUACUCAUCUAUAAAGCACAUAUUACAUAUUGCUAGUUUUAGCAUUAAAUUUCUAUUUAUAUCUUUUUCUUUAUUUUGCUCUUCUUCUUCUGUUGUUACACUGUUAAAUUCAUCUCUUAUAGCUGUUUCAUAUUUUUUCAAUAUUUCUGUUGGUAGUAUUUUAGUAGUUGUUGAUGUUCCUUCUGUUUUAUUAUCAGAUCUUAAUAUUUUUUACUUGCUUCGGCUAGGUUUAAAAACCAUAAUUUUACUGUUCCUAUUAAUAUCUUUUCUAUAUAUUCUGGUGUGUUUGUUGUAUCUAUUUUAUUAUCUAAUAAUUAUUUUGACAUAUAUCCUACCCAUAGUUGUAUUGUUUUAUUUGUGUCUAUUACAGAGUCUAAAUCUAAAAAGUUGUAAUUAAUUAUUUAUUUUGGUGUCCAUUUAUUAUAUUAUCCUUUGGAUUAUAUCUUUUAAACUUACUUUUGUAAUUAUAUGUUGGUUUUCUUAUUUCUGAUGUACUAGGUAUUAUAUUUUUAUCUAGAGUAUUUACUUCUGUAUUUAUUAGUUCUAGAUUUUCUUUGUUAAUUACUUCUUGUUCUUCAUUAAUUUCUACUUUUCCUAUGUUUUCUAGAAUUUCUAUGUAUGUUUCACUAUCUUUCGAAUCAAAAUUAUCUAUUUCUUCAACAUCUAUUACAUUUAUUUCUAAUUCACUAGUUUCUGGUUCUUUAUUUUUUAUUUUUUAUUUUUCUUUAAAUUGAUUUAUCUCGUUUAAUAAUUUUUGUUCUUUAUCUUUUUCUUCUUUUUCUUUCUAUCUCUUUUCACAUAAAUCUUUUAGCAUUUGUAGUUCUUUUUCUAAUUCAGCAAUCCUACUAAUUUUAGUUUCUUCUAUUUUCCGUAUUUAUUCUGUGGUUUGUUGUUUUUAUUUUAUCUAUUUCCUUUUUUCUGUCUAUCUCUUCAUUUUCUCUUUCUAUUCUUACCAUGGCUGCCAACUUAUCUUGUAAUUUUAAUUCUUCUUUAUCUAACAUUAAAUAUAAAUGUUCACUUAUUUUCUUAUAUCUUCUUCUUAAAUUAGAGAAUACUAUUUUUAUUUUUAAUCCUUCGUGAUUUUCAUAUGUUUUUUCAUCUAUUAUAAAUUCAUCUUUGUUCAUUUUAUUUAAAUGUAUAUAGGUUAUGUUGGUAUAUAUAUUCUAGACUAUCUAUUGUUGAUUCUAAAUUUGAUAUGUCUUCCUUUUGUGCAUUUAUUGAAUUUUUACUAACUCCGACAAUUAUGUUAUACCGUAGUCUUUCUAUCCUUAUUUUUAAUUCUUUACAUUUUUCAGAUAUUAUUUGUUUUAAUUCUUCAUAUUUUUGUAAUUUAUGUAUAUUAUUCAUCUAAACAAUAUUUAUAAUAUGUUGGUGGAUAUCUAAAUCUAAUUUUAUCAUAAUUAAUAAAUUAAUGAAAUAAAACCAAAUACAUACUACUUCUGAUAACUUUAAACAACGUAAGCUCUGAUAACAAUCACUUUAUAGACCUUACCUUUAAUUCUUGGUAACACAUUUCAAACAAUUAUCUCUAUUGUCUAACAAAAAAUACUUGGUUGAUAGCAUAAAUUUAACUGCCCAAUAAAGUUAUAAUUACAACGAUUAUCUUUAUGCAAGUCAGCAAAAAGGUGAAAUUCAAAAAUAAAAGUAUAGUACCUGUAUUCCAUAUUAUACACUUAGAAGUAACCCCAUUACACUCUAAAAAUAUGUAUACUAUGUGGUAAGAGAAACUCACAACAGAAAGGCAACAUGACAAUCAAAGAAGUAAAACAAAGGAUCUAUACACUUUUAGUAGCAAAACAUUAUCAACAGUACAAGAGAGUUCACGCGUUGCCUGCAUGCUUUACGUUAUCAAACUUCUCUUUGAUAAAACAUCAAUUAUCAUCCUUUAAAAGUACAAACAAAAUGGUCUUACCACCUAACAUUUUGCGCCGCAGCAUAUUGUGGAGUGUCGUCUGUUCAUAAAGCACACACCUUAUUUGUCAACAAACACUAUCGAAAAUUGGACUUAGCAACCACACUGGUAGAGGUUCCAAAUUUCUGCCGGAUUCCUAGUUUCCUACUUUGUCUUGUUGGCAAAUAUCGAAGAUUUCACAUGACAUUUUUAUUAAUUUGAUUUAUUUCGUACCUUUCGUUCAAUGAGAAAAUAGGUCAAGCUUAAUAAUUAUAAACAUGAAUGACAAGUAUAUGAAUAAAUAAAGUAAAAAAAAUGAUAAAGUGAAAUAUAUCUUAUAUUUUGAAGGUAGGAUUAUGUAUCUCAAACGAAUAAGAACAACAACAAUAAAUUUAGUAUAAUUUCAUUAGCGGAACAUGUAGAAGAUGGUGUGUACACAACCUUAUUCCUACUUUGUGAGGGUAGAGAGGUUAUAAGAAUUUAUCAAUAUUUUCUUUUGAAUAUCAAAAUCAAAAUUGAAAUUUAGAACUUAUAACAUAAUGCUCCAUUUUCUUAGCAUCUAGGUAGGAAGUGUUUCAAGAAACUAAUGCCAGAAUUUCUUAGCAUUAUUCAAGCAGGGUGAAUCUCAAAAAUAGACCCAAAGUGGGGUGACUUUCAAAUUUUAGCCUCAAAUAAAAAAGCUUCUUUAAAAUAGCCUUUACCUAUUAAUUAAUAUUUUUUUGAAUAAAAUUGCCCUUGACCAAUGGAGUAAAUUACAUAAACGAUCCUCAUAAUGGAUAACAACUUCAUAUUUGUAUCUUUCAACUUUUAUUUUUUUCUUUUUAAUUUUACUUUGAUUUUUAUUUUUUCUUUUCUCUUUUUAUUUAUAAUUUUCUCAACCCUUACUUUUUCCCUCUCAACUUCUUUUUUUUUUCUUUUUUCUUUUAUAUUAUUUUGAUUUUUUAUUUUUUCUUUCCUCUUUUUUUUUUUGUUCUUUUUAGUUUUUCUCAACCCUUACUUUUUUUUCUUUACACCUCUCUACAUAAACUUUUAUAAAUAAAAAACUUCUUUUUAUUUUUCUUUGAUUUUUAUUUUUUCUUUUCCGUUUUUCUUUUUAAAUUUUUCUCGACCUUUAUUUUUAUUUAAUCUUUUUUUUUAUUUUUAUCAACCUUUAUUUUUCCUAUUCUCUCUCAACUUCUGCAUUUUCUUUGAUUUUUAUUUUAUUAAUAUUUUUCUUCUUUUUCCGCAAUUUUUAUUAUUUUUGUUCUUUUCUUCGAUUUCUUCCAUUCAAGUUAUAUCUCAUGAGCAAGAAUUGACACUAUCACAUUAUAAAGGCAAGACUUAUGACUUUCGAACCACAAGAUACAUUUCAUGGGCAAGAGUUGACACGACUACAUUGUAGAGGCAAGAUUUAUGACUUUCAAACAAGUUAUGUUUCAUGGACAAGAGUUAAUAAUAUCACGUUGUAUUUUGAUUUAUGAGAUGUUUUAUAACUCUUACCUUAGAGGCAAGACUUAGCUCAAGGACUUCCAAAAAAUAAAUUAUGUCCCACGGGCAAGAGUUAACUCUACCACAUUAUAUUUUCAUUUAUGAGAUAUUCUACAACUAUUGCCUUAAAGGCAAAACUUAGCUCAAGGACUUCCAAAAAAUAAAUUAUGUCCCACGGGCAAGAGUUAACUCUACCACAUUAUAUUUUCAUUUAUGAGAUAUUCUACAACUAUUGCCUUAAAGGCAAAACUUAGCUCAAGGACUUCCAAAAAAUAAAUUAUGUCCCACAGGCAAGAGUUGACUCUACCACGUUAUGUUUUCAUUUAUGAGAUGUUCUACAAUUUAUUGUCUUAGAGGCCAGACUUAGCUCAAGGACUUUCAAAAAAUAAAUUAUGCCCCACGGGCAAGAAUUGACUCUAUCACGUUAUAUAUUUUCAUUUAUGAGAUAUUCUACAACUAUUGCCUUAAAGGCAAAACUUAGCUCAAGGACUUCUAAAAAAUAAAUUAUGUCCCACAGGCAAGAGUUGACUCUGCCACGUUAUAUUUUCAUUUAUGAGAUGUUCUAAAACUAUUGUCUUAGAGGCAAAACUUAGCUCAAAGACUUUCAAACAACAAAUUAUGUCCCACGGGCAAGAGUUGACUCUACCACGCAAUAUUUUCAUUUAUGAGAUGUUCUACAACUAUUGUCUUAAGAGGCAAGACUUAGCCCAAGGACUUUCAAACAAUAAAUUAUGCCCCACGGGCAAGAGUUAACUCUACCACAUUAUAUUUUCAUUUAUGAUAUGUUCUACAACUAUUACCUUAGAGGCAAGACUUAGCUCAAGGACUUUCAAACAAUAAAUAUGCCCCACGGGCAAGAGUUGACUCUACCACAUUAUGUUUUCAUUUAUGAGAUGUUCUACAACUACUUUCUUAGAGGCAAGACUUAUCUAAAGGACUUUCAAACUACAAAUUAUGCCCCAAGGGCAAAAGUUAACUCUAUCACGUUAUGUUUUUCAUUUAUGAUAUGUUCUACAACUAUUGGCUUAGAGGCAAGACUUGGCUUAAGGACUUUCAAACUACAAAUUAUACCCCAUGGGCAAAAGUUGACUUUACCAUGUUAUGUUUUUAUUUAUGAGAUGUUCUACAACUAUUACCUUAGAGGCAAGACUUAGCUCAAGGACUUUCAAACAACAAAUUAUGCCCCACAAGCAAGAAUUGACUCUACCAUGCACGUUAUAUUUUCAUGCCCUUAAAUUUUCUUUGAUGUCAAAAUAAGAAGAUCCCUUUGCGGAUUAUUCAAUUUUUUAUUUAUUAGCAAAAUAAAAUAGAAGUUGAGAAAAAAGAAAAAGUGAUCAAACAAAAUAAAGAAAUAAAAAAAAUGAUUGAGAAAAAAAGGCAAAAAAAAAUAAAGAUUAAGAAAAAAGCGAAGAGUUGAAAAAAUUGAGAAAAAUAAAAAUGAGAGGAAAAAAUUAAAAUAAAAUUUGAGAAAAAUGAGGUGGAAAAAAGAGAAAUAAUAAAAACCAAAAAUAAAAAUUGAGAAAAAUGAAUUAAAAAAAUAAAUAAAUAGACAAUGUUUAAGAAAAAAGAAAAAAAGAGAAGAAAUGUUGAGACAAAUGAAUUAAAACAUAAAAAAAAAUUAAAGAAAAAAAAGUAAAAAUAAUAAAAAUAAAAAUAGAAUUUGGAAGACAAAUGAGUAUGAAAAGUUAAAAAAUAUUUGAGGUGUAGAGGAUAAAAUUGUACAUGUACUAUACUAAAAAGGGGAAAAAUAGAUAUGCUUGAGAAUAAAAGAAAAAAGUGGAAAAAAUAAAGGUUGAGAUAAAUAAAUUAGUAAUAAAAAUAAAAAUAAAAAAGUAAUAAUAAUAAAAAAUAGAACAUAAGAGACAAAUGAGUAUGUAAAGUUUAAAAAUAUUUGAGGUGUAGGGGGGGUAUUUGAGAAAAAUCAGGAAAAAAAAAGAGAAAUAAUAAAAACCAAAAAUAAAGGUUAAAGAAAAAUGAAUUAAAAAAAAAGAAGAAAUAGAUAAUGCUUGAAAAAAAAUGAGAGAAAAAAAUAAAGGUUGAGACAAAUGAAUUAAAACAUUAAAAUAAAAAAAGUGAAAAUAAUAAAAAAUAGAAUUUUAGAAACAAAUGAGUAUGCAAAGUUUAAAAAUAUAUUUGAGGUGUCGGGCAAAAUUGUAUUUGUACAACACUUAAAAAGGAAGGAAGACUAGUUUUCAAAAAUUUUCUUAUUAGGGUCAAAAAUCUAAACUCACCCACAUUUGGGUUUAUGACAUAUAAUUUCCUGAUUCAAGUAGGAAUAUCACCUGUUAUUGUCUAGUAUAGACCCUAAUCUUCUACUUCUUUCGGCCUAGAAGCUUGAUAUAUAUUUCCUGUGAAGUUAAGAAGAAAGACUCCUAAUGUCAAUUGGAUAUUAACACAAACAAUGUUACAUGCAACUAUAUCAUUAGUAUGAUAUGCAAAUAUGCUUAAUGUCUAUUGCAAAAAUUGUGUCAAAUACAACUUUAAAUCCAACUUCAAUUUAGAAAAAUUUUAAAUUAAGUGAUUGUUUUUUACUUUUAUGGUCAAACACUCACAAAUAACUAAAUGGUUGUUUUAUGCAGAGUUUGUAUAACCCCUCUCAUGAUCCAUCUGGUUAAACUACUAUUCAAGAAACUUGAACGACUCUUACAAUGACAAAUAUACUAUCACAAAUAACAGGGAGUCAUUAACACAAAAGACUUGCCUCAAACAGCCAUAAAAUUCUUAAACAUUAUAUUGUUGUAUGUAUCCACUAAGCACAAUCUUGUUAAGUUUUACCUUUUUUAGUUGAAACAAUAACAUGAUCAACAUAUCCACAUAUAACAGUGUACCUUUGUAACACAGGGGUCUCUUAGUUUAUUGAUAUAUACUCCACCUCAUUCUACUGGUCUUCUCAUCAUUAAAAUAGAGUAUGAUCAUCUAAAAUUACAAUAGUAAAUCACAUCAACCUUGAUAUAAUAUAAAUUUUUUGCAUUCAUAGACAUAAUCAAAAUUUCAUAUAUUAAAGAAUAUGAAUCAAGAAGCAAAUAUGAGAUCUUUUUUGGAUCAUACUAACUAAUAAUAAAAUUAAUAAGGAAAAUUAUAGAUAUAGAUAUAUAUAAUUGUAUCAGCUUGAGCAAUUAGGGAUCGAAAGAAACACUCAAAGGUGCACAUUUGGUUACUAGUUCAUUCACAAGCAUUCACAUCACUGUCCUAACUUUUUUAUUAAGAGGACAACUAACAAAUUACUAUAUUAACAUAAUAUUCAUUCAUAGUGGCCAGAUGGACUGUUCCAGAAACAAAGAGCCCUAAAAAACUCAGAAAGAAAAAAAUCAAUAUAGAAACUACAACUUCAAAACAAAUUUUCAUAUGCCUGUAAGCAAUAAUAGAAGAAUGUAUACAUACACAACAAAAAUUAAAAUCAGUCUAUCAAAAAUAAAAUAAAAUCCUACUUUGUAAUCAAAAGUGAUUUUCUUUCUUACUCUUAAUAUCAAACUCAUAACCUUCAUUGCUGAAGGAAAUCUUGAAAAUGGAGAGGAGAGAAGAGACUUUGAGCUGCUGCCUAUUUUUUGCUGCUUCAAUUAUAUAGAUUUCUAAAUGACCUUUUGUAUGACUUAUCAUCGAUAAUUGUCAAUAAUUAAGCAGUUAUAUAUAUCCUUCCAAAUGCAUGAAUGAAUGUUUACCCGUGUAAUUAUGCAUUAUUUAAUCAAAAUUUAAUCGAGCAUUUGAAGAUUUUCUUUAAGCAGAUAAGACGAUUCAUUAACAACGUUCUCAGCUAGUUUCUACAACAAAUGAACUAAUGCAUUCACAUGAUAAGAGUAACGUUUUUUCAUUAGAAUUGCUAAUUCAUUACACUUGAAUUGAAAGGUUACAAUUUUGAAUGUAGAAAAAAUAAAUGCUCAAGCUUACAUGCUUCAUCUGCACGGAAGCCCAAAGGACCUAAUAAAAGCUGAGAAUUUCAGCAAGUUCACAUUAAUAUUUCUCUAAUUUAACAUCCUUUUUAGAGAUAAACAUCUAGUUUUCCUGAACUAUGAUCAAAUUUACUACGACACACUUUUAAUUUCACAGGGACUCUACUACCUUCCUAAAUUAAAUUUUAGUAUAUUUUUGUCAAUCUUUUAAGCUGACAUAGGACAGAACAGUCCUUUACACGUCUCAGGUGUGUGGGUCCAUCCCAUGUUUUAAUUUUUCCUCAUUGGCUGCAAGGGUGGAAAAGUUGUCAAGAUAAAUGUCAAACAACAAGAUUUUCUAGUUAGGAGAAAUGGGUCAUUAAAUGUGUUCGCUAUAAACACUUUGAAAUAUUAUUUUUCAGCAAUGUCAUUGCUGACAUCGAUAGGGGGAAAUUUUUCCUAUAAAAAAACUCCUCAGCUCAUUUGUUAGACACACCAAAUAGAGAGAAAAAUAAUAUAUAGAGAGCAGUGAGGUAUUCCACAAACUGUGAUAAAAAAGUUUGUGAAAGAAAAAUUAGAGUAAGCGAUAUUUUAAUAAGGUGAGAGUCAAAAGAGGGUUAUUUUUUUGAGUGUGUAGUAGUCGCUUUGAGUAUUUUACUUGUGAUAUGGGUGUACCAAAAUGUCCAACAAGUUCUACAAGCUGUCCAAUAAGUUCAUGACCAUUCACAAGUAGCCAAGCUCGGGAGUUACACAAACUCCAAGCUAUGUUCAUGAAAAUGGCCGUGUGUGAGUUGGUACUUGAGUCUUCCAAUGGAUUAAAUGUUUUUAAGUGUGAAGAGGAGUCUUGAAGUAUAAUAAACUUACACUCCAAGGCCAUCCCUUGACAAGGGUAGGAUGGUCAUUUGUUAUCUCACUUUGUGGAGUAAUAUAAAUAGAUAGUGUUAGGGUUAUUUUGAGGUAUUUCAUUCAUGAUAUUUUUAAGAACACAAGACUUGUAAUAUUUUGAACUUCUCUCUUCCAUUGUUGAAUCUCAAAACUGAAAUUCCCAAGUGGAGUGACACUUGGGUUGUAUCUUGGCUAGAAACUAGGAUCUUGAGGUCAUUGAGUUCCUCUUGGUCCAAGUAAGAACUUGGUGUUAAUAUUCUUUAGUUUUAGGGUCCUUUCAUGUUGUUAGGAUUCUUAGAUUCUUGAAUAUUGUAUGUCAAGUUACUAUCUUUUACUUUGUAAUCUUGUUGUUUGUGUGGUAACAUAGUGAAGCCGUGUGGGGCCAUUUUCGAUUCACUAUAGUUAUUGCCACUUUGUUGCUCUUGUUAUUAUAUAUUGUAAUCUUUUAAUCUCUAUCAUCUUGUCAUUUUUCUAAACCUUGAAGUCUAAUGAAGCCGUGAGUGUCCUAUUUCAAUUCACUAGCAUUAAUGUUGUUCAUCUUGUUACUCUUGUGUUGGCUUGACUCUCUUGAUACACACUCAUUUUUGUAUCAUUUGGUAUCAAAGAUUGUGGUUGAUUUUAUUCCAACAAAAUCAAUAUCAAAGAUUGUGGUUGAUUUUAUUCCAACAAAAUCAAUCUUGGUCUUGGUAGUUGAAAAAUAUAAAAAAAAAAUUGCUGAAAUAUGAAAAUUCCAGAAAAAAAGAGAAAUCUGUCCAUCUUGUUCUUGGUCAAAAGUUGGUAGUUAGAUCUACAAAAAUUUUAUUUUUCUAGUUUGUUUCUUGUGUUGGUUUCUUUCUCAUCAACACAAAAGGUGUCUAGAUCUAAAGUUGAUCUUAAUGAUAAGUGACUUGUUGUUGUUCUUGAAGUUGGCCGUGUAUUGUGGCUUGUGUUUGGACAUUAGAGUGGCCAUUGUUGGUGUGCUGUUGGUGUGUUCUUAAAGGUGUUGUUUUUGUGCUCAUCUUGAUCUUCUCUUCAACUCAUGUCUUAAAUACUAAAAUGAGUAAAAUAGAUCCAAAAAAAAAAAAUUGAAGGACAAAGUGUAAAGUUGUUUGUGAGAAGACUUAAGCACAUCACUUUCAUGACUUGAUAUCUACUUUUCCACAACUUUUACCACCUUUUAAGGGACCUUAUUUUGUGAGAUUGGUACAAUUCAAGUCUUUCUAUUUGAGAUUGGACUUAAAGAAGACUCAAUACUUAUACUUUUUCCUCCAAAACUAAUUGUCAUCUGCUCCAAAGUGUGUGAAGAUUGAAGCUUCAAAAUUAUAACUAAAAUUGUGUGGGACCGAGACCUAAUACAUGCUUCCACGUCACCUUUCGCCACUGCCAUGUCACUAAUAAGUUCAAAUUUGGAUGUUCUAGUCUCUAAUUUUUUUAUUCUUAGUUUUCUCUAAUUGACUCGAGAACUAAUUCACAAGCUAGUACACUCCUACUAGGUUGUAAAUUAGUCCUUUGAAGCCUUGUAUUCGUGUCAUCAUUUGUUUGUGUGCUUUAUUCAUUUGAAUACUUUGUAAAUCUUGAAUCUAGUCGGAUGAGAAUUCUUUGAGUUUCAAACAAGAAUCCACUCCGGACAAGAGCGUACUCAUACCUUAAAGAUUCACGGGUUACUAGCCAAUCUACAACACUUGUGGAGCUCAAGUGUGAGUAAUGCGAGAGUGAGUGAGGAGAGGUUUUAAACUAACUUGUUUGUUACUUGUGUAGGUGAUACCUUGACAAUGGAAGGAACCACGUAUCAAACCAUGGAUUCUAAUGAAAUGGAGAAUAUGAGGGUCACUCUUGAAGCUAUGACCCGAACUCUUAAAAGGUUAAGUAUGGAAGUGGGAUCCAUAAGGGGGGAAGUGAUGACUAUUAAUGAGAGGUUAGAACAAGUGGAGAGUCAAAGGAACUCUUGCCCUUCUACUCCUCGACAUAUUUUGUCAAGUGGACAUAAUAGAAAUUCCUCCGCUACCGUUACUCCCGAAACAUGGCCUCAAUUGCCAAAUCCUUCACUAGCUCUACUAAAUGUCGCAAGUCAAACCACCCAAAACCCCCUAACCCGAGACUCCAAUAGACCAACCCAUUCCCAAACUCCUCAAGUUCUACAAGAGGAACUUGGACGUCCAAUACCUCCACUAAAUCCAAACCCGCCCUUCCAAGUUCUACUAAACCAAAGACAACCACCUCCACAAAAUCCAAUUCCUCCAAAUCAAGUUUUAAAUGCCCAAAACCAUCUUGUCCACUCUGAGGAAUAUGGUAGAGAGGAUUAUGAAGGGUAUGGAGCCUUUGAUGAUGCUUAUGUGAGGGAGGAGGAGAUAAGAGGGGGAUAUAUGGAUCCAAGAAGAUUUCGAGGUAUGGAGAAAGGGGAAACCGACACCAAGAGAGAGACAUAGGCAUCAAUACCAUCAAAUUAAGCCUACUUGUCUUUAAAGGUGAAAGUGACCUCGAGGUGUAUCUUUCUUGGGAUUCGGCAUGUGAUAAAGUGUUUCAAGUGAAUGAUAUCUCGGAAGAGAAGAAUAGUUUUUAUGCCAUAGCUCACUUUGAAGGCUAUGCUAACACAUGGUGGGAAUACGUCAAACGGUUUGGUAAUGAGUUGAUUGAUAGAAAACCACCACCUUAGUUUCAGUUGAGGUACCUAAUGAGACAAUGGUACCUUCCCAAGAGUUAUCUCCAUGAGUUGCUUGCUAGAUUGUAUAACUUGAGGCAAGGGAAUCAAAGUGAGAUGGUAUAUUAUGAUGAGUUUAAACAACUCAUGUUGAAACUUGAUCAUCUUGAGGAAUAAAUUAGUCAUGACAUCAUUCGGUUCAAGUGUGGGUUGAACAAAGAGAUAUCCACUCAUUUGACACUUCAAAAGUUUGAUAACAUCGAAAGUAUUUUUUAAGCGGCUCUUGAGAUUGAAAGGGAACUUAAAGAGAGGUCGUCGUUCAAAGCAAAGGGACAAUCAAUCUUGGGUUGGGCGAGGGGAAAGGAUAUGGUUCAAUCCUCUUUGGGGUGGCCUAAAAACAGGGACCAACCCGCCACUACAAGGCUGCCCGAGCCUAAAGCAAUCCACAAAUUUCCUCUCUGGUAAGAAGCUCAUAAGUAUCCUAAUCCUAAAGGGUUCCAAUGUUUUAAGUACCAAGGUUAGGGACAUAAAGCCAAUAAAUGUCCAAACUGAUACAAUUUGAUCCUAAGAGAAGGGAGAUUGUAUUACCUUAGUGAGGAGGUCGAUCUUAAAAAAGAAGAGAAUGAGGCCGAGCCUCUGGAUAGAGAGAAAACCAAAAAUGGACCACAUGAUGAUGAUGAUGGUGGUGAAGAUGUUUACCCAUAAGAAGGGGAGUGUGUGGUUCCAAACUUUGUAGUUAGGCACGUCAUGAUUAGUAAGGCAAUAGAUGACUCUAGUCAAAUGGAAAAUCUAUUCCAUACUAAAUGUCGUGUAAAGGGGAGUGUGUGCACUUUGGUGAUAAAUAGCGGUAGUUGUGCAAAUAUUGUUAGUGUUUCUAUGGUAAACUACUUGAAAUUUCCAACUACACUUCAUACUAGCCCUUACAAGUUGCAAUGGUUGAAUGAAUAUGGUGAAUUGAAAGUCAUGAUGCAAAGUGUGAUGCGGUUUAAGGUAGGAAACUGCCAUGAUGAAGUGCUUUAUGGCGUGAUACCAAUGCAAGCGUGUCAUUUGUUGUUAGGAAGACCUUGUCAAUAUGAUAGACCAAACAUGAUGGGAGGUCUAAUCGAUAUACACUUGAGAAAGAUGGCCGAAAGGUCACACUUCAUCCUCCUUUGCCUUCACAAGUAAAUGAGUUGUAUCAAAGGAUGAGAGAAUUGAAAGAAAAGGGGAAGAAAUUUGAAAAUAAAGAAAAGGAAAGGGAACCCAUAGGUGGGGAAGUAGGGGUAUCCGGGGCUGCCUCAACAUCAAAUAAAAAAGAAAAUAUGGUGAUAUUGGUUAGAAAGAAGGAGCUCUUCAUGGAUCAUGAUGAGGACACACCCAUGCUUCUUUUGGUACAUUGUUUUAACACUAACCCCACUAAUUCUUCUAUUUCUCCUUUGAUUUCUUGUGUGUUGCAGGAUUAUGAAAAUGUUUUUCCCAAAGAACUUCCACAAGGGCUGCCCCCGCUUUGGGAAAUUAAAUAUCAAAUAAAUUUUAUGUCGGGCUCAUAAUUGACCAACAAACUGGCUUAUAGAAGUAACCCGACGGAUACCAAGGAAUUAUAAUUCUAGGUUAAGGAACUUAUCAACAAAGGGUACAUCAAGAAGAGUAUGACCCCUUGUGCGGUCCCGGUGCUACUUGUUCCUAAGAAAGAUGGGACUUGGCGUAUGUGUGUUGAUUGCCGAGCCAUCAACAAGAUAAUAGUAAAAUAUUCACCCUAUUCCUAGGCUAGAUGAUAUACUAGAUGAAUUGAAUGGUUCGUGUUUGAUUUCUAAAUUGAUUUGAGGAGUGGCUAUCACCAAAUCCGUAUGAAACCGUGUGAUGAAUGGAAAACCACCUUUAAGACCAAAUUCGGUCUCUAUGAAUGGAUGGUUAUGCCAUUCGGCCUAACAAAUGCUCCAAGUACUUUCAUGAGGCUAAUGAAUCAUGUGAUGAAGCCUUUUGUCAGAAAGUUUAUUGUUGUCUACUUUGAUGAUGUGUUGGUGCAUAGUAGGUCCUUAGAUGAGCAUGUAAAAUAUUUACAAUGUUUGUUUGAUGUCCUUCGAAAGGAGAAGUUAUAUGCUAAUCUAGAAAAGUGUUCUUUUGGUGUCCAAGAAGUUGUAUUUAUCGGUUUUGUGGUGAGCUCAAGAGGGGUCGAAGUGGAUGAAUCUAAAAUUAAUGCUAUAAAAAAUUACCCAACUUCCAAAACCAUAGGUGAAGUGAGAAGCUUUUAUGGGUUGGUUAGUUUCUAUAGACAUUUUGUCAAAGGAUUUAACACCAUUGUCUCCCCCUUGAUCGAAGUGAUUAAAAAGGAUUGGCCUUUCAAGUGGGGAGAUGAACAAGCUAAGGCCUUCGAGGACUUUAAAUCUAUGCUCAUCUCUGACCCUUUGUUACAAUUUUUGAAUUUUGACAAGAGUUUUGAGGUUGAAUGUGAUGCUAGCAAAGUUGGCAUAGGCGCGGUUUUAAUACAAGAAUUAAAGCCUAUUAUCUACUUUAGCGAAAAGCUCAAAGGAGCAUCUCUAAACUACUCUACGUAUGAUUUAGAGUUGUAUGCCUUGAUUACAGCCUUGGCCACUUGGCAACAUUAUUUAUGGCCUAAAGAAUUCAUGAUCUGAACGGACCAUAAGUCUUUGAAAUAUCUUCAAUCAUAAGAUAAGCUUAACAAAAUGCAUAUUGAGUUUCUUGAAAUAUUCCCUUAUGUUAUUCAUUACAAAAAGGGUAAGGACAAUGUGGUUGCCGAUGCUUUGUCUCGAAAACACGUUCUUGUGUCUAUUUUAUCUUCAAAAUUGAUGGGUUUUGAGAGCUUAAAAGAAUUUUAUCUCAAGACCCUCACUUUGUUCCUAUCUAUAGGGAAUGCGAAGAAUGGGGUAGGGCUAGGGGUUCCAAUCCCUAUGCUAAGUUUGACGAUUACUUGUUUAAAGGUAGAUGACUGUGUGUACCCUCUAUCUCUUGGAGAGAGUUGUUUAUAAGGAAAACACACAAUAGCGGUCUAAUGGGUCACUUUAGGGUCGAAAAGAAACUCGGACUAUUGGAGGAGAAAUUCUAUUAGCCAAAAAUGCACAAGGAUGUGGCUAGGAUUUGUGGCCAAUGUGUAGAUUGCAAAGGGGCCAAAUCUUGAAUCCAACCCAUGGGUUGUACACCCCGCCUACCCACCCCUUUAUGUCUUUGUCUUGAUAUAUCUACGGAUUUCGUGCUAGAGUUUCCAAGGAAUAGACGAGGUCGGGAUAGUAUCUUUAUUGUGGUUGAUCAGUUUCUAAGAUAGUACACUUUUUUCCAUGCUCUAAAUGUGAUGAUGCACCUAGUGUAGCCUCUUCAUUUGUUGAUAAUAUUGUCAAGUUGUAUGGCGUUCUGAGGACCAUUGUGAGUGAUAGGGACUCUAAGUUCCUAAGUCACUUUUGGAAGUCCAUGUGGUGUAGGCUUGGUACCAAGUUGUUGUUCUCCACUUCUUUCAACCCAUAAACCGAUGGUCAAACAGAAAUAGUAAAUAGGACUUUGGGUGCUAUGCUGUGUUCCAUGGUUAAGGUAAAAAUGACUUCUUGGGAGGAACACCUACCAUUGAUUGAGUUUGCCUAUAAUCGCGUCAUACACUCAAGUACGGGAAUGACUCCCUUAGAGUGUGUAUACGACCUCAACCCCCUUACUCCUUUGAAUUUAACUCAUUUGACAAGUGAUCUUAUGAUUAGACUAGAUGGAAGAAAGCAAGCACAUUCUAUGAAAAAGUUACAUGAGAAGGUGCAACUUUGACUUGCGCAGAAAAAUCAAGAGAUUGUAAAGCGGGCAAACAAAGGAAGAAAGAAACUCAUUCUUGAACCGGGAGAUUGGGUGUGGGUGAACCUUAGGAAGGAUCGAUUUCCAUAUCAAGGAAGACCAAAUUAAUUCUAAGGGGUGAUGUUCCAUUCCAAGUACUUGAAAUAAUUAAUGAUAAUGCCUACAAGAUUGACCUUCCCCUGGAAUACCAAGUGCGCAACACUUUCAAUGUGUGUGAUCUUUCUCUUGUGGAUGCAUUUGAGGAUGACCAAAUUAUGAAUUUGAAGCCAAAUUCCUCUCAAUAUGGAGAGGAUGAUAUGGGUGUACCAAGCUAUCCAACAAGUUCUACAAUCUUUCCAACAAGUUCACGACCAUUCACACGUAGCCAAGCACGAGAGUUACAAAAACUUCAAGCUAUGUUCAUGAAAAUGGCCGUGUGUGAGUUAGUACUUGAGCCUUCCAAUGGAUUAAAUGUUUUUAAGUGUGAAGAGGAGCCUUAAAGUGUAAUAAACUUACACUCCAAGGCCACCCCUUGACAAGGGUAGGAUGUUCAUUUGUUAUCUCACUUUAUGGAGUAAUAUAAAUAGAUAGUGUUAGGAUUAUUUUGAGGUAGUUCAUUCAUGAUAUUUUGAGAACACAAUACUUGUAAUAUUUGAACUUCUCUCUUUCAUCGGAGAAGCUCAAAACCAAAAUUCCCAAGUGGAGUGACACUUGGGUUGUAUCUUGGCUAGAAACUAGGAUCGUGAGGUCAUUAAGUUUCUCUUGGUCCAAGUAAGAACUUGGUGUUAAUAUUCUUUAGUCUUACGAUCCUUUCACUUUUUUAGGGUUCUUAGAUUCUUGAAUAUUGUAUGUCAAGUUACUAUCUUUCACUUUGUAAUCUUGUUGUGUGUGUAGUAACAUAGUGAAACCGUGUGGGGCCAUUUUCGAUUCACUAUAGUUGUUGCCACUUUGUUGCUCUUGUUAUUGUUAUUGUAAUCUUGUAAUCUCUAUUAUCUUGUCAUUUUUGUAAACCUUGAAGUUUAGUGAAGCCGUGAGUGGCCUAUUUCGAUUCACUAGCAUUAUUGUUGUUCAUCUUGUUACUCUUGUGUUGGCUUGACUCUUUUGAUACACACUUAUUUUUGUAUCAACUUGUGACUAUGGUGUAAAAUUUCUUACUAUUUUAAUAUCAGUUGCUCCUCUUAGGUCAUGAUUUUUUCCUUGGUUAGAAGGUCUCCACGUAAAAUUCUCGGUGUUAUUAUUUUUAUUUAUUUUUCUAUUAUUUUACCACAAAUACUUUUGUUGUUAUUCCGCAUUUAUCGAACAAACUAGAAUCAGAGCAAACGAUUUGCAAUAUCUGUAUUUUUGUAAACAAUGAAAGCUAACACAAGUAGAAUGAUUAUUUUGAAUGACAUUAAUUAUGACAUUUGGAAAGAAAAAAUGAAAGAUCUGUUUUAUGUUAAGAAUUUUUAUCAAUCAGUCUUUGACACCAUAAAAUCGAUGAAGAGUGCAACCUGUUGUAGAAGCAGAUUUAAAAUUUUAGUAGGCAGUAGGUUGAUUAUAAUGUGUUAAAUCAUAUUUCUGAAGAGACACAUGCUCGGUCCCGAUGGAAGCAUCUUGAAAGUUUGUAUGCUCGAAAAACUGAAAAUAAUAAGAUGUUCUUGAUGAAACAAAUGUUAGAGUUAAAAUCCCAUAAUAGUUCUUCAAUGACAGAUCAUCUGAAUAACUUUUAGGGGAUCAUAUUGAACUAGUUAUUUGCUAUGAGAAUUAAGUUUGAAGAAGAAAUUCAAGGCUUGCCUACUUGGUUUCCUAUCAGACUCAUGGAAAACAUUAGAACUUCAUUAUCAAAUUCUGUUUUUGAUGGCAUGAUCUCUAUGGAUUUUGCCAAGAGCAGCAUUCCUAAUGAAGAGAUGAUAUGAAAGUCUCAAGAUUCAUCUUUGUUCGAUGUCUUGAUAACUGGCGCCAGGGUAGAAAUAGGAAUCUUGGUUCUUAAAAUAGAGAAUACUAUAGAAGCAAAUCUAGAGGAAAAUUUAAAGAUAUUGAGUGUUAUCAUUAUGGGUUAAAAAGGCAGAUAAAGAAAUUUUGUCAAAAGUUGAAGAGAUAAGAAGGAAAAGAAAGAAGACAACAAUGAAAAUUGCAUAACCACCGUCACCACUGAAGAUCUUGGUACUGUCCUUGAUGCAAAUCUAAUAAAUAGUGCUUGUGAUAAGUCAAGUUAGGUUGUGGAUUUUGGUGCCACAUCUCACGUAAUAUUAAGGAAGGAUUUUUUUCUCAUCUUAUAAUUCAAGUGACUUUAGAACCUUGAGUAAUGGCAAUGAGACUGUUUCUAAAGUGAUUGGUAUUGAUUCAAUUUUCUUAGAAACUAGUACUAGAUCUAAACUAGUUUUAAACAAUGUAAAACAUAAACCUGGUGUUCAUUUGCACUUGAUUUCUAUUGUUGUGCUGGAUGAUGAGGGAUAUAUUAGUACCAAUGGUAGUGGAAAAUAGAAACUCAUUAAGGGUUCUUUGGUUGUGUCUCGUGGUGACAAGCAUCAUGGUCUAUACUAGACUACGACUUCUACUUGAGCUAACAUGGUGAAUAUAGCUACAAGAGCUAGCUUUUCAAUAUUAUGACAUAAGAGGCUUAGCCACAUCAGUGAGAAAAUACUUAAUGUUCUGUCCAAGAAAAAAUUACUGUCAAAUUUUAAAAGUUCUAAAUUAAAAAAUUAUGAGCACUGCUUGACAGGAAAAUAGUGAAUCUAUUUCAUACGUCAGAUAUCCGCACCCCCCUACAAUUGGUAUCAAAGCCUAGUAAUUCAAAAAAUACGGAAGUGAGAUAUAUGUUAGAGUUAUUAAAAUUUACCUAUAAAUUAUUAAAUUAAUUAUGCGAAGACCAUUUAAAAAUAGAGAAGCUUUUAGAAAAAUUAAAGAAUCUUUAAUUAGUAAUUAUUCAGAAUAUAUAAGUCUAAAUAAAACAAAAGAAAAUCCACAAAAACUAGCCUAUUUAAUUACAUUAAUAUCUAGUAUUGAAUCAAAAUUAAUAACACAUUUAAAAUCUAGAAGAAUGAAACAUAUACCACCUAAUUAUGAUAAAAUUAGAUUUAGAUAUCCACCAAGAUAUUAUAAAUAUAAUUUAAAAUGAAUAAAAUACAACAAUAUAAAGAAUUAAAACAAAUUAUCUCUGAAAAACGUAAAGAAUUAAAAAUAAGAAUAAAAAGACUACAUUAUAAUAUAUUUGCCGGAGUUAGUAAAAACUCAAUAGAUACACAAAAAGAUGAAAUAUCAAAAUUAGAAUCACAAAUAGAUAGUUUAGAAUAUAUAUAUAUCAACAUGAACUAUUCACAAUAAAAUGAACAAAGAAGAAUUUAUAAUAGAUGAAAAAAUAUAUGAAAACCAAGAAAGAUUAAAAAUAAAAAUAGUAUUUUCUAAUCUAGGACGAAGAUAUAAGAAAAUAGGUGAACAUUUAUAUCUAAUGUUAGAAAAAGAAGAAUUAAAAUUAGAAGAUAAAUUAACAGCAAUGGUAAGAAUAGAAAAAGAAAAUGAAGAGAUAGAUAGGAAAAAAGAAAUAGAAAAAAUAAAACAACAAACUACGGAAGAAAUACGAAAAAUAGAAGAAACCAAAAAUAGUAGAAUUGCUGAAUUAGAAAAAGAAUUACAAAUGUUAAAAGAACUGUAUGAACAAAGACAAAAAGAAAAAGAAGAAAAAGAUAGAGAACAGAAAUUACUAAAUGAGAUAAAUCAAUUUAAGGAAAAAUUAGAAAUAAAAAACGAAGAAUUAGAAAUAAAUAAUAUAGAUAUUGAAGAGACAGAUAAUUAUGAGUCCGAAGAUAGUGAAACAUACACAGAAAUAUUAACAAAUACAAAAAAUUUAGAAAUCAAUGAAGAACAAAAAAUUAAUGAGGAAAACUUAGAAAAUACCCACACAGAAAUAAAUACUCUUGAUAAAAAAGAAAAUGAAAAUAUAAUACCUAAAACAACAGAAAUAAGAAAACCUAUAUACCAUAAGAAUAAGUUUAAAAAAUAUAAUGAAUAUGAUAAAUGGAUACCAAAACAAAUAGUGAAUAAAAAUUAUAACUUUUUAGAUCUAGACUGUGUAAUAGAUACAGAAAAAACAAUACAAUUAUGGAUAGGAUAUAUGACAAAACAAUUAUUAGAUAAUAAUAUAAAUAUAACAGAUGCACCGGAAUAUAUAGAAAAAACACUAAUAGGAUCAGUAAAACUAUGGUUUGCAAAUCUAACCGAAAAUAGCAAAAAAGUAUUAAGAACUAAUAAACCUAUAGAAGGAACAUCAUCGACAACAACUAAACUAACACCUAUAGAAUUAUUAAAAAAAUAUGAAACAGCUAUAAAAGAUGAAUUUGGUAGUACGACAACAAUCGAAGAAGAACAAAAUGAAGAAAAAGAUACAAAUAGAAAUUUAAUGUUAAAAUUAGCAAUAUGUAAUAUGUGUUAUAUAGAUGAAUAUACUUGCGCAUUUAAAGAAUAUUAUUACAAAGGAGCAUAUAGUAUAGAAGAAAGUAAAGAAAUAAGAAAAUUAUAUUUUAAUAAAUUACCCGAGCCAUUUAGUUCGAAAAUAAUAAAAAGUUGGGAAGAAGCAAAAAUAGUAGAUACGUUAGGAGCAAGAAUAAAAUAUUUACAACAAUGGUAUAGAAACUUAUGUGAAAAAUAUAGAGAAGAAUUAAAAAUGGAAAAAACAUUAAUAAGAAAUUUAGCUUGUUGCAAAAAUAAAAUAGCACCCCAAUUUGGAUGCGAAGAAAGAUAUUAUAAGAAAAGAAAAAGACAUAAGAAAUAUAAGAAAUAUAAAAAAUCAAAAUAUAAAUAUAAAAAACCAAGAAAAAGAUACUAUGUAAAAAAUUAUAAACAUAAAAGACCAUAUAGAAAAAAGAAAUCUAUAAAAGAAUGUACUUGUUAUAAUUGUGGAAAGUUAGGACAUUUAGCUAGAGAUUGUAAAUUACCUAAAAAUCCAAAAAAUAAACAAAUAUCAGAAAUAAAAAUAGAAAAUACCGAAUACAUGCAGAUAGAUUAUAUAGAUUAUGAAUUAGAAAGUGAAGAUAGUAUAUAUGAAAUUUCAGAAAACGAAACAGAUAAUGAAAUAGAUAGCGAAAUAGAUGAAUCAAAUGACUGAAGAAGAUAUAAAAAUAAUAACAAAGGAAGAAUAUUUAAAUGAUGAAGGAACGGAACAAAAAAUAAUAUUUGACAGUAAUAUAUUUGAUGAAAUAAAAGGAAAAGAAUUAGAUUUAAGUGUAGACAAAAUAUUUAAAAUACCAACAAUAAAAAAUAUUUUUACUAGGAAAAAAGAUGAAUAUUAUGUAGUAUGCCAAAAAGAACAUGUAAUAGAUUGCAGAUAUGCAAAAGGAAAAGCUAGUAUACCACUAGUAACAAAAAGAAUAAUUAAUAAAGAAAUAAAUGAUAUAAAAAGUAAAGGAGAUCCAAUAAAAUAUGUACACCUUGGAGGUACAGAGAUAUUAAUAAAAGCAUGUUUUAGAGAAGGAAUAGAUACACCAAUAGAAUUAUAUUUAGCAGACGAUAGAAUUAUAAAACCUAUAGAAAAAAGCAUAAUAACUGCCGUAAAAGGAAAUCUAAUAUACCAAAAAUUUAAAUUUAUAAUAAGUGCAAAUUAUUCAGUAGCAGUAACAGAUAGGAAUAUAGAUAAAUCAUUAGUAUUAUAUUGGAAAAUAUCAGGAAUAGAGUUAACCCCAGGAAGUAAAAUAUUUACAGCAAGAUGUAAAAACCUAUAUGUAUUAACAACAAAACAUAAAAUAACAGGAAAAAAUAAGAUUAACAAAAUACAAAUAGAAAGCCCAUUCGAACAAAUAGUAAAAACAAUAGAUUAUAAUGAUUAUACCUAUAGAGACAUAGAUACAGAAGAAAAUUUAGAAAUAGUAAAUGAUAGAAUAAGUACAACGAAAAGAAUAGCUAAUGAAAAGCCAGAAUCAUCAAGCUCAUCAAAAAGAACAAGUUAUGAAACAAACUCAAUAAGUAAUUUAAACCAAUAUUACAUAACGGGAAAAAUAAAUGAAAAAGAAUAUUUAAUACUUUUGAACACAGGACAAGAAGAAAAUUAUAUAGCAAAAUAUCUAGUAAAAAAUGAAGAAAUAAAAACCGACAAUAAUAUAUGCCCAGACUUACCAAGAAGUUUAAUAAAUAAUAAAAAUCUAGCAGAAAAAGAAAUAAUAUUAGGAGUUAGAAAAAUAAAAAUAGAAUUCGAAGUAAAAGAAGAAAUGCAAAAAGCAGAUAUAAUAUUAGGAAUAAAAUGGUUAGAACAAGUAAAACCAUAUAAUAUAGAACAUACACAAUUAACCUUAACAUAUAACCAAGAAAAGUUAUUCUUAAAAAGAGCCUUAACAUGAAAUGAAGAUACAUGUAUUAAUGAAGAUAGUAGUAGAAGGAUAUUACAGUAGAUAUUAUACGCCUAUGAUAGAUACAGGAGCAGAAGCUAAUUUAUGUAGAUAUAAUUGCUUACCAGAAAGCAAAUGGGAUAAACUAAAAACACCAAUAAUAGUUAAAGGAUUUAAUAAUGAAGGAAGCUUAAUUACUUAUAAAGCUAGGAAUGUAAAAAUACAAGUAUGGGAUAAGAUAUUAACAAUAGAAGAAAUUUAUAACUAUGAAUUAACAUCAAAAGAUAUACUUUUAGGAAUGCCAUUUUUAGAUAAAUUAUACCCACAUAUAAUAACUAAAACAGACUGGUGGUUUACAACACCAUGCAAACAAAAAGUAAGAGCAAAAAGAGUUAAUAAUAAAAUAAGAAAGAAAACUGAUUGGAUAAAAGGAAGUGAAAAAAUUACACAAAAGUUAGAAAAUAUAAACAAUACUGAAGAUACAGUAGAACUAGUAGUAUUUUCGAUAAAUAAAACAGAAAUAACUAUAUUUUCAAUAAAUAAAAUAGAAAUAAUUCAGAAAAAAUUAGAACAAUUAUAUAGUGAAGAUCCAUUAAAAGGAUGGGAAAAACACAAAACUACUAUAAAAAUUGAAUUAAUAGAUAAAAAUAGCAUAAUAACCCAGAAACCAUUAACAUAUAAUUUUGACGAUUUAAAAGAAUUUAAAAUGCAUAUAGAUGAAUUAUUAGAAAAACAAUAUAUAUAAAAAAGUAAUAGUAAACAUAAUAGUCCAGCAUUUAUAGUAAAUAAACAUAGUGAACAAAAAAGAGGAAAAAAUAGGAUGGUAAUUGACUAUAGAAAUUUAAAUGCAAAAACUAUAACAUAUAAUUAUCCAAUACCAAAUAAGAUAUUAAAAAUAAGACAAAUACAAGGAUAUAAUUAUUUUAGCAAAUUCGAUUGUAAAUCAGGAUUUUACCACCUAAAGCUAGAAGAAGAAUCUAAAGAAUUAACCGCAUUUACGGUACCACAAGGAUUUUAUGAAUGGAACGUAUUACCAUUUGGAUCGAAGAUUUGGUUCUCCGAUUCAGCUUAAUGCAUUUCGUAAUUCCAGUUGGGAUGAAUGUUCUUAUACUCGUCGCUCUGUCACACAGGUUGAUGCAUGUUUCUUGAGCAAGAAGUAGACUGUGUUUCAAAUCUUCAACUGAAUCUGAAUAUUGAGCAACGUCUACUGCUUGAUCUGAGAUUGUUUGGCUUUGUGGUUUACUUGUAGAAAUUGGAUUUCCUCAAUCUAAUCCCACUCCUCUCCAUGCUGCCAAUACUAUUGUUGUUCAGAUUGCUAUCAAUUCAGUUUAUCAUAAAAGGACCAAACACAUAGAAGUGGACUGUUAUUAAAUCGGAGAAGUUGUAGAUAAGAGAGUCAUUAUUCUUCCACAUGUAACCAAUGAUCUCCAAAUAGCUGAUGUGUUUACAAAGACUAUGGCACAACGUCAUAAGUUUCUGGUAGGCAAAUUGAUGUUUUUUGAUCUACUAACAUCAAUUCGAGGGCAAUCUUAGCAUGAUUGGCUAGAUUCUAAUAGCUUUACAUAUUUAUGUAAUAACUCUAAAUAUUUGUGUAAAAGUCAUGGAUUAAUGUAGCAUAUUUUCAGAGAAAUUACAAUUGAGAAUAGCAGAUAUUUAGGGGUGUAAAUAGCAGAUUUUUAGGCAUGUAAAUCAAAACUCUUGCUAUUGAACGGAAGAAUUCUCCAUUUAAGAGCGUUCAUUCAGCAAACCUGACAUUUUUUAUCAUUUACUCUAUAAUCUAUUUGCAAGUUGCAGAAGAUGAGCCAUCUUCCAGUUUUUUUUGUUAGACAUUGUUAACUCUAAGGUGACUUGCAGAAUAACAGUCACUAACAUGUACAAAUUGUGAAGUUAUUUCCAUCAUUAAAGCGAUUAAAAUAUCAUGUAACCACUAAGUAAAAGUAAAUACAUGGUCAAAUAUGAAGCAGAAUUACAAAAGCUCUUCGAUUUUGGACAGACGAUGGAUGAUAUUUCCCUUUGUAAUUGACUCAUUCUAUUGUAACUGUAGUUCAGGAAUGCAUAUGCAUUAAUCUUUGAUCAGCAUGCACAAAUCUCUAACGAGGAGAGUUUGCUUAGUACAUUAAGAACAACAAACUUCUUUUAUUUUUGUCCGUUUAAACAAGAUAUAGGAGGAGACACUUUCCUUUACAAUCACAGACAGAAUUCAGCAACAUUAUUAAUUUGAGGUAGCUUUCUUCCUGUUGAUAUACUUGCGAUAAACUUCCACAAGUUUCUCAGGCUGAGGAAUGAUAUCCUUUACAACAUUGUCCAUGCAAAAUCUCUCAUCCCAUUCUGCUAGACUAGGCAUCUUGAUUUCAUCUAGUAUCUUCGUUUCAUACACCAUCUCGAUUGUCUUCACCCAUCCCAGUAAACUACCAAGAACAAUGUCAAGGUAACCAAUUCUAUCUCCACCAAAGAAAGAUUUACCUUUGCUGAUCUUGAUAAAAGCUUCCUCCAGCAGCAAAUUCCCUUCAGACAUUUUCUCUUGCACAGCUGCUUUUGCUUCUUUUCCUUCUGCGUUCGUGAAGUCCACUAUCAAUGGAUACCACUGCAACCAUUUUCGUCAGAUUUAAUGGAUAAUUCCAGUACACAAAACUGAUUGAUUUUCAAGAGAAGGGGUUACUGAAGAAGUAACUUUGGUGAAUGUAUUACUACUUGGCCAAACGACUUCUCAAGUAUGGUAAUGUUCAUUUACUGAAAAACAGUUCUAUAAUAUAGUUCAACGACUAUACGUGAAAUUAACCAUAAAUUUUAAAUACUAGUCCAAACAACAUUUCAAGGUUAGUAGUUACAAAUUCAAAUACAACAUUGUAAAGACUCAGAAUUUUGAAACCAUGCCAAUCCCACAACUGGCAUGUUGGAUGGUUAAGAAAAUUUUUAGCUCGAGAGACCAAAUGGGAAGCAUCCAGCACAUAAAUCAUGGAAGAAAAGAAUCAUAAGAAGGAUGUAUAUCCAGAUGAGAGGGGACUUUCCCAGAGUACCAUGGAAAGAUUUGAUGUGCUCCAACUCUGCUAGACCUAAAGCUGUAUUUAUCAUGCGGCUGAAGCUACAAAAUAGGCUGCUUAGAGCUGAUAGACUGAAUAAAUGGGGAAUUCAAGUAGGCACUGUGUGUAUCUUCUGCAAGGCAGCUGAUGAAACAAGAUAUCACAUCUUUGUUGAAUGUGAUUUUGCUACACCAUUAUGGGGCAAGCUUAUGGCCUAGCUACAAAUCCACUAAAGGACACUUGAUGUCAAUUCUUGGGAGCUUCUGAUCAAGUACACUAGAGGGCAAAAAAGACAGCCAAAAUACUCAAGUUGAUGUAUGCUGAGUAUAUUCAUGCAGAUUGGAUGAAGAUAAAUGCCAAAAUCUUUACACAAAAUGGAAGACCGGUUGAUGCACAAGCCAGAGAUAGCCUGAUUUUGUCAUGUUCGAGCUGAUUGUGCCCUAAAUCUUUUUCUUCAGCAGUUCAGAUUUUGGUAAGAAAUGAGUUAUAGAGGAUAAGAAGAUAGGAUCUCUUCUUCUUCUUCUUCUUCUUUUUGGAUCAGCAGACAGUGCUGUUCUGACUGGUCUUGUAAAUAUUACUUUUGAUGAUUAAUGAAAGUUAAGUCAUCAAAAAAAAAUAAAAAAAUCAACUACAACAUACCCAGUGUAGUCCCACAAAGUGGGGCCUGAGAAGGGUAUAAUGUAUGCAGACCUUACCCCUACUUCCGAGGUAGAGAGAUUGUUUCUGGUAAGUUACAAUUUAUAGGAUAUGAGAUGGGAUAUGUAAUUAAGUCCUCACCUUUUCAUCUAUAUAGGAUGCCCAAAACCGUGCUAUGGCACGAUCAUAGGGAUCAGAAGGAAGAAUGGAGGGGCCACUCGGCCAAGCUUCAUCGAUGUGCUGCAGGAUAACAAGUGACUCACAGAUGGGCUUUUCGUCAUGGAACAGGACAGGGAUUUUCUUGUAAACAGGGUUGGAUUUGAGGAGCAACUCACUUUUGUUUAACAUAUUUUCUUGUAUAAACUCAGAUUCAAUAGACUUUAUCUUGAGGGCUAUUUCAACCCGGUUCACGUAUGGGCUUGCCCAUACACCUAGAAGCUUUACACUACUUGUUGUCAUGGCUAGCUUCCUCAACAACUAAUAUUGAAGGAAUGACUAAUAAGCAGAAUCCAACACUCCUUUUUUAUGAAUAUAUCAGUCAGCAUAUUUGAUGCUUCUUACACACAAGUACUAUCUAGUAAAUUAUGUUGGUUUGUCCUUGUCACCAAAUAAAGAAUAUUGCAGGUGUGAACAACCAUUGUAAUAAACAAUUCAGUAGGUGUGAAUAAGUUGUCAAUAAUUUCUAUUGAUACAAAUUACCAAGAACAUUUUUUACAUGUUCUACUUUAGUCGUUUUCGGUAUUAAUGUUUCUUUCGAUUACUCAACUUUCUUGAGAUACCAUGAAAGUUAGGAAACAACUGAAUUACCAAGGGAGAAAGAUUAAAAAGUUACUUUGCUUAAAAGGUGUAUACAAGGCCAAGAUUUGUUAAUAUUCAAGUUAAAAGUCUAUUGGAGCUAAUGACUUUGCUUGAUAACGUACACAUCAAUCUUCUCAUGGUCUCAGCAACUCCACAAAGACACUUGAAAUGGAUAGAAUAUUCAACUCUUGAUUCUAGCUUUGUCAUUGGAAUACCAAAUGACCUCUCAAUUGAUUUAGCUUAAAUCUCAAGGCCUAUCAGAAAAUUCUUCUUAAUUUUCGUUUUUUUAAGUUAGUUUUAUCUAAUUGGAGUAAUAGAGUACUACAUUUCUCAGAUGUUGCCGAAAUGUCAUCGGUAUACUAUAGUUUGUACUCUGGCUGGGUGAUAAUUUGAUUUAAAAUACCAAGAAGAUCUUUGGCAUCUUUUUCCUUGUAAAGGCAUCUUAUAGACCACAAAGCUCCAAACAACAUCCUUCUGUAACAUCAGUUUAAUUGUUUUUUUUUGUUUAAUGGUACCAUAAAAUUAGUAUUAUCGUACUCUUAUUUUAAUCCUAUGAUCAUAUUAUAUCAUAUUUUAUACUAUUAAAAGUGGGAAGCUCCAAAAUGCAAAGUUGAAUCAUCAUUUUAUUCCUAUACUAAAUCAUAAUAUUAUAAACAGUUUAAUUAAAAAAAAGUAAAUAAUAAAUAUACAUUUUAAUGAAAAUAAAAUAAAAUAAAUAAGCAUCCAGUAUCCCCUGAACUCUGACUAAAGUUGCUACGACACACUCUUAUUUUACGGGGAUUCUGUUUCCCCUGAACUCAAUUUUAGCAUAUUUUUAUCACUCUUUUGUGCUGAUGUGACACCUUGCAUGAAGUUAAAUACCUUGUUGAGUAAAUGCGGAAUAAUAACAAAAGUAUUUGUGGUAAAAUAAUAGAAAAAUAAAUGAAAAUAAUGAAACCAAGAAUUUUACGUGAAAAUCCUUUUAAAUAAGGAAAAAACCACGGACCAAGAGGAGCAACUAAUAUUAAUAUAGUAAGGAACUUUACACCAUAGUCGAAAGUACAAUACUCAAAGUGACUACACACACUCAAAAGAAAUAACCCUCUUUUGAUGCCCACCUUACUAAAAUAUUGCUCACUCUAUUAUUUUUUAUCACAGUCUGUGAAAUACCUCACUGCUCUCUAUAUAUUAUUUUUCUCUCUGUUUGGUGUGUUUAACAAAUGAACUGAGAAGCUCCUUUUAUAGGAAAAAUUUGCCUCUAUCGAUGUCAGCAAUGACAUCACUGAAAAAUAAUAUUUUAAAGUGUUCAUAGUGAAAACAUUUAAUGACCAAUUUCUACCAACUAGAAAAUCUUGUUGUUUGACAUUUUAUCUUGACAAUUUUUUCACCUUUGCAACCAAUGAGGAAAAUUAAGACAUGGAAUGGACCCCACAAAUCUCCCCCUUCAGUCCCAUGCAUCUGAAGAAGGUAUCCCUGUCUUCUUAAAGAGAGCUCAUAUAGAUAAGUUCUUUGCACAAUUUGAACUUCUAUUUUGGCAUCAUCUUUGUCAGCAUAUCCUGAGAUUUUCACUCUUGUGAAUCUUCUUAACAUGGAAUGAUUCAUUCUCCACUUGCUCACUAAUUCAAUGGUACCUCACAUCAAUGUGUUUUGUUCUUGCAUAGUACAUGAAGUUCUUGUUCAAGUCUAUUGCACUUUGACUGUCACAAUAGACAACGUACUCCAUUUAGUGCAAUUCAAGUUCUUGAAGGAACCGCUUAAGCCAUAUCAUUUUCUUACCAGCUUCAGUAGGUGUAAUAUACUUAGCUUCAGUUGUAGAUAGUGCGACACACUUCUGCAACUUCAACUGCCAUGAUAUAGCUUCGCUUGAAAAUGUAAACAAAAAUUCAGUAGGAGAUUUUAUGUUAUCAAGGUCACCCGCUAUAUUAGCAUAUGUAUAUCUCUUCAAAAUUAGAUCAGAUCUUCCAAAAUACAAAUAAUCAGAUGAGGUUCCUUUUAGGUACCCCAGUAUCUAUUUGACUACUUGUCAGUGCUCCUUUUCUGGAUUUUCAAAAAACCUGUUGGUAACACCAACUGCGUGAGCAAUAUCGAGUCUGGUACAUACCAUUGUUUACAUUAAACUUCCGACUAUGGAGGAAUAUGGAACUUUAGCAAUGCUCUCUUUUUCCUUCUUCGUUAAAGGACAUAUUUUCUUGCUCAACUUUAUAUGACCAGCAAAGGGUGUAUUAACAACCUUAGUGUUCUUCUUAGCAUUCUUCAUCUUGAAUCACUCUAGUACACGUUUAAUGUACUUCUCCUAUGACAAGUAAAGCUUCCUUCAACAGAAAAUUUUUAUGCAAAUACACAGUGAUUUGAAGAAGUCUUCUAGUAGCCUUGCUCCCCUAUGAUAGAUUCAUACUUUUUAUAUCACUGUCUGGGAGCUUAUUUCAGGCCAUAAAGACUCUUCUUAAGUUUGCACACAUAAUGUUUUUUACCUUUUACUUUGAAGCCCUCAGGCGGUUCCAUAUAAAUAUCCUCUUUGAGGUCACCAUAAAGAAAAGUUGUCUUCACAUCCAUCUGCUCAAUCUCUAAAUCAAGACUAGCAGCCAAACCAAGAACUGUAUGAAUAGAGGUCAUUUUGACCAAAACCUUUGACAACCAAUUUAGCUUUGUAUCCAGGCUUCAAGCUGUGUUCUUCAAAUUUUACUUCGACUAUCCACUUAUUAUUCAAAGCUCUCAUUCCCUUAGGCAAUUUCACCAACUCAUAAGUGUAGUUUCUGCAGAGAUUUCAUCUCAUCUUACAUGGCUUCAGUCUAUUGAUCCUAAUGCUCAUCUUCCAUGGCAUCCUCAUAACAUUUAGGCUUUUCCUCGUCAGUGAGUAACAUAUACUCAUUAAAAGAAUAAAUAGAAAAAGAAACCUUUGUAUUGUAGACCUUCUAAGUGAGACAUUUGACUCAUCCAUAGCUUCUUGAACUGGAGCAUCGUCAACAACAAUAUCAUUGUCAUUAUCAACAUCAACAUACUGAUUUGAAAUAUUCUUUUAGGCGUCACCAUGAUUAUCAAGCCCACCAACAUCAUGCUCACUUGUAUGAGAAAUUUAAUCAAUAUUUAUCAUAUCAUUAGAACUUAAAGAUCUAGCUUCUCGUCUUUGUCAAUACCUUCAAUGGUUUGAUUCUCCAUAAAGACAAUGUCACAGCUUCUUACAAGAUACUUCUAAAUUAGAUCAUAUAGCCUAUAACCAAACCCAUCAAGGUUAUAACCAAUAAAGAUGCACUAUCUUAUCUUGGCAUCUAACUUUGACCUCUUAUCUUUGGGCACAUGUACAAAAUUUUUGCAACCCAACACUCUCAAAUGGUCAUAGGAAAUAUCAUUUCCAUACAAAUUUUAUUUGGUAUAUCACUUUACAAAGCAACAAUAGGAAAUAGAUUAAUGACAUGUGCAACGGUCAAUAAAGCCUCACCCCAAAAGUAGCUUUCCAUCUUUUCUUCAAAAAGCAAACAUCUGACUCUUUUCAUUAAGGUCCUGUUCAUCCUUUUCACUAAACCUUCAAACUGUGGAGUAUUAGGAAGAGUCUUAUGAUGUCUGAUACCUUGUUGCUUGCAGUACUGAUCAAAUGGUCCACAAUAUUUACCACCGUUAUCAGUACAAAUACACUUCAAUUUUUUUGUUUCUCUUUCAACUAAAGCCAGAAACUGCUUAAAGAUAUUCAAUACUUGGUCUCUAAUUUUCAAGACAUAGACCCAAAGUUUUCUUGAGCAAUCAUCAAUAAAAGUGACAAAGAAGUCUGUCACCCAAAGUUCUUGUAUUCAUUGGACCGCAUAAAUCUGGGUGCACCAGCUCAAGCAACCCUAUCUUUCUUGAAGGAAGAUGAGACUUAAAAAAUAGAUUCACUAGAUACCUAAUAAAUCUAUUUCAUACGUCAGAUAUCCGCACCCCCCUAUUUAUUUCCCAUUUUAUUUCUGUCUCAUUGAACGUACCUGAUUUACAAUCGAAUUUGCUAAAAUAAUUAUAUCCUUGUAUUUGUCUUAUUUUUAAUAUCUUAUUUGGUAUUGGAUAAUUAUAUGUUAUAAUUUUUGCAUUUAAAUUUCUAUAGUCAAUUACCAUCCUACUUUUUCCUCUUUUUUGUUCACUAUGUUUAUUUACUAUAAAUGCUGGACUAUUAUGUUUACUAUUACUUUUUUGUAUAUAUUGUUUUUCUAAUAAUUCAUCUAUAUGCAUUUUAAAUUCUUUUAAAUCCUCAAAAUUAUAUGUUAAUGGUUUCUGGGUUAUUAUGCUAUUUUUAUCUAUUAAUUCAAUUUUUAUAGUAGUUUUAUGUUUUUCCCAUCCUUUUAAUGGAUCUUCACUAUAUAAUUGUUCUAAUUUUUUCUGAAUUAUUUCUAUUUUAUUUAUUGAAAAUAUAGUUAUUUCUGUUUUAUUUAUCGAAAAUACUACUAGUUCUAUUGUAUCUUCAGUAUUUUUUAUAUUUUCUAACUUUUGUGUAAUUUUUUCACUUCCUUUUAUCCAAUCAGUUUUCUUUCUUAUUUUAUUAUUAACUCUUUUUGCUCUUACUUUUUGUUUACAUGGUGUUGUAAACCACCAGUCUGUUUUGGUUAUUAUAUGUGGGUAUAAUUUAUCUAAAAAUGGCAUUCCUAAAAGUAUAUCUUUUGAUGUUAAUUCAUAAUUAUAAAUUUCUUCUAUUGUUAAUAUCUUAUCCCAUACUUGUAUUUUUACAUUCCUAGCUUUAUAAGUAAUUAAGCUUCCUUCAUUAUUAAAUCCUUUAACUAUUAUUGGUGUUUUUAGUUUAUCCCAUUUGCUUUCUGGUAAGCAAUUAUAUCUACAUAAAUUAGCUUCUGCUCCUGUAUCUAUCAUAGGCGUAUAAUAUCUACUGUAAUAUCCUUCUACUACUAUCUUCAUUAAUACAUAUAUCUUCAUUUCAUGUUAAGGCUCUUUUUAAGAAUAACUUUUCUUGGUUAUAUGUUAAGGUUAAUUGUGUAUGUUCUAUAUUAUAUGGUUUUACUUGUUCUAACCAUUUUAUUCCUAAUAUUAUAUCUGCUUUUUGCAUUUCUUCCUUUACUUCGAAUUCUAUUUUUAUUUUUCUAACUCCUAACAUUAUUUCUUUUUCUGCUAUAUUUUUAUUAUUUAUUAAACUUCUUGGUAAGUCUGGGCAUAUAUUAUUGUCGGUUUUUAUUUCUUCAUUUUUUACUAGAUAUUUUGCUAUAUGAUUUUCUUCUUGUCCUGUAUUCAAAAGUAUUAAAUAUUCUUUUUCAUUUAUUUUUCCCGUUAUGUAAUAUUGGUUUAAAUUACUUAUUGAAUUUGUUUCAUAACUUGUUCUUUUUGAUGAGCUUGAUGAUUCUGGCUUUUCAUUAGCUAUUCUUUUCGUUGUACUUAUUCUAUCAUUUACUAUUUCUAAAUUUUCUUCUGUAUCUAUGUCUCUAUAGGUAUAAUCAUUAUAAUCUAUUGUUUUUACUAUUUGUUCGAAUGGGCUUUCUAUUUGUAUUUUGUUAAUCUUAUUUUUUCCUGUUAUUUUAUGUUUUGUUGUUAAUACAUAUAGAUUUUUACAUCUUGCUGUAAAUAUUUUACUUCCUGGGGUUAAUUCUAUUCCUGAUAUUUUCCAAUAUAAUACUAAUGAUUUAUCUAUAUUCCUAUCUGUUACUGCUACUGAAUAAUUUGCACUUAUUAUAAAUUUAAAUUUUUGGUAUAUUAGAUUUCCUUUUACGGCAGUUAUUAUGCUUUUUUCUAUAGGUUUUAUAAUUCUAUCGUCUGCUAAAUAUAAUUCUAUUGGUGUAUCUAUUCCUUCUCUAAAACAUGCUUUUAUUAAUAUCUCUGUACCUCCAAGGUGUACAUAUUUUAUUGGAUCUCCUUUACUUUUUAUAUCAUUUAUUUCUUUAUUAAUUAUUCUUUUUGUUACUAAUGGUAUACUAGCUUUUCCUUUUGCAUAUCUGCAGUCUAUUACAUGUUCUUUUUGACAUACUACAUAAUAUUCAUCUUUUUUCCUAGUAAAAAUAUUUUUUAUUGUUGGUAUUUUAAAUAUUUUUUCUACACUUAAAUCUAAUUCUUUUCCUUUUAUUUCAUCAAAUAUAUUACUGUCAAAUAUUAUUUUUUGUUCCGUUCCUUCAUCAUUUAAAUAUUCUUCCUUUGUUAUUAUUUUUAUAUCUUCUUCAGUCAUUUGAUUCAUCUAUUUCGCUAUCUAGUUCAUUAUCUGUUUCAUUUUCUGAAAUUUCAUAUAUACUAUCUUCACUUUCUAAUUCAUAAUCUAUAUAAUCUAUCUGCAUGUAUUCGGUAUUUUCUAUUUUUAUUUCUGAUAUUUGUUUAUUUUUUGGAUUUUUAGGUAAUUUACAAUCUCUAGCUAAAUGUCCUAACUUUCCACAAUUAUAACAAGUACAUUCUUUUAUAGAUUUCUUUUUUCUAUAUGGUCUUUUAUGUUUAUAAUUUUUUACAUAGUAUCUUUUUCUUGGUUUUUUAUAUUUAUAUUUUGAUUUUUUAUAUUUCUUAUAUUUCUUAUGUCUUUUUCUUUUCUUAUAAUAUCUUUCUUCGCAUCCAAAUUGGGGUGCUAUUUUAUUUUUGCAACAAGCUAAAUUUCUUAUUAAUGUUUUUUCCAUUUUUAAUUCUUCUCUAUAUUUUUCACAUAAGUUUCUAUACCAUUGUUGUAAAUAUUUUAUUCUUGCUCCUAACGUAUCUACUAUUUUUGCUUCUUCCCAACUUUUUAUUAUUUUCGAACUAAAUGGCUCGGGUAAUUUAUUAAAAUAUAAUUUUCUUAUUUCUUUACUUUCUUCUAUACUAUAUGCUCCUUUGUAAUAAUAUUCUUUAAAUGCGCAAGUAUAUUCAUCUAUAUAACACAUAUUACAUAUUGCUAAUUUUAACAUUAAAUUUCUAUUUGUAUCUUUUUCUUCAUUUUGUUCUUCUUCGAUUGUUGUCGUACUACCAAAUUCAUCUUUUAUAGCUGUUUCAUAUUUUUUUAAUAAUUCUAUAGGUGUUAGUUUAGUUGUUGUCGAUGAUGUUCCUUCUAUAGGUUUAUUAGUUCUUAAUACUUUUUUGCUAUUUUCGGUUAGAUUUGCAAACCAUAGUUUUACUGAUCCUAUUAGUGUUUUUUCUAUAUAUUCCGGUGCAUCUGUUAUAUUUAUAUUAUUAUCUAAUAAUUGUUUUGUCAUAUAUCCUAUCCAUAAUUGUAUUGUUUUUUCUGUAUCUAUUACACAGUCUAGAUCUAAAAAGUUAUAAUUUUUAUUCACUAUUUGUUUUGGUAUCCAUUUAUCAUAUUCAUUAUAUUUUUUAAACUUAUUCUUAUAAUAUAUAGGUUUUCUUAUUUCUGUUGUUUUAGGUAUUAUAUUUUCAUUUUCUUUUUUAUCAAGAGUAUUUAUUUCUGUGUGGGUAUUUUCUAAGUUUUCCUCAUAAAUUUUUUGUUCUUCAUUGAUUUCUAAAUUUUUUGUAUUUGUUAAUAUUUCUGUGUAUGUUUCACUAUCUUCGGACUCAUAAUUAUCUGUCUCUUCAAUAUCUAUAUUAUUUAUUUCUAAUUCUUCAUUUUUUAUUUCUAAUUUUUCCUUAAAUUGAUUUAUCUCAUUUAGUAAUUUCUGUUCUCUAUCUUUUUCUUCUUUUUCUUUUUGUCUUUGUUCAUACAGUUCUUUUAACAUUUGUAAUUCUUUUUCUAAUUCAGCAAUUCUACUAUUUUUGGUUUCUUCUAUUUUUCGUAUUUCUUCCGUAGUUUGUUGUUUUAUUUUUUCUAUUUCUUUUUUCCUAUCUAUCUCUUCAUUUUCUUUUUCUAUUCUUACCAUUGCUGUUAAUUUAUCUUCUAAUUUUAAUUCUUCUUUUUCUAACAUUAGAUAUAAAUGUUCACCUAUUUUCUUAUAUCUUCGUCCUAGAUUAGAAAAUACUAUUUUUAUUUUUGAUCCUUCGUAGUUUUCAUAUAUUUUUUCAUCUAUUAUAAAUUCUUCUUUAUUCAUUUUAUUGUGAAUAGGUCAUGUUGAUAUACAUAUUCUAAACUAUCUAUUUGUGAUUCUAAUUUUGAUAUUUCAUCUUUUUGUGUAUCUAUUGAAUUUUUACUAACUCCGGCAAAUAUAUUAUAAUGUAGUCUUUCUAUUCUUAUUUUUAAUUCUUUACGUUUUUCAGAGAUAAUUUGUCUUAAUUCUUUAUAUUGUUGUAUUUUAUUCAUUUUAAAUUAUAUUUAUAAUAUCUCGGUGGAUAUCUAAAUCUAAUUUUAUCAUAAUUAGGUGGUAUAUGUUUCAUUCUUCUAGAUUUUAAAUGUGUUAUUAAUUUUGAUUCAAUACUAGAUAUUAAUGUAAUUAAGUAGGCUAGUUUUUGUGGAUUUUCUUUUGUUUUAUUUAGACUUAUAUAUUCUGAAUAAUUACUAAUUAAAGAUUCUUUAAUUUUUCUAAAAGCUUCUCUAUUUUUAAAUGGUCUUCGCAUAAUUAAUUAAUUAUAAGUAAAUUGUUUUAACUCUAAAUCUAAUUUUGACUCUAACAUAAUUUUGACUCUAAGGUAACACGUUCCAUUCAUAAAAUCCUUGUGGUACCGUAAAUGCGGUUAAUUCUUUAGAUUCUUCUUCUAGCUUUAGGUGGUAAAAUCCUGAUUUACAAUCAAAUUUGCUAAAAUAAUUAUAUCCUUGGAUUUGUCUUAUUUUUAAUAUCUUAUUUGGUAUCGGAUAAUUAUAUGUUAUAGUUUUUGCAUUUAAAUUUCUAUAGUCAAUAACCAUCCUACUUUUUCCUCUUUUUUGUUCACUAUGUUUAUUUACUAUAAAUGCUGGACUAUUAUGUUUACUAUUACUUUUUUGUAUAUAUUGUUUUUCUAAUAAUUCAUCUAUGUGCAUUUUAAAUUCUUUUAAAUCAUCAAAAUUAUAUGUUAAUGGUUUUUGUGUUAUUAUGCUAUUCUUAUCUAUUAAUUCAAUUUUUAUAGUAGUUUUGUGUUUUUCCCAUCCUUUUAAUGGAUCUUCACUAUAUAAUUGUUCUAAUUUUUUCUGAAUUAUUUCUAUUUUAUUUAUUGAAAAUAUAGUUAUUUCUGUUUUAUUUAUCGAAAAUACUACUAGUUCUACUGUAUCUUCAGUAUUGUUUAUAUUUUCUAACUUUUGUGUAAUUUUUUCACUUCCUUUUAUCCAAUCAGUUUUCUUUCUUAUUUUAUUAUUAACUCUUUUUGCUCUUACUUUUUGUUUGCAUGGUGUUGUAAACCACCAGUCUGUUUUAGUUAUUAUAUGUGGGUAUAAUUUAUCUAAAAAUGGCAUUCCUAAAAGUAUAUCUUUUGAUGUUAAUUCAUAGUUAUAAAUUUCUUCUAUUGUUAAUAUCUUAUCCCAUACUUGUAUUUUUACAUUCCUAGCUUUAUAAGUAAUUAAGCUUCCUUCAUUAUUAAAUCCUUUAACUAUUAUUGGUGUUUUUAGUUUAUCCCAUUUGCUUUCUGGUAAGCAAUUAUAUCUACAUAAAUUAGCUUCUGCUCCUGUAUCUAUCAUAGGCGUAUAAUAUCUACUGUAAUAUCCUUCUACUACUAUCUUCAUUAAUACAUGUAUCUUCAUUUCAUGUUAAGGCUCUUUUUAAGAAUAACUUUUCUUGGUUAUAUGUUAAGGUUAAUUGUGUAUGUUCUAUAUUAUAUGGUUUUACUUGUUCUAACCAUUUUAUUCCUAAUAUUAUAUCUGCUUUUUGCAUUUCUUCUUUUACUUCGAAUUCUAUUUUUAUUUUUCUAACUCCUAAUAUUAUUUCUUUUUCUGCUAGAUUUUUAUUAUUUAUUAAACUUCUUGGUAAGUCUGGGCAUAUAUUAUUGUCGGUUUUUAUUUCUUCAUUUUUUACUAGAUAUUUUGCUAUAUAAUUUUCUUCUUGUCCUGUGUUCAAAAGUAUUAAAUAUUCUUUUUCAUUUAUUUUUCCCGUUAUGUAAUAUUGGUUUAAAUUACUUAUUGAGUUUGUUUCAUAACUUGUUCUUUUUGAUGAGCUUGAUGAUUCUGGCUUUUCAUUAGCUAUUCUUUUCGUUGUACUUAUUCUAUCAUUUACUAUUUCUAAAUUUUCUUCUGUAUCUAUGUCUCUAUAGGUAUAAUCAUUAUAAUCUAUUGUUUUUACUAUUUGUUCGAAUGGGCUUUCUAUUUGUAUUUUGUUAAUCUUAUUUUUUCCUGUUAUUUUAUGUUUUGUUGUUAAUACAUAUAGGUUUUUACAUCUUGCUGUAAAUAUUUUACUUCCUGGGGUUAACUCUAUUCCUGAUAUUUUCCAAUAUAAUACUAAUGAUUUAUCUAUAUUCCUAUCUGUUACUGCUACUGAAUAAUUUGCACUUAUUAUAAAUUUAAAUUUUUGGUAUAUUAGAUUUCCUUUUACGGCAGUUAUUAUGCUUUUUUCUAUAGGUUUUAUAAUUCUAUCGUCUGCUAAAUAUAAUUCUAUUGGUGUAUCUAUUCCUUCUCUAAAACAUGCUUUUAUUAAUAUCUCUGUACCUCCAAGGUGUACAUAUUUUAUUGGAUCUCCUUUACUUUUUAUAUCAUUUAUUUCUUUAUUAAUUAUUCUUUUUGUUACUAGUGGUAUACUAGCUUUUCCUUUUGCAUAUCUGCAAUCUAUUACAUGUUCUUUUUGGCAUACUACAUAAUAUUCAUCUUUUUUCCUAGUAAAAAUAUUUUUUAUUGUUGGUAUUUUAAAUAUUUUGUCUACACUUAAAUCUAAUUCUUUUCCUUUUAUUUCAUCAAAUAUAUUACUGUCAAAUAUUAUUUUUUGUUCCGUUCCUUCAUCAUUUAAAUAUUCUUCCUUUGUUAUUAUUUUUAUAUCUUCUUCAGUCAUUUGAUUCAUCUAUUUCGCUAUCUAUUUCAUUAUCUGUUUCGUUUUCUGAAAUUUCAUAUAUACUAUCUUCACUUUCUAAUUCAUAAUCUAUAUAAUCUAUCUGCAUGUAUUCGGUAUUUUCUAUUUUUAUUUCUGAUAUUUGUUUAUUUUUUGGAUUUUUAGGUAAUUUACAAUCUCUAGCUAAAUGUCCUAACUUUCCACAAUUAUAACAAGUACAUUCUUUUAUAGAUUUCUUUUUUCUAUAUGGUCUUUUAUGUUUAUAAUUUUUUACAUAGUAUCUUUUUCUUGGUUUUUUAUAUUUAUAUUUUGAUUUUUUAUAUUUCUUAUAUUUCUUAUGUCUUUUUCUUUUCUUAUAAUAUCUUUCUUCGCAUCCAAAUUGGGGUGCUAUUUUAUUUUUGCAACAAGCUAAAUUUCUUAUUAAUGUUUUUUCCAUUUUUAAUUCUUCUCUAUAUUUUUCACAUAAGUUUCUAUACCAUUGUUGUAAAUAUUUUAUUCUUGCUCCUAACGUAUCUACUAUUUUUGCUUCUUCCCAACUUUUUAUUAUUUUCGAACUAAAUGGCUCGGGUAAUUUAUUAAAAUAUAAUUUUCUUAUUUCUUUACUUUCUUCUAUACUAUAUGCUCCUUUGUAAUAAUAUUCUUUAAAUGCGCAAGUAUAUUCAUCUAUAUAACACAUAUUACAUAUUGCUAAUUUUAACAUUAAAUUUCUAUUUGUAUCUUUUUCUUCAUUUUGUUCUUCUUCGAUUGUUGUCGUACUACCAAAUUCAUCUUUUAUAGCUGUUUCAUAUUUUUUUAAUAAUUCUAUAGGUGUUAGUUUAGUUGUUGUCGAUGAUGUUCCUUCUAUAGGUUUAUUAGUUCUUAAUACUUUUUUGCUAUUUUCGGUUAGAUUUGCAAACCAUAGUUUUACUGAUCCUAUUAGUGUUUUUUCUAUAUAUUCCGGUGCAUCUGUUAUAUUUAUAUUAUUAUCUAAUAAUUGUUUUGUCAUAUAUCCUAUCCAUAAUUGUAUUGUUUUUUCUGUAUCUAUUACACAGUCUAGAUCUAAAAAGUUAUAAUUUUUAUUCACUAUUUGUUUUGGUAUCCAUUUAUCAUAUUCAUUAUAUUUUUUAAACUUAUUCUUAUGGUAUAUAGGUUUUCUUAUUUCUGUUGUUUUAGGUAUUAUAUUUUCAUUUUCUUUUUUAUCAAGAGUAUUUAUUUCUGUGUGGGUAUUUUCUAAGUUUUCCUCAUUAAUUUUUUGUUCUUCAUUGAUUUCUAAAUUUUUUGUAUUUGUUAAUAUUUCUGUGUAUGUUUCACUAUCUUCGGACUCAUAAUUAUCUGUCUCUUCAAUAUCUAUAUUAUUUAUUUCUAAUUCUUCAUUUUUUAUUUCUAAUUUUUCCUUAAAUUGAUUUAUCUCAUUUAGUAAUUUCUGUUCUCUAUCUUUUUCUUCUUUUUCUUUUUGUCUUUGUUCAUACAGUUCUUUUAACAUUUGUAAUUCUUUUUCUAAUUCAGCAAUUCUACUAUUUUUGGUUUCUUCUAUUUUUCGUAUUUCUUCCGUAGUUUGUUGUUUUAUUUUUUCUAUUUCUUUUUUCCUAUCUAUCUCUUCAUUUUCUUUUUCUAUUCUUACCAUUGCUGUUAAUUUAUCUUCUAAUUUUAAUUCUUCUUUUUCUAACAUUAGAUAUAAAUGUUCACCUAUUUUCUUAUAUCUUCGUCCUAGAUUAGAAAAUACUAUUUUUAUUUUUGAUCCUUCGUAGUUUUCAUAUAUUUUUUCAUCUAUUAUAAAUUCUUCUUUAUUCAUUUUAUUGUGAAUAGGUCAUGUUGAUAUACAUAUUCUAAACUAUCUAUUUGUGAUUCUAAUUUUGAUAUUUCAUCUUUUUGUGUAUCUAUUGAGUUUUUUUACUAACUCCGGCAAAUAUAUUAUAAUGUAGUCUUUUUAUUCUUAUUUUUAAUUCUUUACGUUUUUCAGAAAUAAUUUGUUUUAAUUCUUGGUAUUGUUGUACUUUAUUCAUUUUAAAUUAUAUUUAUAAUAUCUUGGCGGAUAUCUAAAUCUAAUUUUAUCAUAAUUAGGUGGUAUGUGUUUCAUUCUUCUAGAUUUUAAAUGUAUUAUUAAUUUUGAUUCAGUACUAGAUAUUAAUGUAAUUAAGUAGGCUAAUCUUUGUGGAUUUUCUUUUGUUUUAUUUAGACUUAUAUAUUCUGAAUAAUUACUAAUUAAAGAUUCUUUAAUUUUUCUAAAAGCUUCUCUAUUUUCAAAUGGUCUUCGCAUAAUUAAUUUAAUAAUUUAUAGGUAAAUUCUAAUAACUCUAACAUAUAUCUCACUUUCGUAUUUUUUGAAUUACUGGGCUUUGUUACCAAUUGUAGGGGGUGCGGCUAUCUGACGUAUGAAAUAGAUUCACUAUUUUCCUGUCAAGCAGUGCUCAUAAUUUUUUAAUUUAGAACUUUUAAAAUUUGACAAUAAUUUUUUCUUGGAUAGAACAUUAAGUAUUUUCUCACUGAUGUGGCUAAGCCUCUUAUGUCAUAAUGUUGAAAAGCUAGCUCUUGUAGCUACAUUCACCAUGUUAGCUCAAGUAGAAGUCGUAGUCCAGUAUAGACCAUGACGCUUGUCACCACGAGACACAACCAAAGAACCCUUAAUGAGUUUCUAUUUUCCACUACCAUUGGUACUAAUAUAUCCCUCAUCAUCCAGCACAACAAUAGAAAUCAAGUGCAAAUGAACACCAGGUUUAUGUUUUACAUUGUUUAAAACUAGUUUAGAUCUAGUACUAGUUUCUAAGAAAAUUGAAUCAAUACCAAUCACUUUAGAAACAGUCUCAUUGCCAUUACUCAAGGUUCCAAAGUCACUUGGAUUAUAAGAUGAGAAAAAAAUCCUUCCUUAAUAUUACGUGAGAUGUUGCACCAAAAUCCACAACCUAACUUGACUCAUCACAACCACUAUUUAUUAGAUUUGCAUCAAGGACAGUACCAAGAUCUUCAGUGGUGACGGUGGUUAUGCAAUUUUCAUUGUUGUCUUCUUUCUUUUCCUUCUUAUCUCUUCAACUUUUGACAAAAUUUCUUUAUCUGCCUUUUUAACCCACAAUGAUAUCACUCAAUAUCUUUAAAUUUUCCUCUAGAUUUGCUUCUAUAGUAUUCUCUAUUUUAAGAACCAAGAUUCCUAUUUCUACCCUGGCGCCAGUUAUCAAGACAUCGAACGAAGAUGAAUCUUGAGACUUUCAUAUCAUCUCUUCAUUAGGAAUGCUGCUCUUGGCAAAAUCCAUAGAGAUCAUGCCAUCAAAAACAGAAUUGGAUAAUGAAGUUCUAAUGUUUUCCAUGAGUUUGAUAGGAAACCAAGUAGGCAAGCCUUGAAUUUCUUCUUCAAACUUAAUUCUCAUAGCAAAUAACUAGUUCAAUAUGAUCCCCUAAAAGUUAUUCAGAUGAUCUGUCAUUGAAGAACUAUUAUGGGAUUUUAACUCUAACAUUUGUUUCAUCAAGAACAUCUUAUUAUUUUAAGUUUUUCGAGCAUACAAACUUUCAAGAUGCUUCCAUCGGGAACGAGCAUGUGUCUCUUCAAAAAAUAUGAUUUAACACAUUAUCAUCAACCUACUGCCUACUAAAAUUUUAAAUCUGCUUCUACAACAGGUUGCACUCUUCAUCGAUUUUAUAGUGUCAAAGACUGAUUGAUAAAAAUUCUUAACAUAAAACAGAUCUUUCAUUUUUUCUUUCCAAAUGUCAUAAUUAAUGUCAUUCAAAAUAAUCAUUCUACUUGUGUUAGCUUUCAUUGUUUACAAAAAUACAGAUAUUGCAAAUCGUUUGCUCUGAUUCUAGUUUGUUCGGUAAAUGCGGAAUAACAACAAAAGUAUUUGUGGUAAAAUAAUAGAAAAAUAAAUAAAAAUAAUAACACCGAGAAUUUUACGUGGAGACCUUUUAACCAAGGAAAAAAUCAUGGCCUAAGAGGAGCAACUGAUAUUAAUAUAGUAAGAAAUUUUACACCGUAGUCACAAGUUGAUACAAAAAUAAGUGUGUAUCAAAAGAGUCAAGCCAACACAAGAGUAACAAGAUGAACAACAAUAAUGCUAGUGAAUCAAAAUAGGCCACUCACGGCUUCACUAAACUUCAAGGUUUACAAAAAUGACAAGAUAAUAGAGAUUACAAGAUUACAAUAACAAUAACAAGAGCAACAAAGUGGCAACAACUAUAGUGAAUCGAAAAUGGCCCCACACGGUUUCACUAUGUUACUACACACACAACAAGAUUACAAAGUGAAAGAUAGUAACUUGACAUACAAUAUUCAAGAAUCUAAGAACCCUAAAAAAAUGAAAGGAUCGUAAGACUAAAGAAUAUUAACACCAAGUUCUUACUUGGACCAAGAGAAACUUAAUGACCUUACGAUCCUAGUUUCUAACCAAGAUACAACCCAAGUGUCACUCCACUUGGGAAUUUUGGUUUUGAGCUUCUCCGAUGAAAGAGAGAAGUUCAAAUAUUACAAGUAUUGUGUUCUCAAAAUAUCAUGAAUGAACUACCUCAAAAUAACCCUAACACUAUCUAUUUAUAUUACUCCACAAAGUGAGAUAACAAAUGAACAUCCUACCCUUGUCAAGGGGUGGCCUUGGAGUGUAAGUUUAUUACACUUUAAGGCUCCUCUUCACACUUAAAAACAUUUAAUCCAUUGGAAGGCUUAAGUACUAACUCACACACGGCCAUUUUCAUGAACAUAGCUUGAAGUUUUUGUAACUCUCGUGCUUGGCUACGUGUGAGUGGUCGUGAACUUGUUGGAAAGAUUGUAGAACUUGUUGGAUAGCUUGAUACACCCAUAUCAUCCUCUCCAUAUUGAGAGGAAUUUGGCUUCAAAUUCAUAAUUUGGUCAUCCUCAAAUGCAUCCACAAGAGAAAGAUCACACACAUUGAAAAUGUUGUGCACUUGGUAUUCCAGGGGAAGGUCAAUCUUGUAGGCAUUAUCAUUAAUUAUUUCAAGUACUUGGAAUGGACCAUCACCCCUUAGCAUUAAUUUGGUCUUCCUUGAUAUGGAAACCGAUCCUUCCUAAGGUGCACCCACACUUAAUCUCCCGGUUCAAGAAAGGUAUCCCUAAAAUGAUAUUUUCUAUGAUAUCUUCGGUGAUGACGAAGUCAUUAACAAGGAAAAUGCCAUUGUUACAAACAUGAGCUUUAGGGAGUUGAUAAUAGAUUUCCAUUUUUUCUCCCGUGGCUGAGUAAAGACGAGAGGUACUCUUUUGAAGGUACUUUGUAGGUACUAGGCCUUUAACAAUGCAGUUACUAUCUGCACCUGUAUCGAAGAGUGCGACUCUGUUAAGAACAAAGUCUUUAUUUAUGACAAUUUUCACGGCUAUAUGUUCGCUAUAGGCUUUUAUGGCCGUAACAGCUUUGCCGGACGUAGAGGGAGAAUCAGAGCCGGGAAAGGAACUAGGCUCUGGUUCUCGGAGAUGAUCAUUCGGGAUGAUUGGAAAGACUUUAGGUGAUUCUGGCGGAGAAGCCUUUUCGGGGAGAGGUAUACUUUUUAGGACUUGAUGUGUAAGAACGUUAAGUUCUACUUGAUCAAGACGGAUUUUGAGGUUCUUGAUCUCUCCCUUUAAUGUGGAGAUUUCUCCCUUAAGAUCAGCAAUAGAAGGUUCCGCAGGUUUGUCGAAUCUAGACAUAACCUGUUUUAUGCUAAAAGGCUGGAUAAUGGUUUUGGGGGGUUUUUCUUCAUGAGAAAGCAUUAAUAGUUUGAGUUCUAGAAGAUAUUUAUUUCUAGAUUCAUCAUCUUGGAUGUGUUCUAUAAUGUCAAACAGGAUUUCUUUACGAUUUCCUGAAACGACAUUAACAGCCUUUCUAGUGCAAUUGCAAAAGGUACCGUUACAGGCACAUUCUUGGCCAGAUUGGGAUUGAUUCGUCUCAUAAGCGGUGUUGAUGAAUUCUUCAUCGCUGUAGUCGUCACUGGACGAGGCAUAGGAGUCAGAAGAUUCAGAAGACUCAAGUGAAUCUUCCAUUAUGGAAAAUAGAUUUGCUCUGGUUUCUUCAGAGAGAUCUAAUUGGUUUAAUUUCUUCUUCUUAUUAGACUUGCAGUCUUUCGCUCUGUGGCCUGCCUUGCCACAAGUCCAACAAGUAUCUUUAUUUUUGGAGAAUUUCCGUUUGGUCUUUCUACUGGGCUUAUAAGAUUCCCUUUUGAAGGACCUUUUGUUUGAGGUGGUCCUCUUGUGAGGUUUGGAGGACUUCUUCCUAUGCUUCUUGCUGGGGCUGGUGAAACCAUAGUCUUGGCAGAAGGUUCCUAACCCAUAUUUGGAAGUACUAUCUUUCUUAAGUUGUUUCUUAAGCUUAAGGUCAGUGCAGAGAUCUAUCCCUACGGUGGUGAUGAAACUUAUUAAGUCGCCAUAGGUUAGGAUAUCGUAAGGGAUUUUUCCCUCGAAUCUAUCCUUAAUUUUGGUUCUAACCUUUUCUGCAAACAGAGUAGGAAGACCACUAAUGAAUCGUUCCUUCUAGAAAUCAUUGUUGUAGUCAGGUCGGAUCAUGACCUUUACUAAGAAGGUAUCUUUGUACCAUCGAAAGUCUGCUAGGUCUUUAUAGGUGAGAUUGUUGAGGAUCUCUAAGCUCCUAUCUUGGAAUAAUUUGGGCUCUCCUAUGAAAUGUCUGGCUAUAUGGUAUAGGAGAGUGGCACAAGCGUCUUCUUNNNNNNNNNNNNNNNNNNNNNNNNNNNNNNNNNNNNNNNNNNNNNNNNNNNNNNNNNNNNNNNNNNNNNNNNNNNNNNNNNNNNNNNNNNNNNNNNNNNNNNNNNNNNNNNNNNNNNNNNNNNNNNNNNNNNNNNNNNNNNNNNNNNNNNNNNNNNNNNNNNNNNNNNNNNNNNNNNNNNNNNNNNNNNNNNNNNNNNNNNNNNNNNNNNNNNNNNNNNNNNNNNNNNNNNNNNNNNNNNNNNNNNNNNNNNNNNNNNNNNNNNNNNNNNNNNNNNNNNNNNNNNNNNNNNNNNNNNNNNNNNNNNNNGUCAUCACUGAGAUUAGGGAAUUUUUCCUUUUGGAAUUCAGGGAUCUUAAAGAUGGGGUUGGCUAUAGGAUUAGGGCUUGGAGUCCCUUUCUCAGGAGCGGGGGAACUAAAAGGAAGUAUCGAGUUUUUAGCAUCUCCUAUUUGUUGGGAGAUAGUGUGAAGUACCUGAUUAGUAUAGUUGUUUUGUUCAACUAUCCUAUCGAGGUCUCUAUUAAUAGGGGCUGAUAGAGGUCUAUCAUCCUUCUUCUUAAAGGGUGAAGCAUUGAGGACUUCAUUGGAAUGAGGAAUUUUUAUCCCUUCAAGAGGAGGAGUAACAGAUUCAAUUAUCUUGUUACUCUGGGUAUACCAUUUAUUAAUGAUAACGUUAAGGGAUUCAUUCUGGUUUUCCAUUCUUCCGGUAAACUCAAACCAUCUAAAGAAUUCUAUGUCACAUCGGAGUUUUUUCAUAUCGGCUAUCUAUAGCCGACCUAACUCCUUUUGUUGUUCUUUAGAAUAGGUACUGGUGUACCAUUUCCUCUUUAUUGUGUCCUUAGGGAGAUACCAGCGGACUUCAAGAGCUUUGAGGUCAGGUGUAUAUUCUUCAUCAGAUUUGAUGACGAGUAGGCUGGGUCAGUCCUAAUUUUUUGACGGGAUAUGGUAGGGGAGGCUCCAUAUCAGAGGCUGUAGGACUGCCUGGAUCAUAAGGAUUUUCAGGUUCUAGGGACUCAUGGACCCUAGUGGUUUGCUGAUAAUAAACUUUCGGGACAGGACCAGAGAAGUCGACUCCUCUUAUUUUGCCCUUGUCAUUGUUAUUAUCAUUUUCGUCACUUCCCUCCUGGGUUUUUGAGGUGGAAGCUCUGUGCGAGACAGACCGUCGAAACAAAGAGUUCCAAGGGGUGUCGAAGCCUAAGAACUUUAAAUCAAUUGAGCCAUCAGGAUGCUGAAUAACUCGUUGUAUUUGAGAUUUCUCGGGAUAGGUACGAAGGGGUUGGGUGAUAGCAUCAAAGUGCCAUUCAUUACUAUGGAUGACUUCAUCCCAAACCAAAGGCUUAGGGACAAAGACAUUGGUUCUGUCCUUAUUGGCUUCCAUGAGUGUGGUGACACCCCUAGGACUUGUGAAUCUAGCUUUGGNNNNNNNNNNNNNNNNNNNNNNNNNNNNNNNNNNNNNNNNNNNNNNNNNNNNNNNNNNNNNNNNNNNNNNNNNNNNNNNNNNNNNNNNNNNNNNNNNNNNNNNNNNNNNNNNNNNNNNNNNNNNNNNNNNNNNNNNNNNNNNNNNNNNNNNNNNNNNNNNNNNNNNNNNNNNNNNNNNNNNNNNNNNNNNNNNNNNNNNNNNNNNNNNNNNNNNNNNNNNNNNNNNNNNNNNNNNNNNNNNNNNNNNNNNNNNNNNNNNNNNNNNNNNNNNNNNNNNNNNNNNNNNNNNNNNNNNNNNNNNNNNNNNNNNNNNNNNNNNNNNNNNNNNNNNNNNNNNNNNNNNNNNNNNNNNNNNNNNNNNNNNNNNNNNNNNNNNNNNNNNNNNNNNNNNNNNNNNNNNNNNNNNNNNNNNNNNNNNNNNNNNNNNNNNNNNNNNNNNNNNNNNNNNNNNNNNNNNNNNNNNNNNNNNNNNNNNNNNNNNNNNNNNNNNNNNNNNNNNNNNNNNNNNNNNNNNNNNNNNNNNNNNNNNNNNNNNNNNNNNNNNNNNNNNNNNNNNNNNNNNNNNNNNNNNNNNNNNNNNNNNNNNNNNNNNNNNNNNNNNNNNNNNNNNNNNNNNNNNNNNNNNNNNNNNNNNNNNNNNNNNNNNNNNNNNNNNNNNNNNNNNNNNNNNNNNNNNNNNNNNNNNNNNNNNNNNNNNNNNNNNNNNNNNNNNNNNNNNNNNNNNNNNNNNNNNNNNNNNNNNNNNNNNNNNNNNNNNNNNNNNNNNNNNNNNNNNNNNNNNNNNNNNNNNNNNNNNNNNNNNNNNNNNNNNNNNNNNNNNNNNNNNNNNNNNNNNNNNNNNNNNNNNNNNNNNNNNNNNNNNNNNNNNNNNNNNNNNNNNNNNNNNNNNNNNNNNNNNNNNNNNNNNNNNNNNNNNNNNNNNNNNNNNNNNNNNNNNNNNNNNNNNNNNNNNNNNNNNNNNNNNNNNNNNNNNNNNNNNNNNNNNNNNNNNNNNNNNNNNNNNNNNNNNNNNNNNNNNNNNNNNNNNNNNNNNNNNNNNNNNNNNNNNNNNNNNNNNNNNNNNNNNNNNNNNNNNNNNNNNNNNNNNNNNNNNNNNNNNNNNNNNNNNNNNNNNNNNNNNNNNNNNNNNNNNNNNNNNNNNNNNNNNNNNNNNNNNNNNNNNNNNNNNNNNNNNNNNNNNNNNNNNNNNNNNNNNNNNNNNNNNNNNNNNNNNNNNNNNNNNNNNNNNNNNNNNNNNNNNNNNNNNNNNNNNNNNNNNNNNNNNNNNNNNNNNNNNNNNNNNNNNNNNNNNNNNNNNNNNNNNNNNNNNNNNNNNNNNNNNNNNNNNNNNNNNNNNNNNNNNNNNNNNNNNNNNNNNNNNNNNNNNNNNNNNNNNNNNNNNNNNNNNNNNNNNNNNNNNNNNNNNNNNNNNNNNNNNNNNNNNNNNNNNNNNNNNNNNNNNNNNNNNNNNNNNNNNNNNNNNNNNNNNNNNNNNNNNNNNNNNNNNNNNNNNNNNNNNNNNNNNNNNNNNNNNNNNNNNNNNNNNNNNNNNNNNNNNNNNNNNNNNNNNNNNNNNNNNNNNNNNNNNNNNNNNNNNNNNNNNNNNNNNNNNNNNNNNNNNNNNNNNNNNNNNNNNNNNNNNNNNNNNNNNNNNNNNNNNNNNNNNNNNNNNNNNNNNNNNNNNNNNNNNNNNNNNNNNNNNNNNNNNNNNNNNNNNNNNNNNNNNNNNNNNNNNNNNNNNNNNNNNNNNNNNNNNNNNNNNNNNNNNNNNNNNNNNNNNNNNNNNNNNNNNNNNNNNNNNNNNNNNNNNNNNNNNNNNNNNNNNNNNNNNNNNNNNNNNNNNNNNNNNNNNNNNNNNNNNNNNNNNNNNNNNNNNNNNNNNNNNNNNNNNNNNNNNNNNNNNNNNNNNNNNNNNNNNNNNNNNNNNNNNNNNNNNNNNNNNNNNNNNNNNNNNNNNNNNUUGCCAUCAAUAAUUCUUUAGAAAUUAUACAACUUUUAAAUGACCUAGACAUAAACCGAUUUAAAAAUCAGUUCCAUUAUCUACAUAUCGGACUUGUUCAAGUAGCCAUUAAGCCACUCUUUAGACAAGGGUUAGACAUCCCUGUCUGUGCUAUACUAAGAGAUGCUCGUCUAUUAAAUUUUGACGACUCACUCUUAGGAGUCAUUCAAAGUAACCUAGCCGACGGCCCGGUAUACUUUAAUUGUUACCCUAAUUUCUCAGUAGACAUUAAUGAUCCUAACAUCAUGGAUGUUUUAACUCUUAAUGUUAAAACAAAAAACAUGAACAGUAAGGAUAAUACUAGAGAAAUCGCGAUAAUAUACAGAGUAUACUAUCGACUAAUGGGUACAACUCUAGCACCUCAAGCUAGAUUCACAAGUCCUAGGGGUGUCACCACACUCAUGGAAGCCAAUAAGGACAGAACCAAUGUCAUUGUCCCUAAGCCUUUGGUUUGGGAUGAAGUCAUCCAUAGUAAUGAAUGGCACUUUGAUGCUAUCACCCAACCCCUUCGUACCUAUCCCGAGAAAUCUCAAAUACAACGAGUUAUUCAGCAUCCUGAUGGCUUGAUUGAUUUAAAGUUCUUAGGCUUCGACACCCCUCGGAACUCUUUGUUUCGACGGUCUGUCUCGUAUAGAGCUUCUACCUCAAAAACCCAGGAGGGAAGUGACGAAAAUGAUAAUAACAAUGACAAGGGCAAAAUAAGAGGAAUCGACUUCUCUGGUCCUGUCCCGAAAGUUUAUUAUCAGCAAACCACUAGGGUCCAUGAGUACCUAGAACCUGAAAAUCCUUAUGAUCCAGGCAGUCCUACAGCCUCUGAUAUAGAGCUUUCCCCUACCAUAUCCCGUCAAAAAAUUAAGACUGACCCCAGCCUACUCGUCAUCAAAUCUGAUGAAGAAUAUACACUUGACCUCAAAGCUCUUGAAGUCCACUGGUAUCUCCCUAAGGACGCAAUAAAGAGGAAAUGGUACACCAGUACCUAUUCCAAAGAACAACAAAAGGAGUUAGAUCGGCUAUGGAUAGACGAUAUGAAAAAACUAUGAUGUGACAUAGAAUUCUUUAGAUGGUUUGAGUUUACCGGAAGAAUGGAAAACCAGAAUGAAUCCCUUAACGUUAUCAUUAAUAAAUGGUAUACCCAGAGUAACAAGAUAAUUGAAUCCGUUACUCCUCCUCUUGAAGGGAUAAAAAUUCCUCAUUCCAAUGAAGUCCUCAAUGCUUCACCCUUUAAGAGGAAGCAUGAUAGACCUCUAUCAGCCCCUAUUAAUAGAGACCUCGAUAGGAUAGUUGAACAAAACAACUAUACUAAUCAGGUCCUUCACACUAUCUCCCAACAAAUAGGAGAUGCUAAAAACUCGAUACUUCCUUUUAGUUCCCCCACUCCUGAGAAAGGGACUCCAAGCCCUAAUCCUAUAGCCAACCCCAUCUUUAAGAUCCCUGAAUUCCAAAAGNNNNNNNNNNNNNNNNNNNNNNNNNNNNNNNNNNNNNNNNNNNNNNNNNNNNNNNNNNNNNNNNNNNNNNNNNNNNNNNNNNNNNNNNNNNNNNNNNNNNNNNNNNNNNNNNNNNNNNNNNNNNNNNNNNNNNNNNNNNNNNNNNNNNNNNNNNNNNNNNNNNNNNNNNNNNNNNNNNNNNNNNNNNNNNNNNNNNNNNNNNNNNNNNNNNNNNNNNNNNNNNNNNNNNNNNNNNNNNNNNNNNNNNNNNNNNNNNNNNNNNNNNNNNNNNNNNNNNNNNNNNNNNNNNNNNNNNNNNNNNNNNNNNNNNNNNNNNNNNNNNNNNNNNNNNNNNNNNNNNNNNNNNNNNNNNNNNNNNNNNNNNNNNNAAGAAGACGCUUGUGCCACUCUCCUAUACCAUAUAGCCAGACAUUUCAUAGGAGAGCCCAAAUUAUUCCAAGAUAGGAGCUUAGAGAUCCUCAACAAUCUCACCUAUAAAGACCUAGCAGACUUUCGAUGGUACAAAGAUACCUUCUUAGUAAAGGUCAUGAUCCAACCUGACUGCAACAAUGAUUUCUGGAAGGAACUAUUCAUUAGUGGUCUUCCUACUCUGUUUGCAGAAAAGGUUAGAACCUAAAUUAAGGAUAGAUUCGAGGGAAAAAUCCCUUACGAUAUCCUAACCUAUGGCGACUUGAUAAGUUUCAUCACCACCGUAGGGAUAGAUCUCUGUACUGACCUUAAGCUUAAGAAACAACUUAAGAAAGAUAGUACUUCCAAAUAUGGGUUAGGAACCUUCUGCCAAGACUAUGGUUUCACCAGCCCCAGCAAGAAGCAUAGGAAGAAGUCCUCCAAACCUCACAAGAGGACCACCUCAAACAAAAGGUCCUUCAAAAGGGAAUCUUAUAAGCCCAGUAGAAAGACCAAACGAAAAUUCUUCAAAAAUAAAGAUACUUGUUGGACUUGUGGCAAGGCAGGCCACAGAGCGAAAGACUGCAGGUCUAAUAAGAAUAAGAAGUUAAACCAAUUAGAUCUCUCUGAAGAAACCAGAGCAAAUCUAUUUUCCAUAAUGGAAGAUUCACUUGAGUCUUCUGAAUCUUCUGACUCCUAUGCCUCGUCCAGUGACGACUACAGCAAUAAAGAAUUCAUCAACACCGCUUAUGAGACGGAUCAAUCCCAAUCUGGACAAGAAUGUGCCUGUAACGGUACCUUUUGCAAUUGCACUAGAAAGGCUGUUAAUGUCAUUUCAGGAAAUCCUAAAGAAAUCAUGUUUGACAUUAUAGAACACAUCCAAGAUGAUGAAGCUAGAUAUAAAUAUCUUCUAGAACUCAAACGAUUAAUGCUUUCUCACGAAGAAAAACCCCCCCAAACCCAUUAUCCAGCCUUUUAGCAUGAAACAGGUUAUGUCUAGAUUUGACAAACCUGCGAAACCUUCUAUUGCUGAUCUUAAGGGAGAAAUCUCCACAUUAAAGGGAGAGAUCAAGAACCUCAAAAUCCGUCUGGAUCAAGUAGAACUUAGCGUUCUUACAGAUCAAGUCCUAAAAAGUAUACCUCUCCCCGAAAAGGCUUCUCCGCCAGAAUCACCUAAAGUCUUUCCAAUCAUCCCGAAUGAUCAUCUCUGAGAACCAGAGCCUAGUUCCUUUCCCGGCUCCGAUUCUCCCUCCACGUCUGGCAAAGCUGUUACGGCCAUAAAAGCCUAUAGCGAACAUAUAGCCGUGAAAAUUGUCAUAAAUAAAGACUUUGUUCUUAACAGAGUCGCACUUUUCGAUACAGGUGCAGAUAGUAACUGCAUUGUUAAAGGCCUAGUACCUGCAAAGUACCUUCAAAAGAGUACCUCUCGUCUUUACUCAGCCACGGGAGAAAAAAUGGAAAUCCAUUAUCAAAUCCCUAAAGCUCAUGUUUGUAACAAUGGCAUUUGGCUUGUUAAUGACUUCGUCAUCACCGAAGAUAUCACAGAAGAUAUCAUUUUAGGAUACCAGAAAAUGGAUCUUAAGAAAACUAUUUAUGUAAAGAGUAAAUAAAGAGUAAAUAGAUGAAAUCAACUUACAAAUUUAUUCAACUUCAAAACAUUACAAGAGAUUACAGGAGAUUGGGCAGGAGAGAAUUUCGAAUGUUAGGAAAUUUUCAGAUGCCUCUUCUAAUAUUACAACAAGUCUUAUAUAGACCAGAGAAAGAUAACAAGGUACAUCUUAUGCAUACAAAUGUAAGGCUGAGAUCAUUCAUCACUGAGAUUAGGGAAUUUUUUCUUUUGGAAUUCAGGGAUCUGGACUUUCAAAGCUAAUCUUUACAGUAAAUUUGAUAUGAAGUCUGGACAUGAUCUUUAUCAAGGUAGCUAUAAACCUAUUUGUAGAGCCAUUGAGUUAACUCUUCGUUUCGAUGGUCUGUCUCGCACAGAGCUUCCACCUCAAAAACCCAGGAGGGAAGUGACGAAAAUGAUAAUAAUAAUGACAAGGGCAAAAUAAGAGGAGUCGACUUCUAGCCAUCUUAUAUUUAUCUUUCUCAGCAAUUUGAAUUUGGCAAAAUCCGGACUUCAUAUCAAAUUUACUGUAAAGAUUAGCUUUGAAAGUCUAGCCAAACCGUCAACAUUCCAUUCAGUUAUUCCUCUACCAUCAUGGUUGAAAGUUGAGAGAUAGGGAUUUUUCUCAAAUUGAACAUCUGGAGGAGAGGGUUUUUUGUAAUAGUUUUUCUUGGUGGAAAAACGAUCACUGGUGAGUUUAGAAAGAGAGUUUUUCUGGUUGCUGGACUCUGCUUUCUCAGAGAUUUUAAACUUGGAAAGUUUUUCGUUGAUCUGUUCCAAGAUUUUUCCUGAGACUUUGAAGUCAUCACUGAGAUUAGGGAAUUUUUCCUUUUGGAAUUCAGGGAUCUUAAAGAUGGGGUUGGCUAUAGGAUUAGGGCUUGGAGUCCGUCCUACAGCCUCUGAUAUGAAGCCUCCCCCUACCAUAUCCCGUCAAAAAAUUAGGACUGACCCCAGCCUACUCGUCAUCAAAUCUGAUGAAGAAUAUACACCUGACCUCAAAGCUCUUGAAGUCCGCUGGUANNNNNNNNNNNNNNNNNNNNNNNNNNNNNNNNNNNNNNNNNNNNNNNNNNNNNNNNNNNNNNNNNNNNNNNNNNNNNNNNNNNNNNNNNNNNNNNNNNNNNNNNNNNNNNNNNNNNNNNNNNNNNNNNNNNNNNNNNNNNNNNNNNNNNNNNNNNNNNNNNNNNNNNNNNNNNNNNNNNNNNNNNNNNNNNNNNNNNNNNNNNNNNNNNNNNNNNNNNNNNNNNNNNNNNNNNNNNNNNNNNNNNNNNNNNNNNNNNNNNNNNNNNNNNNNNNNNNNNNNNNNNNNNNNNNNNNNNNNNNNNNNNNNNNNNNNNNNNNNNNNNNNNNNNNNNNNNNNNNNNNNNNNNNNNNNNNNNNNNNNNNNNNNNNNNNNNNNNNNNNNNNNNNNNNNNGAAGCUAUAUCAUGGCAGUUGAAGUUGCAGAAGUGUGUCGCACUAUCUACAACUGAAGCUAAGUAUAUUACACCUACUGAAGCUGGUAAGAAAAUAAUAUGGCUUAAGCGGUUCCUUCAAGAACUUGAAUUGCACUAAAUGGAGUACGUUGUCUAUUGUGACAGUCAAAGUGCAAUAGACUUGAACAAGAACUUCAUGUACUAUGCAAGAACAAAACACAUUGAUGUAAGGUACCAUUGAAUUAGUGAGCAAGUGGAGAAUGAAUCAUUCCAUGUUAAGAAGAUUCACAAGAGUGAAAAUCUCAGGAUAUGCUGACAAAGAUGAUGCCAAAAUAGAAGUUCAAAUUGUGCAAAGAACUUAUCUGUAUGAGCUCACUUUAAGAAGACAGGGAUACCUUCUUCAGAUGCAUGGGACUGAAGGGGGAGAUUUGUGGAGUCCAUUCCAUUCUUAAUUUUCCUCAUUGGUUGCAAAGGUGAAAAAAUUGUCAAGAUAAAAUGUCAAACAACAAGAUUUUCUAGUUGGUAGAAAUUGGUCAUUAAAUGCCUUCACUAUGAACACUUUAAAAUAUUAUUUUUCAGUGAUGUCAUUGCUGACAUCGAUAGAGGCAAAUUUUUCCUAUAAAAGGAGCUUCUCAGUUCAUUUGUUAAACACACCAAACAGAGAGAAAAAUAAUAUAUAGAGAGCAGUGAGGUAUUUCACAGACUGUGAUAAAAAAUAAUAGAGUGAGCAAUAUUUUAGUAAGGUGGGCAUCAAAAGAGGGUUAUUUCUUUUGAGUGUGUGUAGUCACUUUGAGUAUUGUACUUUCGACUAUGGUGUAAAGUUCCUUACUAUAUUAAUAUUAGUUGCUCCUCUUGGUCCGUGGUUUUUUCCUUAUUUAAAAGGAUUUUCACGUAAAAUUCUUGGUUUCAUUAUUUUCAUUUAUUUUUCUAUUAUUUUACCACAAAUACUUUUGUUAUUAUUCCGCAUUUACUCAACAAGGUAUUUAACUUCAUGCAAGGUGUCACAUCAGCACAAAAGAGUGAUAAAAAUAUGCUAAAAUUGAGUUCAGGGGAAACAGAAUCCCCGUAAAAUAAGAGUGUGUCGUAGCAACUUUAGUCAGAGUUCAGGGGAUACUGGAUGCUUAUUUAUUUUAUUUUAUUUUCAUUAAAAUGUAUAUUUAUUAUUUACUUUUUUUUAAUUAAACUGUUUAUAAUAUUAUGAUUUAGUAUAGGAAUCUUUUUUUUUUUUUUCAUUAAAAUGUAUAUUUAUUAUUUACUCUUUUUUUAAUUAAACUGUUUAUAAUAUUAUGAUUUAGUAUAGGAAUAAAAUGAUGAUUCAACUUUGCAUUUUGGAGCUUCCCACUUUUAAUAGUAUAAAAUAUGAUAUAAUAUGAUCAUAGGAUUAAAAUAAGAGUACGAUAAUACUAAUUUUAUGGUACCAUUAAACAAAAAAAAACAAUUAAACUGAUGUUACAGAAGGAUGUUGUUUGGAGCUUUGUGGUCUAUAAGAUGCCUUUACAAGGAAAAAGAUGCCAAAGAUCUUCUUGGUAUUUUAAAUCAAAUUAUCACCCAGCCAGAGUACAAACUAUAGUAUACCGAUGACAUUUCGGCAACAUCUGAGAAAUGUAGUACUCUAUUACUCCAAUUAGAUAAAACUAACUUAAAAAAACGAAAAUUAAGAAGAAUUUUCUGAUAGGCCUUGAGAUUUAAGCUAAAUCAAUUGAGAGGUCAUUUGGUAUUCCAAUGACAAAGCUAGAAUCAAGAGUUGAAUAUUCUAUCCAUUUCAAGUGUCUUUGUGGAGUUGCUGAGACCAUGAGAAGAUUGAUGUGUACGUUAUCAAGCAAAGUCAUUAGCUCCAAUAGACUUUUAACUUGAAUAUUAACAAAUCUUGGCCUUGUAUACACCUUUUAAGCAAAGUAACUUUUUAAUCUUUCUCCCUUGGUAAUUCAGUUGUUUCCUAACUUUCAUGGUAUCUCAAGAAAGUUGAGUAAUCGAAAGAAACAUUAAUACCGAAAACGACUAAAGUAGAACAUGUAAAAAAUGUUCUUGGUAAUUUGUAUCAAUAGAAAUUAUUGACAACUUAUUCACACCUACUGAAUUGUUUAUUACAAUGGUUGUUCACACCUGCAAUAUUCUUUAUUUGGUGACAAGGACAAACCAACAUAAUUUACUAGAUAGUACUUGUGUGUAAGAAGCAUCAAAUAUGCUGACUGAUAUAUUCAUAAAAAAGGAGUGUUGGAUUCUGCUUAUUAGUCAUUCCUUCAAUAUUAGUUGUUGAGGAAGCUAGCCAUGACAACAAGUAGUGUAAAGCUUCUAGGUGUAUGGGCAAGCCCAUACGUGAACCGGGUUGAAAUAGCCCUCAAGAUAAAGUCUAUUGAAUCUGAGUUUAUACAAGAAAAUAUGUUAAACAAAAGUGAGUUGCUCCUCAAAUCCAACCCUGUUUACAAGAAAAUCCCUGUCCUGUUCCAUGACGAAAAGCCCAUCUGUGAGUCACUUGUUAUCCUGCAGCACAUCGAUGAAGCUUGGCCGAGUGGCCCCUCCAUUCUUCCUUCUGAUCCCUAUGAUCGUGCCAUAGCACGGUUUUGGGCAUCCUAUAUAGAUGAAAAGGUGAGGACUUAAUUACAUAUCCCAUCUCAUAUCCUAUAAAUUGUAACUUACCAGAAACAAUCUCUCUACCUCGGAAGUAGGGGUAAGGUCUGCAUACAUUAUACCCUUCUCAGGCCCCACUUUGUGGGACUACACUGGGUAUGUUGUAGUUGAUUUUUUUAUUUUUUUUUGAUGACUUAACUUUCAUUAAUCAUCAAAAGUAAUAUUUACAAGACCAGUCAGAACAGCACUGUCUGCUGAUCCAAAAAGAAGAAGAAGAAGAAGAAGAGAUCCUAUCUUCUUAUCCUCUAUAACUCAUUUCUUACCAAAAUCUGAACUGCUGAAGAAAAAGAUUUAGGGCACAAUCAGCUCGAACAUGACAAAAUCAGGCUAUCUCUGGCUUGUGCAUCAACCGGUCUUCCAUUUUGUGUAAAGAUUUUGGCAUUUAUCUUCAUCCAAUCUGCAUGAAUAUACUCAGCAUACAUCAACUUGAGUAUUUUGGCUGUCUUUUUUGCCCUCUAGUGUACUUGAUCAGAAGCUCCCAAGAAUUGACAUCAAGUGUCCUUUAGUGGAUUUGUAGCUAGGCCAUAAGCUUGCCCCAUAAUGGUGUAGCAAAAUCACAUUCAACAAAGAUGUGAUAUCUUGUUUCAUCAGCUGCCUUGCAGAAGAUACACACAGUGCCUACUUGAAUUCCCCAUUUAUUCAGUCUAUCAGCUCUAAGCAGCCUAUUUUGUAGCUUCAGCCGCAUGAUAAAUACAGCUUUAGGUCUAGCAGAGUUGGAGCACAUCAAAUCUUUCCAUGGUACUCUGGGAAAGUCCCCUCUCAUCUGGAUAUACAUCCUUCUUAUGAUUCUUUUCUUCCAUGAUUUAUGUGCUGGAUGCUUCCCAUUUGGUCUCUCGAGCUAAAAAUUUUCUUAACCAUCCAACAUGCCAGUUGUGGGAUUGGCAUGGUUUCAAAAUUCUGAGUCUUUACAAUGUUGUAUUUGAAUUUGUAACUACUAACCUUGAAAUGUUGUUUGGACUAGUAUUUAAAAUUUAUGGUUAAUUUCACGUAUAGUCGUUGAACUAUAUUAUAGAACUGUUUUUCAGUAAAUGAACAUUACCAUACUUGAGAAGUCGUUUGGCCAAGUAGUAAUACGUUCACCAAAGUUACUUCUUCAGUAACCCCUUCUCUUGAAAAUCAAUGCCAUACUUGAGAAGUCGUUUGGCCAAGUAGUAAUACAUUCACCAAAGUUACUUCUUCAGUAACCCCUUCUCUUGAAAAUCAAUCAGUUUUGUGUACUGGAAUUAUCCAUUAAAUCUGACGAAAAUGGUUGCAGUGGUAUCCAUUGAUAGUGGACUUCACGAACGCAGAAGGAAAAGAAGCAAAAGCAGCUGUGCAAGAGAAAAUGUCUGAAGGGAAUUUGCUGCUGGAGGAAGCUUUUAUCAAGAUCAGCAAAGGUAAAUCUUUCUUUGGUGGAGAUAGAAUUGGUUACCUUGACAUUGUUCUUGGUAGUUUACUGGGAUGGGUGAAGGCAAUCGAGAUGAUGAAUGAAACGAAG